UUUUUUUUUGGGUGAGAGCUCCUCAGAUAUUAUUUUUCGAUGAAACUUGGCAAGAACCUCAAACAUAUGAUAAUGUUUGAUGUAGCAAAAUUUCAGAUUUUUUGGAUUUCGUUUGAUAAACUUUUUUCAACUUUUUUGCUAACUCGGGUGUAGUACACCCGAGAGUAGAAAAUCCAGUCUUAUUACCGCUGAUUUUCAUUGUGUAAGUUACUAAUAGGUCGCUCAACGACAUGCAGUGAUUCCUGGUCUCAGCGUCCACUUGCAGAAAAGGAGGCAUUAUUUAGUAUGAGGUGGUGGCGUGCCGGUGCCUUUGCAAAAAGAAUGACAUGGUCUCCAUGAUGAUUGAUGAACAGGGAGUGGUGAAGUACAUAUUGUUGGAAAUCUGAGCAAUUUACCAAAUGAUUUUAUUAAUAGAAAUAUUAGAUAAAGCAUGACUAAUAUAACAUGGAUAAAACUAGUCAUGCGAUCUGACAGAGAGAAGGUAAAUAACAUCUGCAUAUAUGAACUGCAACCAAACAUGUCUAAAGAAGAUAGUAGAAGAGGUUGCAUAUAUGGCGUAGAACCUAUCAUAUGUAGGACAGACACUAGAGCAAAGAACUAUGACAGGACCUCUAACAGAAAGAGUAAGAACACGUACGGGACAGCAGCAACAGUAGCACUGGACUUAGGGUCGGUGUCCUCGCCAGCCAUGUCGUUGAGAAGGUUGUCGACGUCGAGGAAGAAGUCGUCGGAGUCCGGGGCGUCCGUGACGAAGAAGUCAGUAGUCGCGCUGAGCGCUCCCCAAAAACCUUAUCACCCUUCUCCCGUACAGGACUCAAAGAGGUGCGGUUUCGGAGGCCUACUGUCCCGACUCAUGGUGCACGCCGCAAGCCGGGAUGAGGAAGACAGCAACAGCUCAGCGAUAGGAACCGGUGGCGAGAGGAAGAAGUAAUUCUGGUGCGUAUCUCUAAGAGGAGCGACCUCGCUUUUAUAGGCGCAAGAGAAGGAGGCGAGAGGCUACGCCGGGAGAUCAAGGGAAUGAGGGAGAUGAAAUGAACAGGCAGCAGGCGAAGAGGUGCGCCAUUCAUAUUCAAUCUCCACUACAACAAAACGUUUCAGCUUCCGCGUGACCUUUCGUAUACCCAUCGUGCGUGGCAAAAAUUUAGACAUCGGCUCGGCCCCGCAACCCGCGGCGCGGCGCGACGCGGCGCGGCGGGCGGUGGAGGAGGAGCGCGCGUGGAUGUCCCUCUUGUUCUCAUCCUCAUACAUGUGGCGAAAGAGCAUCCCUUACAAAGAGGUCCAACUCCCUCUAAACUAGCAAUGUGGGACUAAACUUUAGUUCCACCUCUUGCCUUGCACGAAUGGGAUGCGUGGGCCUCUAGGAUUUAUUAGGAAUUUCUGAAACUACUAUUGAGCUAGGCCCAAAAUAGACAAAAUUCCAGCAAUCCCCCACCAAAUCCCAGAGGCACACAAAAUUUGCCUUUGGUUCCAAAACACUGUUUUAUGUACUGGUACUGCAGUGGAGACUGUUAAGUUGAACUUCCACCUAGAACUCUAUGCUACACUAGUAAGCAACUUGAACAGUGGACUGGGCCUUGAACUGCAAAUUUUCUGCGAAUCUAGUUUCACAUAAAGCCUUGACCGUUACGUGGCUACCGUGGGUCUUCCCCGCGGGUGGAACUUAUGCGUCAUACUCCGAGACCUUUCAUGAGUUUACUAGAGAGAACCCUACUCUCAUAGAUUGCGACGUUUAAUAAUCAGUCUCAUAUAGGUGCGUUCUUCAAAAGAUGUUCUGCAGGACGACAUCUCUGCUUCAAUGAGCCACUUAGAACACAUUAAGAUAUACAUCAACCUGUCAUGCAGAUUAGGAGAGUAUUGCAUCUUCAUGGAGUGGUAUUGUUAAUAGUAAGGAUACUCUCCUCUCAGUUGACCAACAGCUUGUCUUCCACAUCUAAUUCACGGGAUCUCCGAUCACAUAGACUAGGUUACCACUGUGAACAACUCAUAUUGUGGGUCUCAUACCCAUCUCUCUCGAUGCAUUAUCUAUCACAUUGCAUGAUAGACCCUUAGUGAAAGGAUCUGCCAGAUUUUUUGAUGUUUGGAUAUAGUCCAAUGCAAUAACUCCGGAGUUUCUCAUUUUCCUGACAGACUUUAACGUUCUCUGAACAUGUCUUGAUGACUUCAUGUUAUCCUUUGAGCUGCUUACUUUCGUGAUUACAGUUUGAUUGUCGCAGUUCAUCAGGAUACCCGGUACAGGUUUCUCAACAACCGGCAAGUCAUUGAAGAGCCGACGAAGCCAAUUUUCUUCGACCGUAGUUGUAUCUAGUUCUGUGAGAGUUCUGCUUCCAUUGUUGACCUCGUUAAGAUGGUCUGCUUGCAAGACUUCCAAGAAAUAGUGCCACCUCCAUGAGUGAAUACAUAUCCGCUCGUGGCCUUUAUCUCAUCAGCAUCUGAGAUCCAGUUUGAGUCACUAUGCCCUUCAAGCACCUUUGGGUGCCCAGUGUAGUGAAUUCCAUAAUUCGUAGUGCCUUUCAAAUAACGCAAAACUCUCUCUAGAGCUUUACAAUGCACAUCUCCUGGUUUUGAGACAAACCGACUCAGUUUGCUAACAACAAAAGAGAUGUCAGGUCUUGUAGCACUGGCUAAGUACAUAAGCGAUCCAAUAAUCUGAGAAUAUUUCAAUUGAUCUCUAGCAAUUCUUCGAUUCUUUCGAAGUAACACACUCGCAUCAUAUGGUGUUGGAGAGGGCUUGCAGUCACUAUAGCCAAAGCGACUCAAGAUCUUUUCCACAUAGUGAGAUUGAAGCAAUGUAAUCCCACCAUCAUCGUCUCUCAACAACUUGAUGUUCAGAAUGACAUCGGCCCCUCCUAAAUCCUUCAUCUCAAAGCAGCGAGAUAGGAAAUCAUUGACCUCCUUAAUAACAUUCAGAUUUGUUCCGAAAAUCAGUAUGUCAUCAACAUACAAGCAAAGGAUAACUCCCUCGCCCCCACCAUGGCGAUAGUACACACAUUUGUCAACUUCGUUUACAAUAAAGCCUGCAGCUGUUAAAGUUCUUUCAAACUUCUCAUGCCACUGCUUGGGUGCUUGCUUAAGUCCAUACAAAGACUUCCGCAACUUGCACACUUUCCCUUCCUGACCAUCUAGUACAAACCCAUCUGGUUGUUCCAUAUAAAUUUCCUCGUCCAACUCUCCAUUUAGGAAAGCAGUCUUAACAUCCAUUUGAUGAACGAGAAGACCAUGUGAGGCAGCUAGUGAAAGUAGAACUCGAAUAGUGGUAAGUCGAGCCAUAGGUGAGUAAGUAUCAAAGAAGUCUUCACCUUCCUUUUGGGUAUAACCCUUGGCCACGAGCCGAGACUUGUACUUUUUGAUAGUACCAUCAGGCCUAAGCUUCUUCUUGAAUAACCAUUUGCAUCCUAUAGGCUUGCACCCAUAAGGACGAUCAGUUAUCUCUCAAGUUUCAUUCGCCAAGAUGGAAUCCAUCUCGCUACGAACCGCUUCCUUCUAUUAGUCAGCAUCUUCAGAUGCACAGGCCUCUGAAAUAGAACUGGGAGUGUCAUCUAUGAGAUACACGAGAAAAUCAUCACCAAGGACUUUGUAGGACUCUGUCUCUUGCUCCUAGUAGGAACUUCAUUGUUCUCCUCCACAGGAUUUUCGAAGUAUUCCAUCAAAAUGGCAGGUUCAGUAAUUGUAAUUGGUUCCUGAUUCUUUGAACUAGGCAUCUCCUAAUUAAAUGAGGUGGCCAUAUCCUUCCUGGAAAGAUAUCUUCAAAGAACGUUGCAUCAUUCGACUCCAUGAUCGUACCGACAUGCAUGUCAGGUACCUCAGAUUUUACAACCAAGAAUCUAUAACCAAUUCUAUGAAAAGCAUAUCCCAGGAAAACACAAUCCACGACCUUUGGUCUAAGCUUGCGCUUCUUUGGAAUUGGCACAUUGACUUUCGCCAAACAACCCCAGGUUCGUAGAUAAGAGAGCUUUAAUCUUUUCUUCUCCCAUUCCUCGAAUGGAGUUAUCUCUUUGUUGUUUAUGGGAACUCGGUUUAGGACAUGACAUGCAGUCAAUAUCACCUCCCCCCACCAUGCCUUGGAGAGACUCGAUGGGUCUAACAUGGCGUUAACCAAAUCAGCUAGAGUAUGGUUCUUUCUUUCGGCUACACCAUUUGACUGAGGUGAAUAGGGAUGCGUCCUCUCAUGGAUUAUACCAUGUUCCGCACAAAAAGCAUCAAAUUCAUUGGAAAAAUACUCUCCACCACGGUCGAACCUAAGCCUCUUGAUUUUCCGAUCAAGUUGAUUUUCCACUUCAGCUUUAUAGAUCUUGAAAAAGUUCAAAGCCUCAUCCUUAGAUUUCAGAAGAUACACACAGCAGUAUCUAGUGGAUUCGUCAAUUAACGUCAUGAAAUAUAUUUUUUCCAUCUUUCGUCAAAACACCAUUCAUUUCACAUAGAUCUGAAUGUAUGAGUUCCAGUGGUGCACGAUUUCUCGUUUCCGCAGUCACAUGAGACUUACGAGGUUGCUUAGCUUGCACACACACUUGACACUUAGAUCCUUUGACAGUGGUGAAACUAGGUAUUAAGUUCAGCUUCGCUAGUCGCGACAUGCAACCAAAGUUAACAUGACAAAGACGUGAAUGCUACACAUUUGAUUCACUAUUGUUGCAAAUAUGAUUAACAACUUUAUUGCAAACGUCUGAUAAGGAUAAACGAAACAGGCCUCCUGACUCGUAGCCUUUACCAACAAAGGUUCCAUACUUGGAUAUUACAAAUUUAUUCGACUCAAAGACAAGCUUGUAGCCAUCUCUACACAGAAGAGAUCCGCUAACAAGAUUUUUAUUGACGGAGGGGACAUAAUGCACGUUCUUCAGCCGCACGACCUUCCCCGAAGUAAACUUCAGAUCAACCGUGUCAACACCACGAACAAAAGCACUUGAACCGUUGCCCAUCAGCACGGUUGAAGUCCCUGCGGUCUGAUAAGAUGAAAACAUGGAAAUAUCACCGCAUACAUGUUGGAAAUAUGCCCUAGAGGCAAUAAUAAAAUGAUUAUUAUUAUAUUUCCUUGUUCAUGAUAAUUGUCUAUUGUUCAUGCUAUAAUUGUGUUAUCCGGAAAUCGUAAUACAUGUGUGAAUACAUAGACCACAACAUGUCCCUAGUGAGCCUCUAGUUGACUAGCUCGUUGAUCAACAGAUAGUCAUGGUUUCCUGACUAUGGACAUUAGAUGUCAUUGAUAACGGGGUCACAUCAUUAGGAGAAUGAUGUGAUGGACAAGACCCAAUCCUAAGCAUAGCACAAGAUCGUGUAGUUCGUUUGCUAGAGCUAUUCCAAUGUCAAGUAUCAUUUCCUUAGACCAUGAGAUCGUGUAACUCCCGGAUGCCGUAGGAAUGCUUUGGGUGUACCAAACGUCACAACGUAACUGGGUGACUAUAAAGGUAUACUACAGGUAUCCCCGAAAGUAUCUGUUGGGUUGACACGGAUCGAGACUGGGAUUUGUCACUCCGUAUGACGGAGAGGUAUCUCUCUGCCCACUCGGUAAUGCAUCAUCAUAAUGAGCUCAAUGUGAACAAGUGUUUGGUCACGGGAUCAUGCAUUACGGUACGAGUAAAGUGACUUGCCGGUAACGAGAUUGAACGAGGUAUUGGGAUACCGACGAUCGAAUCUCGGGCAAGUAACGUAUCGAUUGACAAAGGGAAUUGUAUACGGGAUUACUUGAAUCCUCGACAUCGUGGUUCAUCCGAUGAGAUCAUCAAGGAGCAUGUGGGAGCCAACAUGGGUAUCCAGAUCCCGUUGUUGGUUAUUGACCGGAGAGUCGUCUCAGCCAUGUCUGUGUGUCUCCCGAACCCGUAGGGUCUACACACUUAUGGUUCGGUGACGCUAGGGUUAUAUAGAUAUUUGUAUGCGGUAACCCGAAAGUUGUUCGGAGUCCCGGAUGAGAUCUCGAACGUCCCGAGAAGUUCCGGAUUGGUCCAGAGGUAAAGAUUUAUAUAUAGGAAGUCUAGUUUCGGCCAUCGGGAAAGUUUUGGGGGUCAUCGGUAUUGUACCGGGACCACCAGAAGGGUCCCGAGGGUCCACCGGGUGGGGCCACCUAUCCCGGCCUAUCCCGGAGGGCCCCAGAGGCUGAAGUGGGAAAGGGAACCAGCCCCUGGUGGGCUGGUGCGCCCCCCUUGGGCCUCCCCUGCGCCUAGGGUUGGAAACCCUAGGGGUGGGGGGGCGACCCACUUGGCUUGGGGGGGAAGCCACCCCCUUGGCCGCCGCCCCCCUUGGAGAUUGGAUCUCCUAGGGCCGGCACCCCUCCCCCCCCCCCAGGGCCCCUAUAUAAAGAGGGGAGGGAGGGCAGCCGCACCCUUGCUCCGGGCGCCUCCCUCUCCCUCCGUAACACCUCUCCUCCCCGCUUGCGCUUGGCGAAGCCCUGCCGGGAUCCCGCUACUUCCACCACCACGCCGUCGUGCUGCUGGAUCUCCAUCAACCUCUCCCUCCCCCUUACUGGAUCAAGAAGGAGGAGACGUCUUCCCCAACCGUACGUGUGUUGAACGCGGAGGUGCCGUUCGUUCGGCACUUGGUCAUCGGUGAUUUGGAUCACGACGAGUACGACUCCCUCAACCCCGUUCACUUGAACGCUUCCGCUCACGAUCUACAAGGGUAUGUUGAUGCACUCCUCUCUCUCGUUGCUAGAUGACUCCAUAGAUUGAUCUUGGUGAAGUGUAGAAAAAUUUUAUUUUCUGCAACAUUCCCCAACAAUACAUGCACAUUAGCACCCGUGUCAAUCAACCAAUCAGGAGAAUGACAUACUGAAAGAAUAGUGGGAAAUAUACCAUACCCAACAUCCUUCAUGUCACUAUCUCCAAUGACAACAUUAGUGGUCUUGCCGCCUUUCCCAGGAUGACACUUGUCAUAGCGAUUAGGGCAACUAGGAGCCCAAUGAUCAAGAUCCCCACACACAUGACAAACACCUCUCUUCUUGUCAUUCUUCUUCUUGAAGUUCGUGUGUUGCACAGCCUUGUUCUUCCCAUCAGACUUUGCUUUACCAUCAAAUUUGCCCUUGUUCUUGAACUUGUGGGGCUGGAAGUUCUUCUUCUGUACCAGAUUGGCACUAAAUCCUCCCUCAAUACCUCAAGCACGUGUGUCCUUUGCUCUCGUCUUUUCUUCCACAUCAAGAGUGCCAAUGAGAUCCGGGACGGAAAACUCCCUUCUCUUAUGCUUCAGUAAGGUAGCAAAGUUCCUCCACGAAGGAGGAAGCUUAGUGAUGAUACCCCCGGCAACAAACUUGUCUGGUAGCAUACAACUAAAGUGCUCAAGUUCUCUAGCAAAUGACUGUGUCUCAUGAGGUUGCUCAACCACAGAGCGCUCUUCAGUCAUCCUGUAAUUAUAGAAUUGCUCCAUGAUGUACAGCUCAGUGCCAGCAUCCGAGACCCCAAACUUGGUCUCGAGUGCAUCCCACAUAUCUUUUCCAUUAUCAAUUGACGCAUAAGCAUCAACUAUGUUCUCACCAAGAACACUCAAGAGAGCAGCCUUAAACAGAGUAUCCAUUUUCUGAAAAGCUUGUGCCUGUUGAGCAUCAAGCUCUCCUUCAGGUUUGCCAAGAGUGGCGUCAUAGCAACUCAUGGUUUGAAACCAUAAGACUGCUCUCACGCGCCACCUCUUCUAGUGGAUACCUUCAAACAUAGGAGGUUUCAUGGAAGCAUCAAAACCACUCGAGGUAAAUUGCCUAUAAUAAGGUUUUUGGAUUGUUGGAAAUAUGAGCAAUUUACCAAAUGAUUUUAUUAAUAGAAAUAUUAGAUAAAGCAUGACUAACAUAACAUGGAUAAAAGUAGUCAUGCGAUCUGACAGAGAGAAGGUAAAUAACAUCUGCAUAUAUGAACUGCAACCAAACAUGUCUAAAGCAGAUAGUAGAAGAGGUUGCAUAUAUGGCGUAGAACCUAUCAUAUGUAGGACAGACACUAGAGCAAAGAACUGCGCAGGACCUCUAACAGAAAGAGCAAGAACACGUAUUGUCGACGUCGGGGAAGAAGUCGUCGGAGUCCAGGGCGUACGUGACAAAGAAGUCAGUAGUCGCGCUGAGUGCUCCCCAAAAAGAGGCCUACUGUCCCGACUCACGGUGCACGCCGCUAUGAGGAAGACAGCAGCAGCUCAGCGAUAGGAACCGGUGGCGAGAGGAAGAAGUAGUUCCGGUGCGUAUCUGCUCGACUCAUUCCCGCAACCCGCGUCGUGGCGAGGCGAGGCGGGCGGCGGAGGAGGAGCGCGCGUGGAUGUCUCUCUUAUUCUCAUCCUCAUACAUGUGGAGAAAGAGCCUUCCUUAUAAAGAGGUCCAACUCCCUCUAAACUAGCAAUGUGGGACUAAACUUUAGUUCCACCUCUUGCCUUGCACGAAUGGGCUGCGUGGACCUCUAGGAUUUAUUAGGAAUUUCUGAAACUGCUAUUGGGCUAGGCCCAAAAUAGACAAAAUUCCAACACACACNNNNNNNNNNNNNNNNNNNNNNNNNNNNNNNNNNNNNNNNNNNNNNNNNNNNNNNNNNNNNNNNNNNNNNNNNNNNNNNNNNNNNNNNNNNNNNNNNNNNNNNNNNNNNNNNNNNNNNNNNNNNNNNNNNNNNNNNNNNNNNNNNNNNNNNNNNNNNNNNNNNNNNNNNNNNNNNNNNNNNNNNNNNNNNNNNNNNNNNNNNNNNNNNNNNNNNNNNNNNNNNNNNNNNNNNNNNNNNNNNNNNNNNNNNNNNNNNNNNNNNNNNNNNNNNNNNNNNNNNNNNNNNNNNNNNNNNNNNNNNNNNNNNNNNNNNNNNNNNNNNNNNNNNNNNNNNNNNNNNNNNNNNNNNNNNNNNNNNNNNNNNNNNNNNNNNNNNNNNNNNNNNNNNNNNNNNNNNNNNNNNNNNNNNNNNNNNNNNNNNNNNNNNNNNNNNNNNNNNNNNNNNNNNNNNNNNNNNNNNNNNNNNNNNNNNNNNNNNNNNNNNNNNNNNNNNNNNNNNNNNNNNAUUUUCUUUGUUCUUUUGGGAGGAGAUGCCUCUUUUGUAGUGGCACCCACUCUCUACGCAGUGGGACAUGGAUGGGCUAGGCGGAGUGAUUAAUCUUAUAGUGGUAGGCGUCAACUCGCUUCGCCUCUUAACCGUUGAUCGGUUGUCUCCGACGACCCUUGUAUCCCCUUUUUUAUUUUCUUUUUUCGGGUUGCAGGAAAUAACUCCUCCGAGGAGACCUUUUUAUCUUCUUUCCUGCAUUUGACUUGUUGUUUGGAUGCGGCCCUUUAUUUAUGAAGUGGGGCAAAUCAUGUUUCAAGAGGAUAAAUGUGGAGCUGGAGGAGAGUGAAAUGAGAAAGAAUUAAAAAUACUUGAUUUCUCAUAAUUAAGAGAUGAUGUCUAACAAUGAUAUCCCUCGACAUAUAUUUAGGUACUUAGUAACACUAAGAGAAAGAGUUAACUCAUUGUACAUCAUAUUUUUAUAGCCAUUAUGUGGCAGACUUAACAUAAGAUAGUCUUACCAACCACUAUAGAUGCUCUUAAGUGCUACACACUAUCGCCCACCUUAUCGAUGAGUUAUUAUCAACUUUGUUUCUUCCUAGAUCCCAAUUAGCAUGUGUGUAUAUAAAUAGCUCCCAUCUACGAUGGUUAGUAGUGCCAAGAUAGCGAGCAGUAGACUAAAAGAGGUACAUAUAUGACAUUUAUCUCAAGUGAGCUUUCCACCAUGGAGGUAGUAAUCCUGGAAGAAAUUCCCCUCGGUAUUACUCAUGGAAGUCAUGUUUCGUUGAAAUUUAUAACAUAUAUUGCACCACACACUAUCAAAAAUAUUUUUGAUUUGGGAGGCAUUAGGGAAAUAUUUAUCUGUGUGUGUGAGGUGUUGCACUACAUCUCUACCCUCUGCGCCAUUGCUGAAUAAUGUUCUGGUGCAUGGAAUGAACAGGCUAGAAGAAAUUCUAGAACAACUGCAAUUAUAGUCCUCUUGUUUGACCACGCAGCAUGAGCGGUAAGCUAUCUCAAAGCCGACUGAUGUUUCUUCAGCGAUUUCUAUUUGUCGUUUCGAGCGGCAAGUGGCUAUUGAGGUCUUUAAAGCUUGGCAUGGCGAGUGCCUUUGCAUAUGGUCCUUUCUUCCUGUUGGUUGAGUGCACUUUUCAAUCUUCGGCAAAACGGCGUACAAUCAAAAGAAGAAGAAGAAGACUAGUAUAUAUUUUUUAAUGUAAUUUCAUUUUUUAAGUUGUUUUGCCUCCAAUUGUCUUUCCGUUAUACUGGCUAUUGCUUUCCUUCAAAAUUAUUAGAUCUAAGAGAAUCUACUUCUCCCCUCUUUGUUCCUAUAUGUUCCGGACAACCCGGACAGUGUCCGGACAAGAGAGAGAGAGAGAGGGGGGGGGGAGUCUACCCAACUAGACCCCCGCUUAUGCGUAUAUGGCAGAGUUUUCUACAAACUCUCAAACUCAGCCUAUAUGUGGGAAGGAUAUUCGGGUGUUUUCACAUGUUCGGGUAGUCCGCCGUGUCAGACACGGCCCAUCGCUGACUCUCGUCCUUAUUCUCUUUUCAUUCUCCAUGUCCAUCACCACUAAACAUAUGCAUUUCUGUCCAAUUAAAACAGACCUUGUGCCAAAUAGAAGGUAGUCCCUUGAUCCAUCCCUGUGGACGAGAUACAUCAACUGGACAAUUUCAAGGCCAUACAUGCACGCACAGAUAAAUUACGGUUUGAAGUUCGUCGAUGUAUAGAAGAAUAAAAUAGCCCAGUCCAGUUGUAGAUGCUCUGACAUACAUUUGAGUGUCUUUUCUUUAGAAAAAAUAGUGUUCAAUCCACGUAGGCACAUUGACACACUCCCCAGACAGACGCCUAUAACGAUAACGUGCAUUGGUUGAAGAAGGGAAAUCAUCAGAUCAUGUGCAAGCAUGCACAACCCCGAUGUUCCGGACAAAUCAACAGAUCCCAUGCCAUGAGAAGAUGUUCGCGGCCCGCAGCAGCCCUCGGGCAAUGGGUUAAGCUGUUGCCCUGCCGCAUGCACCAUGCACUCCAAUGCUCAUGCAUCCACGUGCAUCCAUUGUUUCAAGGAACUAGCAUCGAUCAAUGCACGCACACACCUACUCACCUACUACGUAGUACUAGCUCAACCUGUAGUUCUGCAUAGAAUUGCUCCCUAGCUAUAGUCUAUACAGAUCUUGCCGUCAAGCUGCUGCUAAGGCAGGUCUCUUCAAUCUUGAUGCCAAGAAACUCAAAGUUACCAUGGUUCAUCCAUGGUCACCGGCUCGCCGCCUCGCCGGCCAGGUUCCUAAGCUUCCUCCACAUCAGUAGAUUAAGUAUGGUCAAGACUACAUACAUACACUGAACUUCACUUACACUUUUGCGACAUUUGAGGAAAUCGGACCUACCAUGUACUCCUGCCCCCGCCAAAAAAAUAUUCUAUACUCCUACAUGACUACACGAUGCAUCAGCUGCUUCGCAUGCACGUCAACACAACCCCAUCCUGUUCGCGCUGCCCUUGGCGCUGCAUGUGCGGCCAUGUGCGCGCGUCUUGUCUUUCCCUCCGGUUCAUUGCAAAACCAUUUUUUGUGUUUAUAUGUUUGUUGUCAUCGAUCAUCAUGCGCUCCAGGCUUCAAGUACGUGACCCUAAGCAGGCCUGUGGACAUCUUGGAUCAUACGUGUCCAUCUUGUAUCCAUACGGCCAUACCCAGCAUACGACAACACACAAUGAUAAUGCUACGUAGUAAACAAUGAUAAUACUACGUAGUAAACGCACAUGCAAUGCGUGAUGAUGCAUCAUGCUUUUGAUACAAGAUCGACACCUAGAAAAUGUCUACGUAUGUUAGCUGUCAUGUAUGAUGUUUUGUUUUGAGAGGUCAGACUUUCUCGAGGGUGAAAACAUAAAAUCUUGGAUCAAACGAUGACGGCACUUGUACACUGCUCUCUUCUUAAAGGCGUCGCUUUUGAAGACCUUUUUUAUUUUUGGGUGUUGUCUUUGAUAGUGGUUUGUGUGCUGCUACUGAGAGGAGUUGAUCACUAUGGCGGGCCUCUUCACGAUAUUAAUAUAUAUUUUUUCUCAAAAAAUGUAUGAUGUUAUCUUCGCAAUGUUAAUAUAUUCUCUUUGUCGAAAAACAUAUGAUGUUUUUUGUUGCGUACAUGUAACGCCCGUACCAGCCAACUCCUUUUCUAUUUUUCAAACCAUUUCUGUCGAUAAUCACUGGGGAAGCUAGCCAGCUCAGUAAUUAUGUACACCAUUAUGAGCUUGGGAGACCUUAAGCAUGUGGACAUCUCAAUCCGUACUUGUCCGUUCUACGUCCAUGCCUACUGUACGACAACACAUCAUCAUCACGGAAGAAUAUGAGCACACGCCUGCUUACUGUAUUAAGGCGAUCGCCGACAGCAUGUACAUCAUUGAUGACACUACAUGCCGAAGACUAGUCCUAUUUAAACAGCAGGAGUGCCCCUGUUUCUAGUACCUAUCCAUCGACAUUACUAAUACUUACCACCGGCAAGUACAUCUGUACUUGACUCUGCUCAAGCAAAACAAAAAGAACAUAAAACCAAUGCAAGGCCCUAACAAAAGCACCAAGUCCUUCAAGCAAGCAGUGGCGGAGCCAGCUAUCUGGCAAGGCCUGGCAGCCGCCACACCUAAAUUUGAAGCAACUAUACUGGUACACCUAGGUGCUGGGCAUGGGCAUGGGCAUGUGACGAGUACCUAGCUGGUGGCGAUGAUGUAAGACUCCACAGAAUAAAAAACGCGAGUACAUGCCUGAUAAACGAUCUAGUAGUACUUAAAGUUUGGAUUUUAGUUGUAUUUGCAUAACAGAAAGUAAUAUAUAUCUAAUAUUCUAAUGAGCUUUAGACAGUUGCAUUUUACAUGAUUUCUCCUUUAGCUCUGCCACACCUAAAAAUUAUUCCUGCAUUCGCCACUGCAAGCAAGCAUUCCUCAGGAACCUCCUCUUGGGCCUCCAGCUCCAUGCACCUACGAGCACAUCCUUCGGCAGCAGAGCCAUGAACCUCCAUUUGAGGAAGCUCGCGGUCAAGUCCUCGGCCAACGUCGCCAUGGCGGCCGCGCGCUGUGCCACCCACACCGACGCAAGGUGGCCCAGUGCCAUCUUAGCCUCCGAAGCGGGCGCCACACCAUCAUCCGGCGCGUGCAAAGUGCAUAGGUGCAGGAGAAUCGUGAGCAGGUGCUGGAUUAGAUCAGGUCGCGCUGGUGGUGACGCGGUUGCCAGGAGGCUGUUGAGGACGAGGACUAUGGCGCUCAGGGUGGUGAUACCGGGAGGCCGGGACACUACCGUUGACCAGGCCACCCUGCUCCGCGAGGCCAUGGACUACGCGGUGCACCUGCGCGCUCAGGUCGACGUGCUCCGCCGCUUAUCGGAAAGCGUGCAAAGAUCCAGCUCCAUCUCUCGGCAGGUACGUGACAAUCUAGUUGCUUGGUUCCAUUUAUUGAUAAUUUUAAGUGUGUAAGUAAUAACUUGCUCAUUUGGCAUGCAGGGUCAGCAGUGAUGCUUUGGUCUCGGUGUGCACUUACAAAGGAGGCAUGAUUAAGUAUGUGGUAGUGCUGUGCCGGUGCCCCUGCAGUAAGAAAAACAUUGUCUCCAUGAUGAUCAGGGAGGAAACAGGCACAACUUUGCCUUGAGCAGAGCUGUGAAGAAAUAUAUAGAUCAGGAUUUGUCUUGUUCAUGUUAGAAUUGUGUCGAAUAUUAUUGUACAAAAUAGUUUAUAGUUAGGCUUGGUUUAGGACUGUGUGUAGACAUGGUAAGAGUCAUGUCCAAGUAGAACACUUGUAUCCUAGGCCUCUCAUAUAUAGCGGGGGUAGACACACGAUGUAACCUAUGCCAACAUAAUAGCACGGGCAUGCGGGGGAGCCGACGGCGUGUGCGGGCGCCCGGGCGGCCGGGGUGCGGUAUUGUGACGGUGUCACGGGGAGGAGCGCCCGUAGUGAGGCCCCGAGGAUGUAGCCAUAUCGGUGAACCUCGUUAACAAAUCUCGGUGUCGUGCUCGUAUGAUUGCUUGGUCCUCUGAUAAUUGACGGUAUGCCUCGGAUUUAUUUUAACAAGUGGUAUCAUGAGCAAGGUUCGAAGAGGCCGUGGAAGUUGAUUAAGUGGAGGGAGAACGUAUCAACGGACUUGUGUGCAAAGGAAUCGCAGCCGUGAGAGCGGAGUUAGUCGGCGAGUCGUUGCUGGCUAGUUGUAUCCAGGAGGCAGCGAUGAAGUGUUCGCGGUUGUUGUAGUUCUCCAAGAAGCAAUCGGGAUUGGCAGCAGCUGGCAUCGAUGAGUUGCAUCAGCGGGCGGCAAGAUCGGUUCGAUAGAUCGAAAGCGGCGGCGGCGAAACGUGCGAGCAGCAGAGUCUUGAUGAGAGGGAUCGAUCAAGUCUCGAUCGGUUGGGCACCUGCAGCAGGAAGCUGCAACGCAGGGGGGUCUAGGCUAGGCGUGGCCCGCAGGUGGCGCAGGAGGCCGUGUAAAAGCAGGCAAGCGGCUGCAGGGGCCCUGGGCCCAUGUAAGGCUGUUUGGCAGGCUGAGGCGUGCGCUAGCGAUCGCGGAGCGUGGUUACCAGGGGCUGGAGCGUACAGAACCGAGGGAAGCCAUGCAACGAGGAUUUGUUGAGAAGAAAAAAAAAAGGUUUGAAGCAAGUCAGAGAAGGCAUGUGGUGCAGCGAGGCUUUGUCAGAUGCAAGUUUGUACGUGUGGUGUGUGCUUUGAUGUGUACACAAAAAAAGGCUACACCAGGUCCAGAUGUAAGAUACCGUGAAGCAAUGGAGCUGCCAAGAUGCUUGGGACAAGUUCUAAAACAAAAGGGUUCUACGCGUACAUUUAAGUACUAGCAAAAGGAGCUAAGAGAAAAUUCUGCAGAAGGUAUCUAUCAGGGUCAAGUCUGCGGGGAUGGUUUUUUCUGAUGGGUCAAGUUCGCGGAAAGUGCUUGGAGUGUGUACGACAAAGGACGGAAGACGUGCGUAUAAGGUUCGGAAGAAUCUGGAGCGCGUUGUGACGGGAUCAUGCAAACACAGGGCGUCAAGCAAUGCAUUAAGAUGUGCGAGGCUGGUCAUGACGCAAGGUGGAGCAUGGUUGCAGUCGGAUAUUUUUUGGCUGGGUCGGACUGGAUAGUCUGAUGGAUCGACGGGGAUGUCGGUCAAAGCAGAAGACGGUGGUGAUUUCGGCGACAACGACAUAUGAGCGUGAUGCUGAUGAUGGCCGACUUCUGGGGCAUGGAAACACGUGGUGCAGGCCUGAGGGCUUGUGCGGCUUUGACAAGAUAAUGACGCAGGGUUGAUUCAAGGUUGUGUACACAUGAGACAGCUUGAAGUCGAUAGGGCGCAGGGUAGCGUGGCCAGCUACAUAGAGUCAUGUUGAAGGUGGAGCUGGAGUCUGAUGGAGGACUACACUCUGUGUUGAUGGAGGGGCUAUGGCGUUAAUGCAUGGAGAGUCGAAGCCUAUUUCAGCGGGAUAGCAAGAGACACGUGGAUCGGACUGGGGCCCAAUGGUCUGAUGGAGGCGUGAUACUCGGCAUCGGUCGGUGAUGAUCGGUGGUUCUCUGCAGUAGGGGUUUGAGUGGUGUGGGUCUGCAGCCCUAGAGACUCGACCAGGACAAUAGAGGCUCGACGCGGUGAUGGCGGCAAGGCGUGCGGUAAGCACGGGACACAGCGACAGACCAAGGCACUGGUGGUCAGACAAAUUGUGCAGGGGGUUCUGAAGCAGUGUUGACAAGUACCGGAUUCAAGUUGGUUACUGGGUCUAUCAGUGCCGGAAGAUGGACAAGAGUUGACCAUGGAGAAUCUGAGAAAGUGGCGAAGAGUCUGGAAUUGUCAAAAGCUGAGAGAGUACAUGGCCGUAUAUCCUGUUAUGUUCAGUGCACAUGGCAAAGUGCAGAUGACAAGACAGAAGGAGGUAGAGUGCUAUAGCGGUGUGACAAGUCAAAGACUAUCCGGAAGAAGGGUGAGACAACUGCGAAUUUGACUCAGGGUGGCACAGGGCGACGGUGAAAUUCCUUCAAGUUUCAGACAAGCAGUUUAGGUAACUCUUAUAUGUGACGUCCAAUACGUGUGUUGUUCAUUUUCACGCAGACAGUGGUCGGUGUGUGAUGGCGUUGAGCGGAUACUCCGGAAGUUAGGAGCACAACGUAGAGUAAUGAGGAACUUAAUUUUGCUCGAGUGCUGACCGUGAAGAAGACAAGAAGGGACUACAGUUGCAGGUGGAGUCACGUGAAGUCUGGGAGUAGCAGCGGUGCUCAUGGCGUAUCUCAAGUCUAAUAUACAUGGAGGUUCGACGCAUGGAUAAAUCCAAGGCGAUGAAGAAUAUUCGCCAAGGUGGAGUUUAUUAGAAUUGUGUUGAAUAUUAUUGUACAAGAUAGGUUACAGUUGGACUUGUUUUAGGACUGACGGGGUAGGAGGCAUGUCCAAAUAGAACACUUGUAUCAUAGGCCUCUCAUAUAUAGCGGAGGUAGACACACGAUGCAACCUAUGCCAACAUAAUAGCACGGGCAUGCGGGGAGCCGGCGGCGUGUGCCGGCGCCCGGGCGGCCGGGGUGCGGUAUUGUGACGGUGUCACGGGGAGGAGCAUCCGUAGUCAGGCCCCGGGGUGUAGCCAUAUCGGUGAAUCUCAUUAACAAAUCUCGGUGUCGUGCUCCUGUGAUUGCUUGGUCCUUGGAUAAUUGACGGUAUACCUCGGAUUUAUUUUAACAGUUCUGCUAAGAGGUCAGAUUGGUAUAUGUAUAUGGUGCUUGCUAUCUAGGCACCUAGCUAGUUGAGUGAAGAGACUACUCUUUGUAGAUCAGCAGAGAAAGUGGUGCCAGGAAUUAUGUGCUGCAGCUGUAUCUAAAACAUGUUGUGUUAUUUCAAAAGAAAGGCAUUAGAAAGUGUGAAAAGUUGCUUAAAUCGUGCAUGCGUGUGCAGUUUGAAUUCAAGGUAUGUUCCGUGCAUCCGUACUAGAUAGCUUGAUCAAAUGGUGCCAGGAAUUACGUACUGCAGAAAAAAUGUAUAACAGUCACUGACUCACUGUAACGUGCUGUGUUUUCUCCAUGGAAACAAAUAGUACAAAAAGUUUGUAGAUGCGUAUCUGCAUUCCCAGAAGUAGAGUCUCCGAACUGGUUUUACUGAACCAUGGUAACAACUAACAAUGUGAGAUUUAAUAUCAAAUUGUUGAGCUGCAACUGCAGGUUGUGCAAUAAGUGCACGCAUAAAAUCUUCAUCUAGAGUGCACACAUAAUACAAAUCUUUUUUAGUUAUUGAUAAACUUGCAUAAAGAUAAACUAAGGACAAAACAAAGUAAACAUUAAAAACUAAAAGUAAAAACAAGGGCUCUAGUCACCUUACUAAGGUAGCAGAAAUGAUUCCCGCCAACGGCACCAAAAAAAGGAUUGGUUACCUUUGAUCUGGUUUCAGAUGUAGAUUGUUUUAUUUUUCCAAGAGAUGUUAUUGAAUCCAUGGGAAUGUCUGCUAAAGAUAAAGGUGGUUUAAUUUCUAUAAGCACUUGUUAAUAGAAUGCAGUUUCCCGGAUCGAAAACACAUGGUUUAUAAGAAGAAACAAUAGCAAGGAAAAUAAGACACGCUGCUAGCUCGCUUCGAUGUGUGUGGUGGUCCGGCCUAAGAUCGAUUUCCUAGGACGAUGAGCAGGUUGCUAAAGUGAAAAAUUACGUGGUAUUGGUAGGUACACCAAGCAGCGAUUGCCAUCCAACAUCGUAUAUUCUCUUUCCAUGUUGUAUAAUGGUUUCUCAUGUUUAAAGAAUAUUGAUAUUUCAGCAUCUGGCCCCCACAGCUGUACUCUACAUGCAUGUAUGGCAGCAAUAUGGCGGAACACUCUCUGUCUUCUCCCACACAAUAAAUUCAACCAUUUCUUUCACUUUGUCUAAUUUAAAACAUCCAUAUAAUUUAAACCAUAUAAGAGUUUUUGAAAAAAAAAUAAACUCCUUGCGUCGAAACCUUUAAUGAGAUCAAUCUUUGAUAUUUUUCAAUCAUGUUCAAACUCGAAUGCAUAUUUCACAUUUUGAAAAUAAUCAAUUUCACAAUGAUACAAACAAUUUCACUUUCUGUAGUUACUAUUUAACAAUUCAGAACAUAUAUCUCACUUUUCACUAACUUGUUUCAUAAAAAAUACAUUUAGUUCAAUUGCACAAUUUUCAAAACAGAUAUUUCACUCUUUUAAAAUAAAUUGUUACACACUUCCAAAUAAUCAGUUUCACAAUGAUACAUUUAAAUUUCACUUUUUGUAGUUACUCUUACAAUUCAGAACCAACAUUUUACUUUCCACUAGCUUGUUUCAACAAAAUCGCAUCUAUUUCUAUUACACAUUGUUGAAAUAACAUAUUUCACUCUUUUGGAAUAAACUGUUACACAUUUGUAAAAAAAUCAUCAUAAAAACACAUCUAUUUCAAUUGCACAUUUUAAGAAUUUAUUUCACAUUUCAAAAAUAAUCUGUUUCACAAUAAUACAUUAUAAUUCACUUUGUGUGGUUACCAAUUCACAAUUUCUGAACCUAUAUUACAAUUAUAUUUUGUGUGACACGUUUAAAUGUCACAACUAUUUCAAUUGCACAUUUUUAGUGUAUGUGAAACAGGUUUUUCUUGUAUCUGAAAUAUAAUUGGGUUAAAUAGAUUUCUAGCGAAAUGGGUUUGUUUCACAUAUUCCUAGUGAAAAAGGUUUGUUUCAAUUUUUCUAGUAAAAUCAGUUUGUUCAACGUACGAAAUGUGAAACAUUGAAAAUUAAAUGUGCUUGCAAUAUAUCCAAUAUUGUUCUAGUUCUAAAGGUCUUGGUGGCAGGAGUUCAAAUAUAAAUUAUUUCAAAAAUGAACUUAUAUUUCAAACGAUAUUGAUGAUUUAAUUUAGUGAAGGUGAAAUAAAAGGAUGGAUUUAUAUGUGAGAGAAGAGAGACAGUGGGUACUGUAACAAUGCUUUCAUCCCUGCCAUAUCAAGCACAAAUGCUUGUGGCCCAUAGUUGUAUUAUGUCUAGUAUUCAAUUUGAAUAAUAGAAAGACGGGAAUAAAAGUUGUCCAUCGCUCGGAUCUUAAAGCAUGUUGUCAAUGAUGAGAUCCUUGCCAGUAAGUACUGCUACCGGGCAAACUGACGUUCUGAGCAGGUUGCGGCAUGUGGUGGUGCUACCUCACUACGUCGGUGGAUGUGGUGGUCACCAAUGAGUCUUCAUAAAGGUUUCUCUCUUCAGAUCCGGUGCCUACUGCCGGGGGCCCAUUCUUGCGAGGUUGCGGGGUGCCUACUGUUGAGGGCAAGCCGCAAGGAAAACCCAUCAAAAAAGUUGCCGCGCACUUGCCGCUUGCCGCUCCGCCUUCCUGUCCGGGAGACGCCUCAACGCCGGACACCUUGCCACACACAUGUGACGCGCCGCUAGGGAAGUACGUGACGCCGCGUUCCUCGAGGCCGGCCCUGGCUUCACCGAGUGCAUUGGAGGACGACGAGACGAAAAGGAGCGGGGGACAUAGUUGCAGCGGCUAUGGUUCUACCCCGAGCCGUCAGGGAGAGGGCGCGGGGGUCGCGUAUCCGGUUGUUCGAGCUAGUUGAGUGUAUGCGUCCACGGCAGUGUAGUGCUCACAUCUAGGCCCUCAACACGUACCCAUCCCGUUCGCGUUGCCGCUGCCGAGUGUCGGCGCUGUGUGACGCUGCACGUGCAGCCAUGCGCACACGUCUUUGUUUACCACUCGGCUCCCAGAGCUCCCAUGUCCCCAACUUUCCAAUGCCAUUUUUGCCGGUGCCGAUGACCAUAGUACGGGAGCCAGCUCGGUGAUUAUGUUUGUUAUCAUCAUCAUGCGCUUGAGACUUUCCAAUAUCUUGUGGGCAUCUCGUAUCAUACAUGCCCAUCAUGUAUUCAUGCCCAGCAAAGAACAAACGACAACACACAAUGAUACUACACAUAAUUUGAUGGUAAAGAUCUAUUAGAAGUCCUGGCUUAUAAAAAGACACCACUUACUUUCAGAAAAAGGAUUCGGCAUCCCAAUUCACACCCAAAAAAAACAUGUACCCAUCUACAUGAACUUAGAAAAGUAAACAAAUACAUUUGGUCAUUGUUUGUUAUCAUUGUUUCAAAUAACUUAUCAUUUGUCACGUGGUAUGAUACUAUCUGUAAUUUAACAUCCUACGUUAUGCAUGUUAAUAUAAUUCCAUUAAUUAUUACGUAUCAAAUAAUAGCUAGACUGUGCAGGUGCAUGGGGUGAUGACUAGUGUGACGAAUUAUUACUGCAUUUAUUUCUUACUUGCUCCCAUUCACCAAACAAGUGUAUAUAUAGCUCACAUCCACCCUGGUUUGUAAUGAUCACCUAGCAAGGAACAGAGUGAAGAAAGAUACAUAUAGGUUUUAUUCAUCUCAAGUGAGCUAGCCGCUAUGGAUACAUUACUCCUCAAGACAAUUGUCCUCAAUUUUACUCUACUAAAGUCAUGUUUCAACAAUAGAACGGACAUUAUAGCAUAUGCACAUUACUACAAAUAUGUUAGAUUUGGGAGCCAUUAGGAAAAGAUUUGGUUGUAGUUGUUCAUUAUCUGGAACUGCAUAGUCGCCCGCACCAUUAUUAUAUGGUCCCACGAUGCACGAGACGAGCAGAGUUAGCAAGAAACUGUAGAAUAAGAGGAACCAGACUCUUGUUGGGUCUUGCAGACUAAGAGCAUGGUUAGUUUCAUGGGAAAGUUUUUCUUACCAGUGUAUGGAUGAGCACAAAAUAUUAGCUAUUAAUUAGUUUACAAACAAACUAUCUGGCUUAUCUCUACUAGUUUUUGUAAGAAGUGGUUAUGCCAAAUAUGGGCUAGCCAGGUCAUUGGUUGUAAACAAACUUUGCCCUACAAUUGGAUAUUUGCAAACCUUGAGAAACAUGAGUGCAAUGACGAUGCAAUUUCGAUGGUCAGGUUACACAUAUACACUUAGCCCUAAAACACACACUACACCACGGUACAGUAUUCCCUACUGACGUGUGUUGGAAAAGAUGUCUAUUACCGACCGAUCAGUAGUGGAGAAAACUCUCGUCAGACUGUUGGUCGGGAAAACCUUCGUAUGCUAACAAAUUAUCGGUCGGGAAUGCAUGCACAUUUGCCAUCGAGCGGUCGGUCGGAAAUUCUCUUGUACCCAUCGAACUGUGGGUCGGCAAAUAACGCCGACCGACCGCCUGUGGCUAAAUGGGCCAAGCGCGCGCAGACGCAAAUUUUUAGCGCUAAAUUUUGGCACAUCCCGCGAACCUCACCGCUCUUUUCCUCCAGGUCCCGUGGAAUCCCUAAUUCCCCCACCACGAGCCGCCACUCGCACCGCACAUCACGAGUCACGACGCUCACUGUUCUCUCCGGUCGGCCGUUACACCGCGCGCGUCGUCGUCCUCAAACCCUCCCGACGCCCCACACCGCCCAUCCCCCACGAACUCGUACCCUCUCCUCCACCAAGGUGCUCCGUCCCCAUCCCGUCACCAAGAACUCCGGCCUCGUCAUCGUCCUGGGCACCAGGUAGAUCCCGGUGAAGACUAGGCUCAACCAGUGUCAGAAGCUCCUGUUGGCCGUGGCGGGGCACUGCUCCACGCCAUCUUGCUUCUUCACUGCCGCCCCCGCGUCGUCCUGCCUCUCCACCGGUGCCCCCAAACCGGCCUGCUUCCCACCAUCGCCGCCCACUCCUUGCUGCCGCUGCCAGCAAUUUCCCACGGUGAGGCAACUCCCUCCCCCCCUCCGCUCUCCCCCUGCUCUGUUUCUCGAACCUGACAACCAAAUUCAUCUCCCAGAUCGGAACACAUCAGCACUGGCGGGUUCUUCUUCAGAAGACUAGACGUCUAGCGUUCAUCUUCAGAGACCAUAUCCAUUUGACGUGCAACCACACUCUGGUGAGUUUCUCUGCCCCGAGUCUUGACGACCUCCUUAUGUGUGGAUGUCAAAAGAUGUGUGUUGUUUUUGCAACUGUGCAAUGACGGGUGAGGCAACUCUCUUAAAAAUCCUUCAACAUUAUGUUUCUCGUCUGUGAUUUAGUGCACUGUCUGUGGUUGUUCUUUGCUUAGAAAACAUUAUCGUCAGAUCUGUUGGUAUAUGAUGACUUGAACUAAUUUUAGUUUCAGAUGAAUUUUGUUCAUAAGAUGUGGUGUGUAGAGGCUCUUUUUUCUUUCUUUCAGUAGAUGAUGUUUUGAUUUAGUAGCUUGGAGCCUGGCACUUUAAUUCAAAACUGGUGUGAAUACCUAAAAUGAUAAAAAGAGCAGGAAAUGGUGGCUAGCAAACUUAUCUUUUUUAUAAAAUUUAUGAGCUGAAUGUCCAGGUAAUGCUUUGUCUAUAACUAAUUUGGCUGCUAGAUUUUUUGAAGUUGUUAGACUGUACUUUGAUGGUUAUAUAUUAGAGCUAAAGAACAAUAUGUACACAACAAUAAAGAAGAAUAUGUACUUUUUCUCUUACGAGAGCAUCUCUAAGCUUUUCUAAUAUGUCAUCCUAGUCUAUUGCUAUUAGCUCCCAGCCAAUGCAGUGUGUGAACAAGUACUGAAUGUUUUGUUUAGGCUUUGGUUCUUAUGUGAUUUUUUAUUUAGAAAACCACAUCGUGGGCAUUCAUCUUGAAGUCAUCUAACGUGCUUGUUGCAACCACUUUGGUGAGUUUCUCCACCCCAUGUAUUGAGGCCCUCCUUAAGUGUGGAUGCAAUUAAUGUAUACAACCCCUUUUCACACUUUGGAUUUUCCUUAAACAUAGAUCAUGUAUGUUGAUUGCUGAAGUAGAUUACUUUAGUAUUGCAAGUGUUUUCACCUACAUGUGACAUCUGAACUAGCAGUUUUGUAGUACAAUCUCGCUUUUAAAGCUUUGAAAUUUCCAUUGCAGCCAUCAAAGUCUGUUCACCCUAUGAUUCAACUUCUAGAUAUUUCUCAUGGUAAUCAUAAUCCAAUUAAUUAUGUUGUUCAUGACCAUGUCCUGCUAGUGCGGCACCGUUUGAUUCGUUCCUGGUUUAGUGUCUUGCUUACAUGCUUGAUUGAGUUAAGUGUACAAUAAAGAAAGGGGCCUCAAUCUGUUAUUUAGAUAUGUUUUACAUCUACGCUUCUCUGAAAUAAAUGAAAUUUAGUGUUGAGCUGAACCAUACUACUUGGUGAGAAAUGGUAAGCAUCUGCUCUAUGGAACACCAUGUUUUUCUUUGUUGAAUUGGAUAUCGUACGCUUGGUCCUCCUUGACAAAUAACACCUUGUGUUCAACUUGUUUAUUUCAGAUUUUGAUUUCUAAUAGUUAUUCUUGUAUGGAGAAUGUGACACCACAUGUAAAACCUUGUAGGUGAACAUUUAAAGCACUGCCCAGCAAAUGAAGGGUGGAAACAGUACUAACCAGGAAUGCCACUAUUCAAUGGGAUCCGAAUGACGCCUGGAAUCCUGAAAGGUGGGUUAUUAUGUUUUAUUUGGCUAUUAAGUCGUACCUGCAGGAUCAAAUAUACAGACAUGGUAUAGUUAUCCCUGCAGGAUCAUGCUUGUUUUUAGCAAUAAUACAUUCUAGGGCAAACAAAAACAUGAGAUUAUACUGAUAUUAUGUACUCCCUCCGUCCCAAAAUUCAAGACAAGAAUUUUGGGACGGAGGGAGUAUGUACAUUCAUAAAAGGGGAACUUGUGUCUUUGGCCAAUUUUUUUCUCUUUCAAUGAAAUUUAUCAGGUAAUUUGGUUAUCCUUAAAUAAAGUUCCGUGACAUUCACUUGCUAUUCCUGCUGCUCCUCCUCCUGUUUAGACCGUGGGCAAUAUAUAUAAAUUAUGGCAUAUAUGUCAUUCCUGGCCAUUUGCUGUUAAUAUCAUGGCAUACUAAUCUCAGGUGUUAAUCUGAAACUACCACAGUAAUUGGUACGACCGGUAUGUCUGAAAGUUCAUCCAAGAAAUAAACAAAAGGGAAAUUGGGUUACAUUAAAUAGGACACUCUAAUAUACUUCCCUACAGUCUUCUAAUUACUACUGUCCAAGUGCUGAGGUUGCAUUCCUUGCAUCAUGUUCCCCUUAUUCCUUGAGUAAAAGGGUUGUGUAUAUGAAGAACUGUCAAAGUUUCUGCAGUCGCUCUACUGGUAUUCCUAUAUUUUUCCCAUCUGUACAAAAAACAAAAGCACCAAAUAUAUUCUUACCUCUUCCAUGUUAGGGGCACUUAUACAAGAAAGGAGAUGGUUUUGGAUAUGAAGGUAUAAAAAUAUAUAGUGCAUCAUCAAACAAUGGAAGAAGCUAUAGCAGAUCUGAAUAUCAACAAAAAAAUGCAGAACUUAAUUAGUUUCUGGAGCAUAUACUUAAAGGAUCAUAGAUCAUGCAGGUUCAUAACAUGGAAAUGCUCUUAGAAAGGUGGUUUACAUGGAUGUUGUCCUCUAUUUGUCUAACCAAAAGUAUGGCGAAUCUUACUACGAUGUAAUUGUUACACUGUCGUUCACUUACAGUAAGAUAGUAAGUGAUAAUUUUUCGCUGUCGUUUUUGUGUAUAUUUAUUUCUUUCUAAAAAAGUAGGGUACAAUCUGGAAUAUUAGUAUAUUGGUUCCAUCCUACUUGCUGUAAAUGCUUGAUUUUGAUGGAUUUUGUUCAUGGCUUUGAUUAUACAGUCUGGAAUUUUACCCUUUUGCGACAAAUUCAACAGAGUAUACAAUCCAAUACCAAUGAUUUCAAUUAUCAUGGUGUAUUCAGGUCAAACCUAAAUACUAGUCUGCGUCCGCCUACCUUGGCAGGGAUACCAGGUUAAUCUACUUUGGUGUUGUGGCCUCUUUUCUUCUUACUCGUAGUUUUUAGGAGCUAAGACGAUACUUUCGGGCAUUCUGAAAGAGUCACAUCUAUAAUUAGCUACCAGGUAGCUAUAUCCAGUGUGAAAUACUAGAAAACUGUACAUCUACUGAAAGAGUCACAGUUAUAUUUAUUUAGCUUCCAGCUCAUUUUAUCCACUAUCUAUAAAGUUGUAUGUUUAUUUUUUUGGAAACAAGUGUUGGAAUAUUGGCUAGUACCUAUGUACAGUAACUUAAGUAUAUCCUCAGCACACUCUAUGAUCAGCAAUCAUACAGAGUAAAUGAUGCAUUUCCUUUCAAGUGGAUAGACAAAAGGUGGACAGAGGGCUUCUAUGCCACAUCCAUGUCUACUGCUGGAUGUUGAUUGGCGGUCUUCAUGACCAGAAAUGCUAGUUUUGUAGAUUAGGCAAGUGUAUUCUUCUUUCUGCUGUUGUGUGUGCACAGUACACAUGUGAAUUCUGGCUGCAUUCAAUUUCAUAAAUUAAUUGAUCAUUCUAAUGAGACUUGUUUAACUUUUGUAGGAAACAACCAUAAGGACUCGACUCACAAUGACCCAUGAAGCCAGCGAUCCGCAUCACCGAAUGUUUUACUUUUCAUUUUGUACAACUGCGUCCUUUGUUGAACCUGAUGUAUGGUGUAUUGGUGAUUAUGUUUAGAACAGAAUGAUGUGUAUGUAUGUGACCAUUAGAGAAUGGAAUAAAAAAUGUUUGGUGCACCUGAUGUAUGAUGUCUUCGUGAUUAUGCUUAAAACACAUGAACUAUAUGUAUGUGACAAUCAGUACCAUAUGUUAGUUAAAGUUGUGAUUGGAUAAACAAAAUGUAAAUGAAUUUUUGGUCGCAAAAGAAAACGCUGGGCAAAACAAACCCUGCCCGACUGUCAGUUGGGAAAGGCUAAAAUAGGCCAAACAGAAUGUUGGUCGGGAAAGAAUUCCCAUCCGAUAGUUGGUCGGGAAAGGCCCACGGCUACCCCAACGGGCUGUUGGUCGGGAAAGGCCCAUGGCAAGCCCAACAUAUUGUUGGUCGGGAAAGAUUCGCCAUACCCAUAAAGCAGUCGGUCGGGAAAGAUAUGUCGGUCGGGUAAGGGUUUUCCCGUCUAGACUUUCCCCAACGGACACGAUUGGUCGGCAAUAGUGUUUCCUGACCGACUGUUUGUUGGCGGAAGUUGUUUUCCCGACCAAGUAGGUUGUUGGGAAUGUAGUGUUAUGGUGUAGUGACAUGUAUAUGUAGUUUUAAAAUAGUGUGCAUGAAUAUGUGUACCUCUAAGAACCACACGGUCGUGUAAGACAUACCAACAUCGGAAUGUCUUCUAAAGUCCGAGGUAGCUGAGUGUAUGCGUCUACAGCAGCGUAGUGCCCCGUCACAUUCAGGUCAUCAACACAUACCCAUGCCGCGCGCACUACCGCUGCCAAGUGUCGGCGCCACGUGACACUGCUCGUGUGGCCAUGUGCGUGUCUUGUGUUUACCACUCGGCUCCCGGAGCUCCCACGUCUCCUACUUUCCCAAGCCAUUUUUCCGGUGCCGGUGACCAUGUCAUGGGAGCCAGCUCUGUGAUUAUGUUUGUUAUCAUCAUCAUGUGUCUGAGACUUUAGAAGACCUUGUGCGCAUCUCGUAUCGUACUUUCCCAUCAUGUAUUCAUGCUAAGCAAAGAGCAAACGACAACACAGAAUGAUAAUGCACGUAGUAAAUGCACAUGCAAUGUGUGAUGAUGAGGCGUUGAGAUGUCAGCGUACCUGCAACUAAUGGUGGGCAUGUGUUGCGCUGUACUCUAUCGCGCGUUUAUAGCAAAACUCUCUUUCAACUAUUAAAGCCAUUUAUGUGUAACCAUGACACGCGCCAGCUGAUCACCAGUAAUACUACCAUGACACGCGCCAUACAUGUCGGUAUUACGUCCAUGCGUAGCAUAAGACAACACACCAUUAUCAUCGCAGAAUAUGACACGCCUUCAUACAUGCAUGCCGAAUUAAGGUUGUCACCAUCAUCAUGGAAGAAUAUGAGCACGUCUAGCUGUGAUAUUAAGGCGAAGGCAAUUAAAUGUCAUGAGCAUACCACAAGAAUAUGGCCAUAUACUUUUAAUUCAAGGCCUCGACAUGCGGAUCUGGCAGUGCACAAAACGUUGUUAUCGGCAACAACGACAAAAAUCAUGCGUGCAUGUGUGGGAGAUUAUGGUUCAGCUGCCGGUGACACAAGCAUGUUACACCUACUAUGUGGAAUAUUUUAGUGCAAGGGACCUUGUUAGAGUUGUGUCGAAUAUUGUGUACAAGUUAGGUUACAGUUGGACUCUGAGUUGUAUUGUGUUUAGAUAGGAUAUGUAGUCAUGUCCUAAUAGGAAACUUGUAUCCUAGGCCUCUCAUAUAUAACGGGGGUAGACACACGAUCUAACAUAUGCCAACAUAAUAGCACAGGCGCGCAAGGGGGAGCCGGCGGCGUGUGCCGGCGCCCGGGUGGCCGGUGUGCGGUAUUGUGACGGUGUCACGGGGAGGAGCGCUCGUAGUCAUGCCCGGGGAUGUAGCCAUAUCGGUGAACCUCGUUAACAAAUCUCGGUGUCGUGCUCGUGUGAUUGCUUGAUCCUUGGAUGAUCUACGAUAUGCCUCGGAUUUAUUCUAACAAGUGGUAUAAUGAGCUAGGUUGUUCGGAGGCUGUGAUUGAGUUGAUCUUGAGGAAUUUGCGUGGAGUUGCUGCGAGGAAAUCUAAUUCGUUUAAUAACGAGCGUCGAGUUGGAAGCGGCCGAAAGGUCGUACUCGGCAUGAUCAAGCUGUUAAUCGAAGCAGUUGAGAUCGAUUGGAAUUAGAAAUCAGCGACUGGAACGAGGGAGCAGCAGAUCAGAUGGCUCGGCUCGGCUUUGGAGGCCGCCUAGAAAAGCGUGUGGCUAGCUGAGCCCUGUGUGGCAUGGCGUGCUGGGGCGGCAGGCUUGGAGCCUGGAGGGCUAGCGAUGCUGUCCGGGUUGGAAGCGUGAGGGCGUACGUGGAAGCGCAAGGACGUGGCCAGGCUGAUCGGGAAGCCGUAGUGAGAUUUGUUUUGGAAAAGAAAAAGAGAGGACCAGGUUCUCGUGUAGGACACGGAAAGAGGCACAAACAGAUCGUUUUGAGCGGAGGGAAAAAGACCAUCACGUUGUGCAUCCAUUGGAAAGCAGAGACUUGGCAAGACAACACUAGCAUCAUAUAUUGAGCCAGGAGCAUAUCACGAUUUUUGCUAUUAGUACACAGGGGUGUACCUUAUCAGGUUUUGUUUGUGUACUUGGGGCAUUGUGGUGGAGCUCGGUUAAUUUUUCACAGGAUGAAAAUUUUGUUGGCACGACAGGGAUGCUUGAAGGUGUUGCAGGAAGUCAUGUCAGCUAAGAUGGAAUUAUCUGGUGAUGGAUGGAGAUUCGCGGAAGACGUUUUGGGAGUCUCGAGUGUGUCAUGCAGUCGGAUAAGUUUGGCUGGGCCAGACUUGGACAGUCUGACGGAUCGACGCAAGUCGGUUGGUACAAAAGACGGUGCGGGAUCAGCGGUGGCGACAUAGGAGCGUGAUGCUGAUGGUGGCCGACUUCUAGGACGUGGAAACACGUGGCGCAGGUUAGAGGACUUGUGUGGCUUCGACAAGGCUAUGGCGCGGGGUUGAUUCAAGACGGUGCACAUGAGAGCUUAGAUCGACGGGGCGCGGGGUGGCACGUACAGCCACCAUGGAGUCAUGUUGAAGGUGGAGCUGGAUUGAGGGGCUACGGCGUAAGUGCACAGAGAGUCGAAGCCUAUUCAGCUGGAAAAAAGUGAGUGACACGUAGUUCGGACUGGAGCCCAGUGGUCUGAUGAAAGCGUGAAACUCGUCAUCGGUCGGUGAUGAUCGGUGGUACUCUGCAGUGGGGUUGAGUGGUGUGGGUUCGCGGCCCUUGAGACUCGACCGGGAUAGCGGAGGCUCGACGCAGUAAUAGCAGCGAGGUGUGCGGUAUGCAUGGGACAAGGAGACGGGCCAGGGCUCUGGUGGUCAUACAUGUGGUGAGACAACUGUGAAUUUGACUCGGGAUGACUAAAAGCAAUGGUGAAAUUCCUUCAAGUUUCAGACAGGCGGUCAAGAAAGGAGCGGUGAUGUUGAGUUCAGGUAACUCUUAUGUGUGACAUCCAAUAUGUGAGUUGUUCACUUUCACGCAGGUCAGUGAUCAGUGUGUGAUGACGUUGGACUGAUACUCUGAAAGUUGGGAGCACAAACUAGAGUAACAAGGAACUUAAUUUUUCUCGAGUGUUGACUGUGGUCAUGAAAAGAAGGGACUACAAGUUGCAGGUGGAGUCAUAUGGAGUCUUUGGAGUAGCAGCGGUGCUCAUAGGAUAAGCUCAAGUCCAAUGUACAUGGAAGUUUGACGCAUUGACAAAUUCAAGGUGGUGAAGAAUAUUCGCCAAGGUGGAGUUUGUUAGAGUUGUGUCGAAUAUUGUGUACAAGUUAGGUUACAGUUGGACUCUGAGUUGUAUUGUGUUUAGAUAGGAUAUGCAGUCGUGUCCUAAUAGGACACUUGUAUCCUAGGCCUCUCAUAUAUAGCGGGGGUAGACACACGAUGUAACUUAAGCCAACAUAAUAGCACAUGCGCGCAAGGAGGAGCCAGCGGCGUGUGCCGGCACCCGGGUGGCCGGUGUGCGGUAUUGUGACGGUGUCAUGGGGAGAAGCACCCGUAGUCAUACCCCAGGGAUGUAGCCAUAUCGGUGAACCUUGUAAAGAAAUCUCGGUGUCGUGCUCGUGUGAUUACUUGGUCCUUGGAUGAUCUACGAUAUGCCUCGGAUUUAUUCUAACAGACCUUUUAGUGACACUACAUGGAUGCCGGAGACUCUCAUAUUUAAGGUGCAGGACCGCCCCUCACUAGUAGAAAAGGGGGAAAAGGCCCAGGCCGGGUCAGCCCAUUAGUCCCAGUUCAGUCCAGAACCGGGACCAAUGGGGGCAUUGGACCCGGUUCAUGAGCCCAGGGGGCCGGCCGGGCCACAUGGGCCAUUGGUCCCGGUUCGUCUGGACCUUUUGGUCCCGGUUGGUGGGACGAACCGGGACCAAUGGGCCUCGCUCCUGUCCCAUCACCAUUGGUCCCGGUUGGUGGCUUGAACAACCGGGACCAAUGAGGUGCCUAUAUAUACCCCCUCGCGUAAGAGCAGAGCACAUUGCUCUGUUUUUUCUGGCCGAGGGGGAGAGGGCUUGGUGGUGCUCUAGCUCACCUCCUAUGCACACAAGGUGUUCGAUGGAAUGCCCGAGCCACACUACUUAAGCUUCCUCCUCUCCAAGCUCGACCUCCAAACUCCAUUUUCCUCAAUAUUUGUCUAGGUUUAACGGUCCGUCACGCCCCGUCCCCGUCUUCACCGCCGUCGAUCACCCGCGCCGAGCUCAUCGCCGGCACCACCGUGGUGAGCCUCUUGUUCUUAUCUUCUUUCUGAAAGGAAAAUAUAUUCUUACUUGUAUGUUUACAUAGAUACUUGUAUUAUUUUCUUACUUUUAUUAUUGCAUCUUAUAUAGUGCGAUGGUUUUGGUAUCCGCCCCCGUCGGCUCUCGUCAUGUCUAUGAUUCGGAGGUGGUAUAUAUAUUAUCUUAAUAACUAUUGGUUCAUUUAUUGUUUAUGAAAAUUAUGCCGACCAACGUGACAUAGAUUUUAUUUAUCUAGGAUGUAUGUGAACCGGAAAUUCCAACCGACCCUAUUGUCGAGAGGUUAAAUUUAGUUGAAGAAGAAAACAAUUUCUUGAAGGAAAAAAUAAAAAAAAAUUGAGAAGGAGAAGAUGAUAUUGGAGUUGCAUGUUGCGGAUGUCGUCGAUGAUCACAAGAUCAAAAUUGAUGCAAUGCGCUUGAAGAUUAGAAAGAUUAGAAAAUAUGCCAUUCAUACCGAUGCUUGGUAUCAUUAUGCCGUUGGAUCAAUUGUUACCCUGGUUGCGAUUAUGAUCGCAUUUGUUUUCGCAUUGAAAUGUUUUACAUAGUUUCAAUGUAUGGUUUAAUUAAUUAGAUGCUCUGGAGAGCUAUAUGUUGUUAGAUGAGAACUAUGUAUGUACUUUGGUUUUAAUGUGAUGAUGAACUUCUAUUAAUUUGGACACUUAAUUAUAUAUAAUGCACGCAGAUGAACCGGCAAUGGAUGUACGGUGACAGACACACCUCCGAGUACAUUAAGGGCGUGCAAGAGUUUCUCGAUGCGGCUGAGGAAAACAAGCAAAAUGGUUUUAUGUGUUGUCCAUGCACUGAAUGUGGGAAUACGAUGUCUUACUCUAACCGGAAAAUCCUUCACUCCCACCUGCUUUACAAGGGUUUCAUGCCACACUAUAAUGUUUGGACGAGGCACGGAGAAAUAGGGGUUAUGAUGGAAGACGGAGAAGAAGAAGAGUACGAUGACAACUAUGUGCCCCCUGAAUACGGUGAUGCUGCAAUGGGGGGAGCUGGUGAAGAUCAAGAGGAACCAGACGAUGUGCCUAAUGAUGCUGCAACGGAUGAAGCUACUGAAGAUCAAGAGGAACCAGACGAUGUGCCCGAUGAUGAUGAUCUCCGUCGGGUCAUUGUCAAUGCAAGGACGCAAUGCGAAAGUCAAAAGGAGAAGCUGAAGUUUGAUCGCAUGUUAGAGGAUCACAAAAAAGGGUUGUACCCCAAUUGCGAAGAUGGCAACAUAAAGCUCGGUACCAUACUGGAAUUGCUGCAGUGGAAGGCAGAGAAUGCUGUGCCUGACAAAGAAUUUGAGAAGCUACUGAAAAAAUUGAAGAAAAAGCUUCCAAAGGAUAAUGAAUUGCCCGACAGUACAUACGCAACAAAGAAGGUCGUAUGCCCUCUAGGAUUGGAGGUGGAGAAGAUACAUGCAUGCCUUAAUGACUCCAUCCUCUACCGCGGUGCGUACAAGGAUCUAAACGCAUGCCAGGUAUGCGGUGCAUUGCGGUAUAAGAUCAGACGAGAUGACCCUGGUGAUAUUGACGGUGAGCCCCCCAAGAAGAGGGUUCCUGCGAAGGUGAUGUGGUAUGCUCCUAUAAUACCUCGGUUGAAACGUCUGUUCAGAAAUGGAGAGCAUGCCAAGUUGAUGCGAUGGCACAGUGAGGACCGUAAGAAAGACGGGAAGUUGAGAGCACCCGCUGACGGGUCGCGGUGGAGAAAAAUCGAGAGAAAGUACUGGGAUGAGUUUGCAAAGGACCCAAGGAACGUAUGGUUUGCUUUAAGCGCGGAUGGCAUUAAUCCUUUCGGGGAGCAGAGCAGCAAUCACAGCACCUAGCCCAUGACUCUAUGUAUGUAUAACCUUCCUCCUUGGAUGUGCAUGAAGCGGAAGUUCAUUAUGAUGCCAGUUCUCAUCCAAGGCCCUAAGAAACCCGGCAACAACAUUGAUGUGUACCUAAGGCCAUUAGUUGAAGAACUUUUACAGCUGUGGAAUGGAAAUGGUGUACGUACAUGGGAUGAGCACAGACAGGAGGAAUUUAACCUAAAGGCGUUGCUGUUCGUGACCAUCAACGAUUGGCCCGUUCUCAGUAACCUUUCAGGACAGACAAACAAAGGAUACCAUGCAUGCAUGCACUGUUUAGAUGACACUGAAAGUAUAUACCUGGAAAAAUGUAGGAAGAAUGUGUACCUGGGCCAUCGUCGAUUUCUUCCGACCAACCAUCAAUGUCGAAAGAAAGGCAAGCAUUUCAAAGGUGAGGCAGAUCACCGGAAGAAGUCUGCCAUGCGUACCGGUAAUCACGUACUUGCUAUGGUCAAUGAUUUACACGUAAUCUUUGGAAAGGGUCCAGGCGCACUAGCUGUUCCGAAUGACGCUGAGGGACACACACCCAUGUGGUAGAAGAAAUCUAUAUUUUGGGACCUACCCUACUAGAAAGACCUAGAGGUCCGCUCUUCAAUCGACGUGAUACACAUGACGAAGAACAUUUGCGUGAACCUGCUAGGCUUCUUGGGCGUGUAUGGAAAGACAAAAGAUAAACCUGAGGCAUGGGAGGACCUGCAACGUUUGCACGAAAAAGACGGGAUGCCUCCGAAGCAGUAUGAAGGUCCUGCCAGCUACGCUCUUACGAAAGAAGAGAAAGAAAUCUUCUUUGAAUGCCUGCUCAGUAUGAAGGUCCUGACUGGCUUCUCGUCGAAUAUAAAGGGAAUAAUAAAUAUGCCAGAGAAAAAUUUCCAGAACCUAAAGUCUCAUGACUGCCACGUGAUUAUGACACAACUGCUUCCGGUUGCAUUGAGGGGGCUUCUAUCGGAAAACGUCCGAUUAGCCAUUGUGAAGCUAUGUGCAUUCCUCAAUGCAAUCUCUCAAAAGGUGAUCGGUCCAGAAAUCGUACCAAGGCUAAGGAGUGAUGUGGCGCAAUGUCUUGUCAGUUUCGAGCUGGUGUUCCCACCAUCCUUCUUCAAUAUCAUGACGCACGUCCUACUUCAUCUAGUCGACGAGAUUGUCAUUCUGGGGCCCGUAUUUCUACACAAUAUGUUCCCCUUUGAGAGGUUGAUGGGAGUCCUAAAGAAAUAUGUCCAUAACCGCGCUAGGCCAGAAGGAAGCAUCUCCAUGGGCCAUCAAACAGAGGAUGUCAUCGGGUUUUGUGUUGACUUCAUUCCUAGCCUUAAGAAGAUAGGUCUCCCUAAAUCGCGGUAUGAGGGGAGGCUGACUGAAAAAGGCACUCUUGGAAGUGACUCAAUAAUAUGCAGGGAUGGAUAUUCUUGGUCUCAAGCACACUACACAGUUCUACAGAACUCUACCUUGGUGACCCCGUAUGUCGAUGAACACAAGAACAGUCUGCGCUCCAAACACCCGGAGCAGUGCGACGACUGGAUUACAUGUGAACACAUCAGGACUUUCAGCGGUUGGUUGGAAACACGUCUCAGAGGUGACAACACUAUUUGUGAUGAGUUGUACUUGUUGUCCAGGGGACCAUCUUUGACUGUAUUGACUUACAAAGGAUACGAGAUAAAUGGAAAUACAUUUUACACGAUCACCCAAGAUCAAAAGAGCACCAACCAAAACAGCGGUGUCUGCUUUGAUGCAGCAACCGGGAGGGGAAAUGACACAUAUUAUGGUUACAUAGUGGACAUUUGGGAACUUGACUACGGACAUGAUUUUAAGGUCCCUUUGUUUAAGUGCAAAUGGGUCAAUCUAUCAGGAGGCGCGGUACAGGUAGACCCAUAGUACGGAAUGACAACAGUGGAUCUGAAAAAUCUUGGGUACACCGACGAACCAUUCGUCCUAGCCAAUGAUGUGGCACGGGUUAUCUAUGUGAAGGACAUGUCUACCAGACCGAGAAAAAGAAAAGAUAAGGAAGCGAAUACAUCAUAUGAUGAGCCAAAGCGCCACAUAGUUCUUUCAGGAAAAAGGGACAUCCUGGGAGUCGAGGGCAAGACAGACAUGUCUGAAGAUUACGAAAAGUUUCAUGAAAUUCCUCCCUUCAAUGUCAAGGCUGACCCAAGCAUCCUGAUAAACGAUAAAGAUUAUCCAUGGUUACGGCGCAAUAAGCAAAUGACACAAGCGAAGAAAAAGUGAAGACUUUCUCCCACAACUAUUAUGAUGAUACCAUGCCAACUUUGUACCAGACAAGUAUGUUAUGCCAACUUUUUCAGAGUUCAGUUGAAAACUAUGAAUUUAGGUCAAAUUUUCUCUAUAGGUGCAUCUAUGUUCAUUUUUUUAGUAAAGUUAAUCACAAACUUGUGAUUCACACAAAUUUCAAAGAAUUCAAAUUUUAACUAUUAAAAUUUGAAAACUAAUGGCACUAAUAGAAAGUUUAUAAUUUUUCUAAAACUAAUGGCACUAACAGAAAGUUUAUAAUUUUGCUGACCUAAAAGCAAAAAUAAUUAAAAAAUAAAGCAAAAAAACAAAACAAAAUAAAUAAUACAGAAAACAAAAUAAAAAAUUGGAAAAAAAUAAAAAUAGCAAUAAUAAGUAUUUUGUUGUAAGUAGAAACAAAAUAAAAUAAAUAAAGCAACAAAGAAAACAAAAAAACUAAAAAAGUGUUCUCAAAUUUGAAAACUAAUGGCACUAACAGAAAGUUUAUAAUUUUUCUAAAACUAAAAGCAAAAAGAAUUAAAAAAUAAAGCAAAAAACAAAAGAAAAUAAAUAAUGCAGAAAACAAAACAAAAAAACUGGAAAAAAUAGGGCUCGCCCCUGGACCAUGACCAUUAGUCCCGGUUUGUGCCAUAAACCGGGACUAAAGGGUUGGUCCUCGUUGCGCUCAGAGUUUAGUCCCACCUCGCCAACCGAAGGGCGCCCACACCGGUUUACAAGCUCGUCCCUCUCUGCCUUGUUGAGCUCCUCUCAAAAUGAAAAUAGAUGCCUCUAUACAUGGAAUUUGACCUAAAUCCAUAAUGAAUUUCUCUGAAAUUCAUAGAAAUUGAUUAUGAAUUUAGGUCGGAUUUUCUCUAUAGGUGCAUCUAUGUUCAUUUUUUUAGUAAAGUUAAUCACAAACUUGUGAUUCACACAAAUUUUAAAAAAUUCAAAUUUUAAAACUAAUGGCACUAACAGAAAGUUUAUAAUUUUUGUGACCUAAAAGAAAAAAUAAAUCACUAAAAAACUAUAAGUAUUUAGUUCUAAGUAGAAAUAAAAAAAUAUAUAGCAAAAAAGAAAAAAAUGCCUAUAAUAUUUGUUAUGACUAACUAAAAUUACCAAAUUGAGUAUAAUGAUAAAACACAGUAAUAUUAAAUAUCAGGAAAAAGAAUGACUCAAAAANNNNNNNNNNNNNNNNNNNNNNNNNNNNNNNNNNNNNNNNNNNNNNNNNNNNNNNNNNNNNNNNNNNNNNNNNNNNNNNNNNNNNNNNNNNNNNNNNNNNNNNNNNNNNNNNNNNNNNNNNNNNNNNNNNNNNNNNNNNNNNNNNNNNNNNNNNNNNNNNNNNNNNNNNNNNNNNNNNNNNNNNNNNNNNNNNNNNNNNNNNNNNNNNNNNNNNNNNNNNNNNNNNNNNNNNNNNNNNNNNNNNNNNNNNNNNNNNNNNNNNNNNNNNNNNNNNNNNNNNNNNNNNNNNNNNNNNNNNNNNNAUUUAAACUAUUCAAAUUUUAAAACUAAUGGCACUAACAGAAAGUUUUUAAUUUUUGUGACCUAAAAGAAAAAAGAAAUCACUAAAAAACUAUAAGUAUUUAGUUCUAAGUAGAAAUGAAAAAAUAAAUAGAAAAAAGAAAAAAAAAUGCCAUCUACUGGGCCAGCAUGGUCUGAAUACGACUUGAAACCCAACCAUGGGCCAGGAUUCAAGCCCGCGGCAGGCCCAAUAGGCCCACACGCAUUGCAGUGUCCCAUUAGGCCCGUAAGCCUGCAGUUCAGAGGAGUUCGAAAGGGAACACAGAGCAGGGCUUAUAAACAGGUGCGGGAGCUCUUCAGCUAGCGAGGUGGGACUAAAAAUCCCACCGCACAGCACCGCGGCGCAGGCCAUUGGUCCCGGUUAGACGCACGAACCGGGACCAUAGGGGGGCAUUCGUACCGGUUCGUGGCACAAACCGGUACGAAUGCCUACCUAUGGUCCCGGUUCGUGCGACGAACCGGGACCAAUGGGCUCUGCUUCCCGCCCUUUGGGCUGCCGAAAUGAGACCUUUGGUCCCGGUUCGUAACAUUAACCGGGACCAUAGGGGGUAUUGGUACCGGUUUGUGCCACGAACCGAGACCAAUGCUUCAUGUAUAUAUACCCACCACUUAGCGGUUUCAGUUUACAUUGCCCAUUUCCCCCUGACGCCGUCGAGCUCAUCGCCGCCAGGCUGCCUCGCCGUCGCCGCCCACGUUGUUGCCCCUGCCCAGCCACCGAGCCCACGCCGACACCGUCUGCCGCCCACGCCGUUGCCGUCCGCCGCCCCCGAGCGUGCCCUGCCGCACCCCCUGCGUCCCCGAGCCCGUCCGCCGCCCCCGAGCGCGCCCUGCCUCGCCGUUGUCCCGUGGAUGCUAUCAGGAGUCUCAAAAUUGCCACCUUAUGACACAAUGGAUUAAUAUGAAGGUCAAGGAAGCUGUUGGCUCUGAUUUUUCUACUGAACCCGGCGCAACUUUUCACUGCCGGCCGAUUUCAGAAGGAUAUGCUACGGUGAUGGUGGAUGAAAUAACGGAGGGAUUUGAGGACCUCCAGCUUGACCACCCUACCGGUGAAGGGGAGACUCGACUGGGUUCUGCUCUGAAGACUCCAUGCCUAUGGCGGAAGGAGCUCAUCAACCUUCCUAACUGGACACCUCCUCCUCCUCCUCCGGCGAGUCAGGGCACUCCGCCUCCUCCACGGCCUCCUCCUCCAGCGAGUGACGAUCAGGGCACUCGGCCGGCUCCUUCUCCUCCGCGUGGCGGCACUCCGCCUCCUUCUCUGCCUGCACCGGCGCGCCCGAGCAGCCAGCCUCCUCCUUCUCCGCCUCGUCAGCAAGGGCGGAAGAGACCCGCCGCCGCUCCGGCUGCUCCGGCGCGUCGUAGUCCUUCUCCUCCUCCUUGUAAGCAAGUAAAGAAGACAGCCGCUCCGUCUGCUCUGCCAGCGUCUAGCAGUACAGCCAGAGGCGGGAGGACAUACAGAUUCGGUCCUUCUCUGAAGACUCCUGAGAAGUUACCAUACGAGAGGACCCCGGAGGAGAACAUCGAGAUCGCGCGAGAAGGAGUGAGGAACUUCUUUGAAGGGGUGAAAGCAAAGAAACAUCCACCUCCGGAGGAGAAGGUAGAUCCGCUGAAAGCGAAGCGCACUCUGGCUGCCCUGACAAAACUACCCAAGUCUCCGCCGAAAGGCAACUAUGAGCGCAUUAUUGGAAAGGCAUUUGCCGAAGCGGAGCGGUCGGGAAGUACUGUCAGUGAUCAAAGGAUGAAAGAACGACGAGCUGGGAAACAAAUUGCCCAGCUUGGCGAACAAGCGAAGCAAUCGUGCCCCCCGCUCAAGGUGCCUAGCGACAUCGUCGCUAAUGAUCCGAGGAUGGUGCCCGACUAUAGCAAUCUUGGAGAUUACCUGCCCGACAAUGUACAUUAUGAUUUCUUGGAGGUGCAGAUACAAAGAUAUGUGUACGGAAAGCCUCUCGUCAAAGAUGAAAGAUCUCUAUCAACAAUGAUGCGAAGAUUGCAUGAUUGGUACUUGAAAAUAUGCAGAGAGUCUGGGGGGAGGAAUACUUUGUAUGUGAGAGUUAAAAAAGGAGCAUGACCUCGUUGGAAUUGAACUGUUGCCUGUUCCAUUUGAGGAGUUCUUUCAGUUUUUCAAUCAAUUGGCCCUCGAUAAAGCAACGGUCAUCUGCUACUGUCUGUAAGUAGUACUACUUUUGUCAUUAAGUCUCUCUAUAUAGCUCAGCUCUUUCAUUGCAUGUAUUUAUAAUUAUCCUCACUAUAUUAUGCAGAUUGAAGAUCGUCGAAUUGAAGAAAAGACAAGUCGGUGAUAUUGGGUUCAUUAACAUAAAUCUCAUAGAUGCAACUGAGCUUAAAUUUUAUGCCGCACAUACCGAGGCCAACUUGCUACAAUCGUUGGUAAUAAAUGAAAACAAAGAUAUAAUACUCUUUCCUUACAACUUCAAGUGAGUGUUACUGUCUUGUGCAUAUUCGGUUUCCUUUAUAUAUUAGUCAAGGUUAUAGUAAUGUAAUUGAUGAGUUAUGCAUGCAUGCGCGGGUUCCACUAUAUUCUCCUAGAGAUUAAGCUUGAGCAGGGAGUAGUAACUGUCUUGGACUCUAAACGAAAAGAUCCCCAGGAGUAUGCGGACAUGACUCAAAUGCUCGAGAAGUAAGUUAAAUCGAUCAUUAUCCACCAUAUCAGCAACUUUGUUCAUUUCUGAUAUCAAGUAAUUGUUUUCUUUGUCUGGCAGAGUUUGGAGAAAAUUCACCAAAAAAGCUCCGGAACUGCCGAAGAAGCUGGAAUUUAGACACCCGAAAGUAAGUACUAUAGUAGUAUUUUCCGCACAUCUCCUAGUGAUUCAAGCGCUAGUUUCAUCAAUACUAUAUUGAUUGACCUCUAUUUCUUGUAAAGUGGUUGUGGCAGGAACAAGGGAACGAUUUUUGUGGAUACUACGUGUGUGAGUCCAUCUGCCACACGACCUGUGAGCGGGGCUACUCUGGCGAACAAUAUGAAGUACGUAAAUAACAAUAUUCACAAUUUUAUUUUAUUACCAUCAUUUGUGUUGAGUUUCAUUCAUUCAUAUAUAUAUAUGUAUUGACCCCCUUCUUCAAAGUAGAUGUUUCGGAUGCGGGAUGAACUCCUAGCACCAGAUCGCAUGUGAGCAAUUCAAGAAGAAUUGUCAGCAUUCUUUCUUGACCACGUGAUCACUGAAGACGGAUAAUACUAUGUGGACCAUGCGUCCGUAUGUUAGGAGAUUAUAUUUGUAAGAGAUAAUUAUUGUAUAUAUGUAGCCGGUAGUGUCGGAUAGAUAUACGAGAACUUGUUGUUCGACCAAUCUCUCGGAGAAGGAGAGGUGGUCGAUAUCACUUCUCUCUGUAUGCAUAUAUGUUCAUGACGAUCUUCUGUUUCCUUCGUUUGCUUACUAGCUAGCUAGCGUGUCUAGUCCUCUCUAUACGUAUGUAUAGUACGUAGGGUCGACCAAGCACGGACAUAAGAGAGGACACUUCUCUCUAUUAAUUAGCUAGCUAACACAAUAUAUGAAACACCUAAAUUAACCNNNNNNNNNNNNNNNNNNNNNNNNNNNNNNNNNNNNNNNNNNNNNNNNNNNNNNNNNNNNNNNNNNNNNNNNNNNNNNNNNNNNNNNNNNNNNNNNNNNNNNNNNNNNNNNNNNNNNNNNNNNNNNNNNNNNNNNNNNNNNNNNNNNNNNNNNNNNNNNNNNNNNNNNNNNNNNNNNNNNNNNNNNNNNNNNNNNNNNNNNNNNNNNNNNNNNNNNNNNNNNNNNNNNNNNNNNNNNNNNNNNNNNNNNNNNNNNNNNNNNNNNNNNNNNNNNCAAAAACCCCAGCCACAGAAAUGCUGACGCAUGGAUGCCUAUUGGUCCCGGUUGGUGCCACCAACCGGGACCAAAGGCCCUCCUGCCUGGGCUCCGCGCACAGGCCACGUGGAGGCCCAUCUGUCCCGGUUCUGGACUGAACCGGGACUAAAGGGACAGGGCAUUAGUAACGACCCUUUAGUCUCGGUUCAGGAAUCGGGACAAAAGGCCCUUACAAACCGGGACAAUGGGCCCGUUUUCUACUAGUGCCUCUCCAUCCAUCAACAUUACUUGCCAGAGCAAGUACAUCCUGUCCACCUAAAAUGUGAACUUCUCUUUUACAAUUUUCUUGAAUCGGCGAACUUUUCUAGAAUGGAGGAACAUUGUUUUGGAAAUUGGUGAUACAAUUUUUGAAAUUCACGAACAUUUUUUGAUUCAACAAAUAUUUUAUUGAAAUGCAUGAUCAUUUUUUGAAUCAAUGAACAUUUUAUGAAUGAAUAGAAUAUUUUUUGAACAGUUUUUUAAUUUUUAGGAUAUUUUCCAUUCAUGAAUAUAUUUAAAUUGGCAGAAUUUUGUUCAAUUUCAUUAACAUUUUCACUUUAUGAUUUCCCGAACAUUUGUUUUCAAAAUUUCAAACAUUUUUUGAAUAGGCAAAUAUAUUUUUAUGAAAUCACAAAUAUUUUCUAAAUCCACGAACAUUUUAUAAUUUAUUAAACAUUUUAUUUUAAAAAUCUCAUUUACUUUUUAAUCCACAACCAACCAACCAGCUAGGUCAACACGUCUGGGUUGGAUCGAUCCAACCGGCUGCUGGUCUCGAGUCAAUCUAUGUAUCGGAUGCACGGCAGCUAACAAUGGGGACUGUUCCGGUUAGGUCAACUCACGCCUCGAACGCAUCGCUCGAUCGGGCCAGCAAACUACGUACGCGUACGAGACUCGCUCGCAAUGAUCAUUCGGGUUCAGUAAGCAGCGAAGGGAUCAAUCGCUCGGGUUUAGUUAGCAGGGCAGGUAUCACUAGGGUUCAUUUAUCGGCGAGGGAUCGAUCGCUUCAGUACGUACCGAGAAAGAUCGAUCGUUGUGUUCAAUACGUAGUACAUGUGAGGGAUCAACCGCUUGUGCUUAAUACGUAGUACGUGCGAGGGAUUUAUCGAUCGAUCAGUUUCUGUAGGCAAACGACUCACUCGGAUUCAGUUAGCGAAGGGCUCAUAUACGCAUGUGUAUAAGAGAAACACGUAAACCUCUGCAUCGCUCGUGCCCGACCACUCACCGUAUACCGAGAAAUCUUAAAAAAAAAUCUCCGUCCUCACUUCUACCAUGACUAUUUACGUAAUUGACGGCACAAAGAAUAUCAUGCAGGUGCGCCUCCGGCCCGUCUAGGACAAAAAAUCUAUUUUCUGUCAUAAUUUUUUUAUAGAAGUAGGAGCCUAUCACAUCUAUAAUAAUACGUGUUUUUGUCACAAUUAUUGUCAUAGAAGUGUCACAUUCAUAACAAAAAAAGUUAUUAUUUGGGUCAUAAUAUCACGGAUGUGUCUUUAUUGUAGUGCUUAUAAUAUAGGAAAAGGAAUCACGUAAAGACAAGAAUCAUCAUGCUACAAGAAAAGAGCCAUCAUGAUUUUUAUUUUAAAAGUCCAUCAUCACACACGACCAAGUUUCCCUACAACGAUACAUGCCUUGAAGAAUCCUCAUGCUACAAGAAAAGGGCCAUCGUCAUGUUUUUAUUAACUAGCAUAUAUGCCCGUGCGUUGCAACGGGAGAAACUUUUGAUGUAGAUUCAAAUUUAGUAAGAAUUGUUAAAUCUUGUUCAUUUCACCGCGCGCACCUUCUUCUUGUCAACUUUGACAAAGCGCCCUUCUUUUGUCCAACUUUGACAAAUUCUAUAUGAAUAUGGAUAGAGGAAGGUAAUAAUUUUGAAAAAAAAAAUCUAGUGCACUCCAUAUCUUAAAUAGUCACAAAUAUGGUUACUCACCCCGCAAAAAAGCUACUUUACUCUCUAAUGAUUGGUCUUGUGAUUGUGUAAACAUAACGUAAUUGUCGUCGUGUCUACAAGAGUUUCACUAAAAUGGAAAAAAUGGAAAAUGAGCUAGGAACCGAGGAAGAAAAUUGUGGAAGUUACAAUCUUUUGUUCAAAAUUGUACAAUUAAAAUAUGCUCGUAUGUUGCAACGGGUGAAAAACUAUUAUCCCCAUAUGGUCAUAUCCUCCUACUAAAUGAACACGUUGUCAAGACUCAAGAAUAGCUAUGGAGAUGUGGUAGAGAUAAAAAAAAGCUUUGAAAUUAUAUACUAAAAUGACAUAAGGACUUUUAAAAUGCACUUGAAUCUAAAAGGGCUACGAUGUCAACAUGGCCUAAUUUCACAAAAGCAUCCAUGGUAAUUUUGGUCCUAUAAAGGCAGACUCCAUACACUUCAAGCAUCAGAGUCGUUGUCUCCAAGCUUGAUGUCCCUCUAGCCUUAAAGUACGUCUCCAACAAAUGAAAAAAGUAAUAUUAAUUAGUCUCACAUAUGAGAAAGCGUUGUAGCCGGUGAUGUUUAUUAAUGGAUCGAUUAGAAGCAAGCUGAUCCAAGACUGUCGAACAACACAAAAUGAUGAGUCAAAAAAGUGAAAUCACUGUUUGGAACAAAAAGAUAAGAACAAACCAAUAUUUAAAAAAGAAUUCCAAUACAAUUAAGGGUUCGUCUGUGGUAAACCUUUUGUUUGGACACACCAGGUGAGCUACCAACGUGCGAGACGUGAUGAGGCUAAUUUGAUGCGUGCUCAUAUAUGCCUGAUUGAUUAUGCAUUGAUUAUUGGAAUGACAACCAGAUUUUUUAUGUUUCAGAUCAGCCAGGACAUACAUGUAUGUGAUGUUCGGAUCGGCCAUAGGUUAUGCAGGUGUUUAAUUAGGAGAAAAAAUCACACGAGUCAGCAGCAGCAUGUAGAGCUCAUUUUAAGGAGAGCGCUAGCCAGAGGCUGCAAAAAUCCCUCCGACGCCACUUUGCUCUGCUUCAUGUGGCCGGUUAGCACUGCCGUCCGUCGAGCUGCCCCCGCUGCUCGGCUUCUCUCUCCCUCACGCCUCCCUAUCCAUCUUGCUUCGUCCGUUGAGCCGCCCCCGCUGCUCAACUUCUCUCUCCCUCACGCCUCCCUCUCCAUCUGGAUAUCAAUCCCUCUUUUUGCCCUUUACUUGUUUGAUUUCCAAGCUUGCUUUUUGAUUUCCUAAGCAACAUGUAUUUAAACUGGUCUGCUUCGAUCUAAUGAAGCGAGGUGGGACUAUUCUAUGGAUGCACGAUCAUGGAAGGGCUGAUCAAACUUUCACAACCAGGAUAGACCAACGAAUCGUUGAUCGAUACUGGCUGCAUGAUGGCGAUCAGCACUCUGAGGUCGGCGUUGAGCGAGAGGCCGCGGGCCGGGCCGCCGUGGACGUUCAGCUCAUCCACAUAUCCGGCAUUCAGGGACACAUCCGUAACGCGGAGCUUCGGCGGCUGCGGGCGGUAGACGAGGUACACGGUGAGCACGGCCACACCCAUGACGACCACCGCCAGCCAGAACACGAUGCCGCAGAGGGUGAAACAGAAGGCCGACAGCUUCCUGUGCUUUGCCUCCAACGAGAGGAAGCCCGGGGAGCCUUUCCGGUGUCCUCCUCCCCGGUGUCCAGCAAGAUGUCCUGGCGGCGUUUGCGACGGUGACCUCUGGUGAUCAUGGACUCAUGAUGCUGGUGUUGCUGCGGCUCUCGUUGCCCGGUACCGGCGUGGCCACUUGGUAAGGGCGCGCGCCUUUAUCUAGCUUGAUCAUGGUGACGCGCUCGACUCUGGUGGUGUUCAUCCUGAAGCCACCGUUGCCAGUCAGGCGCGGGCCCAUCCGCAGCGCCGGGAUCGGCCCUGGGAACCUCGUCCUAUGCUCUCCCGGGACAUGCUUGUACAUGUACCAUGGCUUGUCGACCACCAUCGGCGGCAGCAGCGCUGGCGGUGGCUGCCCAUGCCUGUGCCACGUCGCCAUGUAGUACGGCCUAAAAAGCUAGUUGAUCUUGCCGAUUAAUUUCAUCAGACACAUAUGCACGUAUCUACAGCGAUUGGAUCGUUCUUUUGUUUUCUCGGUACAGCUUUUCUUCUUCAUUUAUAGAUUAUUAUUUUUAUAUGCGAGGACUUUAUUUAUAGCAUACUGAUUGCAUAGAGUCCAAUCCAAAUACUUACACAACUCAAAAAGUUGAAACCAUGUUACGGGCCUGGGGCUUUUUUUUUUGCAAUGUUUUUUUUCCUUGUACGUGUGUAAAUUUAUUUUUAAAUCUCAGCCAUCAAAUCUUCAUGAUUAACAUAAAAUUAACGGAUAUAAAUAGAUGACGUAUGGAGAACUAUGAAAGGUUCCACCCUUUAAUAUUAGGUAUAGAUAUAGAUAUAGAAAAGGCCAUCGUCACACACGAUCAAUUUCCUUCAACAAUAUAUACCUUCUCCGUUUUGAAAAAAAAAGGUAAGAAGAUACGUAAGAAUAAUCACUUCUUUCUUCCUUUCUGAACAAAGAAAAAAACAGAUAUGUACAAAUUUUCAUGGUAAAGAUCUUUUGGAAGUCCUGGCUAAUAAAAAGACACCACGUACUUUCGAAAAAAGGAUUACGAGAGAAGAGCCAUCGUGAUUUUAUUUUAAAAGGCCAUCAUCACACGUGACCAAGUUUUUCUACGACAAUAUAUGCCUUCAAGAGUCAUCAUGCUACAAGAAAAGAGCCAUCGUGAUGUUUUUCCUUUAACAGUUUUGCUAAAGUACAUUUAGAUGUGCUCUAAGUAUUGUCCAUCUAAGUUCUAUGUCGUCAAUUUUACGCUAAGAUUUAUGCAAACACUUUCUUUUAGCUUCUUUUGUUUUUAGUUUGAUUAAGUCACAAUAACAAGGAUCCUUUUUAAAAAAAGGCCAUCAUCACACAUGAUCAAGUUUUCCUUCAACAAUAUAUGCCGUCUCCGUUUGGAAAAAAAGAAGGAAAGAGAUGCAUAAGAAUAAUCACGUUCUGUCUUCCAUUGAUCCAUUCUAAACAAAGAAAAAGGAUACAUACAAAAUUUGAUGGUAAAGAUCUAUUCGAAGUCCUGGCUUAUAAAAAGACACCACUUACUUUCAAAAAAAGGAUUCGACAUCCCAAUUCACACAGAACAAAAAACAUCUACCCAUCUGCAUGAAGUUAGAAAAAUAAACAAAUACAUGUGUUCAUUGUUUGUUAUCAUAGUUUCAAAUAACUUAUCAUUUGUUCCGUAUUAUGAUAUCUGAAAUUUAACCUCCUACGUUAUGCAUGUUAUAUAAUUAUGUUAAUAAUGAUGUAUCCAAAUAAUAGCUAGACCAUGAAGGCAGAUGGUGUGAUAACAGUGCAAUGAAUUAUUACUGCAUUUGUUUUUUCCUAGCUCCCAUUCACCACACAAGUGUAUAUAUAGCUCACAUCCACCCUGAUUUGUAAUGAUCACCUAGCAAGGAAUAGAGUGAAGAAAGAUACAUAUGGGUUAUUCAUCUCAAGUGAGCUAACCACUCUGGAUACAUUACUCCUCAAAAAAAUUGUCCUCAGUUUAACUCUACUAAAGUCAUGUUUCAACAAAAUAUAGAACGUACAUUAUAGCACACACACAUUACUACAAAUAUGUUAGAUUUGGGAGGUAUUAGGAAAAGAUUUGCUUGUAGCUGUUCAUUAUCUUGAACUGCAUAGUCGGUUGCACCAUUACUAUAUGGUCCACGAUGCACGAGACGAGCAGAGUUAGCAAGAGACUCCAGAAUAAGAGGAACAAGACUCUUCUUGGGUCUAGCAGACUAAGAGCAUGGUUACUUUCAUGGGGAAGUUUUUUUACUAUUGUAUGGGUUAGCACAAAGUAUUAGCUAUUAAUUGGUUUAAAAACAAACUACUUGGCUUAUCUCUACUAGUUUUUGUAAGAACUGGUUAUGCCAAAUAUGGGCUAGUCAAAUCAUUAGUUGUAAACAAACUUUGCCCUACAAUUGAAAUCUUUGCAAACCUCGAGAAACAUGAGUGCGGUGAGGAUGCAAUUUCGAAUAUAGUCAAGAAAAGUUGCACAUAUACACUUAGCCCUAAUACACAUGUAUAUGCAAUUUCAAAAUAAAACACAUGAAUAUGUGUACCUCUAAAAAACACACAAGUUAUUUGGUCGUUUAAGACAUACCAACAUCGGAAUGUCUUCUAAAGUCCUCCAACUGUUCAAGCUAGCUGACCAUAUGGUCUACGGCAGCGUUGUACCCGUCACAUGCACGUGGUCAACACAUACCCAUCUUGUUCAUGUUCCCCGCUUCCAAAUNNNNNNNNNNNNNNNNNNNNNNNNNNNNNNNNNNNNNNNNNNNNNNNNNNNNNNNNNNNNNNNNNNNNNNNNNNNNNNNNNNNNNNNNNNNNNNNNNNNNNNNNNNNNNNNNNNNNNNNNNNNNNNNNNNNNNNNNNNNNNNNNNNNNNNNNNNNNNNNNNNNNNNNNNNNNNNNNNNNNNNNNNNNNNNNNNNNNNNNNNNNNNNNNNNNNNNNNNNNNNNNNNNNNNNNNNNNNNNNNNNNNNNNNNNNNNNNNNNNNNNNNNNNNNNNNNNNNNNNNNNNNNNNNNNNNNNNNNNNNNNNNCUCCCACGUCUCCAACUUUCGAAAGCCAUUUUUUCGGUGCCGGUGACCAUAGCACGGGAGCCAGCUCCGUGAUUAUGUUUGUUAUCAUCAUCAUUUUCUUGAGACUUUGGAAUACCUUGUGGGCAUCUCAUAUCAUACUUGCCCAUCAUGUAUUCAUGCCUCGCAAAGCAAACGGCAACAGACAAUGAUAAUACUUGUAGUAUACGCACAUGCAGUGUGAUGAUGAGACGUUGAGAUGUGAGCGUAUCUGCAAUGGUGGGCAUGUGUCGUGCUGUAUUCUAACGCGCGUAUAUAGCCAAACUCUCUUUGUAACUUUUCAAGCCAUUUCUGUGUGACCAUGACAGGUGCAGAACCAGCUGAUCACCAGUAACUUUUUUACCAACAUGUGUUUGGAGAAUUGGGAGUCGUACUUGUCGGCUGUACCUCCAUACGUAGCAUAUGACAACACAUCAUCAUCAACAUCAUUACCAUGGAAGAAUAUGACAGGCCUUCAUAUAUACAUGCAUGCCGAAUUAAGGCGAUAUCACCAUCAUCAUUGAAGAAUAUGAGCAUGCACGUCUAGCUGUGAUAUGAAGGCAAUCACUAUUAGUGUCAUGAGCAUAUCACUGUAUGAGGUCGUAUACAUUUUUGCUUCAAGUCACCAACAUGCGGAUCUGGCACUGCACAAAACGUUGUUAUCAUCAACAACUAAAAUCAUGUGUGCAUGUGUGGGAGAUUAUGAUUAGGCUGCCGGUGACACAAACAUGUUACACCUACUAUAUGGAAUAUUUUUAGGCAAGGCGCCUUUCAGUGACACCACAUCCACAUGGAACUGAAGCCUGGUGCUCUUUUCCUCUAAACAAGAUUUAAAGGAGAAGGCCACAAGUGUUCGUAAAUAAGCUCCAAGUGAAAAUGCAUGACAACAGGGGUCACUGUCAUGUCACAAUGGAAACAAAUGGUAAAAAUAUGUCCAAAAUUAAUAUGUAAAUAACUGAGUUUUCACGGAAAAAAAACAGAGUCCUGACAUUUAUAUGCUGCGUAUUACUGCAGUACGCCAGAAACAGCUGGGAAAUUAAGUCUAAUAAAAUUCACAGGCAAAAAUGGAGCUAGUGACAGCAGAUUGUACCAAAGCCUACUGUAAGAAUAGUGCACACAUAUAAGGUAUUGUUUGUUUCAUAGGAUAGGAAUAUCAUAGAAAUAAAAAAAUCAAAGAAAACACAUGGCAUACAUCUCAAUUCGUAUAGGAAAACAAAUGUCAUUAGAUUCACCGCUUUUGAAGUGGCUUCUACAAGAUAAUCGUUUCCUAACGCCUCCCAAAUCUAAUUAACAUACUUGUGGUAGUGUGCACAUAUGGCACAAUAUAUAUUUCGUAUUUCCUAAAAACAUGACUUCUACAAAAUAAAAUGAGAGGAAUUGUCUUAAGUACUAUCCACCAUGACUAACAUACUCGAAGAUAAAAUGUGUGGGCACGAUGGAUGUGUAUCCUAUCUUUAUCUGCUUCUGGUUGUGUGAUCACUAUGAACCACGGUUGAUAUAUAUAUGCACGAACACUUGAUGGGGAGGUCGCCAAAAAAUAAAUGUCAUAACAACUCAUCAACGAGGUGGAUGGCCAUGAGUAAUUGGUUUUUUGUACUUUUUCUUUAGGUUUGCUUGAUUUUGUACCAUCACUUUUUCAACCAAGUGAGCUUAUUGUACUUGGUUAAUACUAACACUAGUACUUUUAAGGUCAUCACAUACGCUUAAAAAAACAUAUCGUACACGCAUAUGUGAAUCAUUGUCUUGCAUGGUUUGCUAUAGGGGGUGUAUCACAUGUGUGAUAGGGUGCUAGGAUGCAGAAAAUAUUGUAAAAGCGAUCAUAUGCGAUGCACGGGCCUAUCACACACAGGAAGCAAGAAAAAAUCGUUUACAAAGCAUCCAAUGUCCCAGAUAUUUCAUUGUCAAGAACAUAUGGGCUUAUCACACAUGCUAUGUUGUUUCACAACAUUGGUGAUGCGGCCAACAACGGAGGGGCCUAUCACACACAAUACUAGGGCACACGAUUUGUGAUGCAGCACGCAUCACACAUGUUUAACAGCUAAACGUGUGUAGUGUCUACCAAUCGCACAUGUUUUGUAUAAGCUAAGCUUGUGCCAUAAGGUAGCCUAUCACACACUCUUUGCAAUAGCGCACCAUUUGCGAUACGUCGACCAUCUCACAUGUUUGGUGACAAAGAAACGUAUGUAUUGUAGGGGAAUGUUGCACACAUUUUUCUUUCUAAAACCAUGUGCACCGUAAUGACAACCACAAUUAGUUAUUUUCUAUAAUUUAGUUUCCACGGUUUAGAAUUCUUUAUAAUUUGAAUUCAAAAGAAGAUAAUCAACAUAUUUCAUGUCUAUCAUACAUGCCCAAUUUGCAUAGGUACAACCACCUUGCAUAAUUCACAUCACAGAAGCAUAUAUUCAAGCAUUCAAAAGAACCAAAUAGAAAAACCAUUACAAAAGCACCAAAUUAAAACAAGAACAGCAGUAGCAUUAAGGAGCGGAAGAGAGACAGACGAAAUAUAUUUUGGUUGUUGGUCCAGGUGAAGAAGCAGAAGGCCUAUAUCCUGCCCUCCUUCAUGAUGAAGGCACGCACAAAUUUAGUCCAACCCCUUGUGAGGACAGUCCGCCCAACCUUCACCAUUUUGAGGAAAACUUUUGGUCUAUCAUAGUAGUUAGGGCCAAUUACUUUAAUUUUCAUUUGUUUGGCACCCAUCACAUGGUUUUGCAAUAUCUUCAGUAAACUGGUUUGGAAACUACAAGAACAAAAAUAUUCCGAUAUUGUUGCCUACAUACUCAUUGUGAGUAGUGAAAGGAGACUUCAUAGUUUUUACCAUCCAAAAGUUCAUUGUUGUCUUGGACAAGUGCAAGCAAAGAGUUACCAGCAGGUUUUUUUUCGUUCUUUGUUUUUUCUAGACGCUUUUUGUGAUGUUUUUAUUUCAUGUUUCUUUCUCUUUUAAUUUGUUUACAUUUAUUUUUUCUUAUUUUUCUUUUUUCGGAUGCACGAACAUUUUUUUUUAAAUGAUGAUCUUUUGAAAGUUUUGUGAUUUUGUUGCUCAAAUUUGAUUAACUUUUUUAUUUUAUUUGAUUUUUCUAAAAACAAUUGAUGAACUUUUGUCAAAUCGAUGAACUAUUUUCCAAAUUUGAUGAACUUUUUUCACAAUUCGUGAUUUUUCUUCAAAAAAAUUACUUUUUUAGAAUUCAUGAACCCUUUCUGGAAAUCUUUGAAACUUUUUCAAAUCGAUGAAAUUUUUUCAAAUCAAAUGAACUUUUCUCAAAAUCUGUGAACAUUUUUCAAAAUUGAUGAUUUUUUCAAAAAAAAUCAAUGAACUAUUUUUCAAGUUUGAUGAACCGUUUUCCAAAUUCGAUGAACUUUUUUCAAAUUUGAUGAACUUUUUUUCAAAUUCGAUGAACUUUUUUGUAAAUAGAUGAAGUUAUUUAAAUUCAUAAUUUUUUAAAAAUAAUUCAAAAUACUAAGUGAUGGUGUACACAUACAAUAAAUAGCACGCCCAAAUGUCCUUAUAAUGUUGGCACUUCUAUCAGUCACUACAGUCGAAUAGUUCUAGUGGUUGUGCGCAGCUGUACGUUAAAGCAACGCCUCGAGUUUGAAUCCUGGAGAGGGCCACCUCCCCAAGCAGUCUUGUUAGCAACCGGGCACAUCGGCCUUGUUGGGCCAGGCCCGGGCAGGCAGCGCGUGGGCGCCAGUACCUAUUAUCGGCGUAAAGCCGUGGCUUUGGACUUUGCAAGAUCUUGUGGGCAUCUCGUAUCAUACUUGCCCAUCAUGUAUUCACUAGAUCAUUGAUGGCGCGUGUUGCUACGCCCAUCCGUUAUGAUGAUAGAAUGCUAGGAAUUUAGUAAAUAUAUCAAAGCAUGAAGAUAAAAAAAAUAUGUUUAUGUCAGUAUCAAAAGUAACCAUAUAAAUCUAAAGCAGAAGUAUCUACCAAAUAGUAUUUUAACCAACAUGAUAAGAAUAUAGGGUUUUCAUUUCCAGAAUAAUAAUAACAUAUCAUCCCAACUGAAGUGUUAUUUACAAAGAUGCAAUGCAUUAUCUUGUAGUAGAUAAUGUUUUCCACAAAGAUCGGAACGUAUGCUUCUUUCACUACCUCCACACAUUGUAUCAAAGUUGUUAUUAUUUGGACUUCCUGAUGGAAUUUGGAACCAGAUAGCUUAACUGCACACGUCUAAAAAGACAAACCAAAAGAUGAGAAGCCUGGUUAUGUGGUAAGCAUCUUUAAGCAAGAACAAGUGGAAACAAUAUUGUCACAGAACAUCGUGGGAUGAAAUUUAUCCGAAAGUACAAAAAACAAAAUGUAGGAAAUAUCAAAAUGACAAUGAUUUAUCAUUCAUACUCACAUGAAGUAGUCUGACAUCUUUAGAUGGAAAUCAUCCGAAAGUACAAGUUAAGACAAGGUAUAUACAGAUAUUUAGUGUACAAAAAAUGGAAUGUAGAAAAUAUCGAAAUGACAAUGAUUUAUCAUUCAUACUUAUAGGACACCAAGCAGUGGUGAUUCUAGAGUUUAUUCGUUUUCUCUACUACUCUAAUACGUACCCAGCAGAAAUUUAAAAAGGUGCUUCAGAUAACCAACUUGUGGAAGUGAUGUGCUUAGUGGGCAGCUUCAUUUAAACUUACGGAAUCCACCUGUGCAGCAACAGAGUUAAGGGAACAUGGCACAUGAACUGAUGAAAGAGAGAAAAUAUUUGUCUUUUAACUUGCGACAUCCCCUAUAUGAGAUGAAGCCAGAGAAUAUUCUGUGUGGGAUAUUGAAGAAUGGGCAAAGUAACAGCACCUCGUUUUCUUGCGCAUUUUUUGCUUCAUCGAGCCAUUUGCACCACCUCACAUCAUCACAAUAAAAGUGGAUCGUCACUAUUGCCGUGCGCCUUCACGAAAGUAAACUGUCGCAUAAGCAAUCACAUAUCCUUAAUGCAUAUAUACUACUCCCUCCGUUCCAAAUUACUCGUUGCAAAAAUGGAUGUAUCUAGAACUAAAAUACAUAUAGAUACAUCCAUACCUGCGACAAAUAAUUCAGGACGGAGGGAGUAAAACAUAACGGUAUGAUGUAUGACAGUACAGGUGAACUAAUUAUCUGACCCACGGCCACUGUAGCAACUACACAAAGAAGGACAUCUAAAUAUAAAAGAAAUGAUAAAAUGAUAGAAAACGGAUGAUGAUGGUAGUAGCAAUUACAUUGAGUCAACAAUAAGUAACUAUAUAAUGAAGAUUCCAUUAUGAAUCUACUGUAUGGAAAAUAUUAUCUUCGAAACAUCACACAAGUAACCUGUUUACUUUGGUUACUAGUAAGCAAUUUUGCAAAAAUAGAACAUUACUAAACAAAAAAAAUCUGAGGAUAAUAGUAAAAAAAAUCUAAGGAUAAUAAGGCGCUGACCAACCUUAUGCAUUAAUUAGUGAGUUGGGAGCUAGAUUUAUAAUUUACAAAGAACAGUGAACCCAGAUGGAAAAUAAUAAAUCAGUACCUCUUGUAACUCCAAUCCCAAAUAAAAAAAGCAUGCAUCGCAGGAUUGGACUGUUGUAGACAACGAACUUGAGAUGCCUCCUCCGUUCAACAGUGCUGCCAAUUGUCGCGUCCAUAGGCAGUGGAGUUAUUUCAGUAAAUAAUAUGCAUUGAAAAUGCCAUGAUAUUGUAGGAAUAAUAGACACGUAUACACAGGUUUACACAGAUACUAACUUGGCCUUUAGGCAAUGGAAAUCAACAGCAUUAGUAUACCUUCAGCCAACUGAAUAACCAGUCGCCAACCCAACCAUUGACACCACUUGAAUCAAAUUGGAAGAGAAAGAGAUCAACACUAAGAAGAACCCAUAACUAAUUGUGCAAAAGAGGGAAGGUAGCAAGAAGGGGAAUCUGCAGCAAGGGAGAGGGAAACCAAGAAGAUCUGUGUCGAAUCCGUCGACCUAGAGCAGGCGCAUCAAGCUGGGAGAAGAAAUAACAGCAUCAGUAAUAACGAAUGAUGAAUCCAUUAUGAAGAGGGGCUCAACAAUGGCUGCCCGAGACGCCACUGCCGACGUAAAGAAGGGGUGGGGAAGGAACAGUGCGACUAUAUGUAUACGCCUGGAGUAAAGGAAGAGCCUGAGCGUCACGGUAACCGGCAUGCAAACAAUGCCAUCCGUGAGUGGCACACUUUGAUCGCAAUUAGAGGCUGUCACCAAUGGUGAUUUAUUUCCUCAAACUCUGUACUCAAAUGAAGGGACGGUUCGUUGCCCGCAUCCCAUGAAUGCCAGACUGGUGAGGUGGGAUCGCCGUGUGGCGUCGCAUCGCAUAGCGAGGCCCUCCCCGCCUUGGACCCCAUUGCCGCCACGGGGGGAGAUGAGAGAAGUAGAACCCAGCAAGCCCAAGUCGGCACAACGCAAUGGUAAGCUGGCCCAAUUAACAAGAAAGGUUGGAUUUUGUUACGGGAGCAGCAGCCCAAUCCACUUCACUACACCCAUGCGGGAUUAGAAGUGCAUCUCACGGCCAAGAAUGUGUAGAGGGCGAGAUCCGACGGCUCAAAAGGCUGAUGACCUGAGAGGGAUGGAAAAGUGCUCAGUUUUAAUAUCUCUAAAUGUCAAGCAAAGAGCAAACGACAACACACAAUGAUAAUACACGUAGUAAACGCACAUGCAAUGUGUGAUGAUGAGACAUUGAGAUGUCAGCGUACCAGCAAUGGUGGGCAUGUGUUGUGCUGUAUUCCAACGUGCGUAUAUAGCAUAACUCUUUCAACUUUUCAAGCAAGCUAGCAAAGUGGCCCGCUCGAUGCGCGGGCUAGAACUUUACACAGUUUAGUAAUGACAUCAUAUUAUUCGGUUUUGUGUAAAUAAUGGCAGCAUCUUUAAAGGAUAGAUGGUAUGAUAUACUUUUUUAAUUUUUUUCAAUUGUAUAUUUUUGUUCCAACAAAGAAAUAGAAUAAGAGUUGCAAGUUCCCAUGGAUGGAAAACAUAAACUUGAACUAAAUAUGAAAUUUGGUGGCUGGUUGCAAGAGAAUUAUUUUACUUUCCCAAGGUUGUAUAUGAAAUUUAAUAAUCCAUACGCGUAGUAUGCUGAGUAAGAACACAUAUGUCAAUGUGUAAUUCUACGUGUCAUGUGAAACUGGAUAGUCCCCAUAUACUAUUACAAUCUACCCCUCCAUUAGCACACCCAAUCAUUUGUUUUAUCUUUUCCACUAUCUGUCGUUUGAACUAUCGUAUUGUGCAUGGCCGCCUCCUUAAUUUAUCUGGCAAUGUAGUUGUACACAUGCAUAAUCAGUGCAUAAUUCACCAUGAACUUCUUUUUAGUCACUCGCACAAUGUCACAUCCCAUCUAGAAAUCGCUCGAAGGAUGGAACCCAUAAUUGCAAGCAAAUUCCGAAUUCUAUACCAAAGUUUGAGAGAGAAAUAGGCCAAUUUUGUCUACAAAGGUAUCCCUUUGUGUGAUCAUUGAGUAAAUAAAUAGGUCAUCUAAAAAAGCUAUACCAUUUGGAUCUUGUGAAUUUCAGUGUGCCAAUUGUUUCCUCCUCUAUGCUAGCACAUUUAUGCUAACAUCUUGUCCUGUUAUAAUGAAACACCGUGGCGCUCUUACUUAUCAUUUAGAUAUUUAUAUUGAAUAUGUGAGACAAAUACAUUUAUAAGAUAGCAUGUAGUUCUACCUGUAAGUUUGACUUAGAAUGCUAUGAUUUGAUUUAUCUUGAGAAUAUAUAUAAUGUAUAUGUGUCAUAGAUUGUGUUCCACUAUUUAACAGUAAUAAUGGAACAAUUUUUUUUCAUGUCAAACUAUUUUUGUUCUUGUACUACAUCUACAUCAGAAACUCAUCAUACAUAGUUCAAUAGUCUAAAGUUAUCAGUGAGGAGAAGAAAUAUGAUCGGAGCCUUAAUUUAAGUCAUGCCACAUUUGGUCUCCCAAACAUACAUAAAUGGAAGAUUUACUUUGGAUAAUCUAUUAUUGGUCUAUCAUAUUGAUGACAUGCAUAGAUCACAGAACACAUUUUUUUUCUCAAAAUAUCUAAUUCAUGAUUCAAAAGUUCUAUUCAACCAAAAUGUCAUAUUUGUUUCUCCAUACACCAACUGGUAAUUAAACUACACAAAAUGGAAAAACUGAAUUAUCUUAGUGAUAAUAUCACUUGGUAGAAUGCAUAUGAUGUGCAUUUUCUAGAUCAACACAACUUAAGUGCAUUCAGUUGUUGGUAUUACAUUAUGAUGUAAGCCUAACACGAACAGAUUUUUUUCUGGAUAGUCCAAGAGAAAUAUUUAAAAUAUCAUGGUAUCUUUGUUGUGAGCUAAAGAACACUAUUAUUUCAUAUAUUGUUUCGUACAAUCACCAAAUAACGGGGUAUUGAUAUUUUCUAAAUAUUAAAAAAAAUCGAUAUACGUAAGGUUCAUACAAAAUACAUUGAAGUAUUGAGCACAAAAUACAUUGAAGCAAUCACACUUUUUUCAGGUCCUCAGCUGCUUAUAUGAGUCAUUCCAACCAUAUUCAAGUUUUCAUUGUUCUGAAAAAUAUACCACUCGUUGCAGUAUGUUUUCUCAUUGGGUGCAAUCGGUUUGCUAACACAAAGAGCUAAAUGAAGUCAGGCUCAAGCACCGAGUACACACUUUAUCUUCAGUAAAUAAGUAGAACGAUGCAGAAAAUGAAUUAAAUUAGUGAUAACAUCUAUUGUAGCCGCCCCUUGAUGCCAGAAUAUAAGUUGCACCUUUUGUGCAUAUGCAGAGGUAGACCUCAUCGCGGUUGCUUGAAAUAAUUAAUAGUAUUCUGUAUUUACCCAAUAAUUUUGUAUUAUGUGGAUACUUCUAUGAAGGACAUCCCCAACCCGUGCUUUUGUGUGGCUAGUGGUGAGACAUCGUAAACAUAUAUUAUUACAUAUAGAUAUUUAAUUAAAGGAGUUGUAGGUAUAGUAAAUAGAUGGCAAAUUCAGGACCAUGGUGUUUGUAUGUUAUUAUUAGAAGAGGUUGUCCAUUCACGAUUUUCCAUGUCACUCCAUGCAUAACUUACAACCAAAACAAUGCAAUAACAUAUCUUACAUCUUACAUUCUUAAGAAGUUGAUCCCCACUACUAGCAAUUCUCUCAACAUGCACAUUGUCCACAUCAUCAUCAUGCCACAUCAGCUUUUAUUUCCAAACACCGACCAAUCGGCUCAUUUCCAAGAGGACCUAAUCUCUCUCUUUUUAAAACGGAAAUGUCACAUUCACCUACGCCACCCACUUUUCAUGACUGCUCUUCUUCCAUCUCUGAGUUUAAUUGCCCUGAAUUCUUCACCUUCAGGCUCACAAUGCAAUGUUGUGAUGCUUCGGUUACCACCUUAUUACAGUGGAGAACCAUCAAAGGUUGCCCGUCUCGUGUAGAACAGACUACAGAAUGUGCCUCUCUCUCCCUCGAUUCAGCCGAGCCCAUCGACUCCCCUUCCCCUAUGUACAGUCCGGCGUGGCGGCCGAGAUCAUCUCACUCCCCUCCGGUAGGACCACCGACUUGGCUCCCGUCUGUGAUUCUCCUGGGGUCACCCGUGCUAUGUUCCCCUUCUUGGCACGGUGCUUGAGUCCAUGGUUUGAAGGUCCUCCUGAGCUACUGGUCCGAAUACAUGGGCCACCUCGUGUGCUUCAGGCCUGGUGGUGGCGGCUGCUACGAGAAAUGGAGCAGGAGGUACGUCCUAUGCCAGGGCCGGUGCGGCGGGGUGCGCUCGGUAAUGAACCGGUGCGGCGUGGUGCGCUCGGUGAUGAAAUUACGAUUUCUCUCCUUGGAGGACCUUUGGCGGACGGCGGCGAUGACAAAGGCUGCAAGCCUUCACCCUGACGAGGAGUCAAUUGCACAGAACUACCACAUUUGCGGCUAGGUUUGCAGAAAACCAACAAGUCGCUAAUCCGUUGCAAAAAUCACCGCGAUCCGCAUAAUCUCGUUGCAAAAAACACUGAUCGGGUGAUUUGUCCUGUUUGAUCGCUUUGUGACAACUGGGGCCCAAUUGUAAGGUGCUGACAUGGCAAAAAAUUAACAUACACAUCCCUGGAUCUAAAAUAAAAAAGCAAUCAGACCCCCACCCAUCCCUCCCCCUCCCUUGCGCUCGUGACCCAUCUUUCAUCUCCCCUGCGCGACUGACCUUCCUCCGGCUCCGGCCACCUCACCUAACCCGUCGGCACCGCCCUAACCUACUGGGGCCUGGCCCUUCUUCUUGUUGUAAUCGGCGUCGUCGUCGUCUCCUUCCUUGUCAGCAGCAGGGGAGGGGGCGGGCGCGGCGGCGGAGUGCAGGACGAGACGGCGACGGCGAGUGCGCGUAGGAAGGGGCCACAGCGGGGGAAGGGAGCGGGGACGUCUCGAUGGGCACGGAGGGGAUGCCGCCGGCGCCUUGUCCUUGUCGAGGGACCCUGCGGAGGGGGAUAUGGAAGGGGAGGCGGAUCCGUUGGCGUCGGGGCGGAGGAGCGGGGACGCGGUGGGCGCGUCGGGCGAUGGGGGCUGCGAGAUGGGGCUCUGGGCGGCGCAGAGCGGCAGCGCGGCCACCACGAGGAGGAGGAGGAUGCCGUCGUGGAGCCCCCGUCCAAGAGAGCCACGCCCAGCCCCUGGUGGUGGUGCACCACACGGCGUCCCCAACUGCUCUGAGCUGCUGCUUCGGGCACGGCGUCGAGCCAGGGAGGAGCGGCGUGGAGCUGUUGCCGCUGCUUGCACGGCGUCUAGCAGCCGCGGGGCCGAGCACUCCCGUCGCCACCGCGCUGAGGGUGCCGCUGCUGCCCUUCUCUAGUGAGGAUGCCGUUGUGGCGGCUACGCGCAGGCGGCGGGUGGGCUUCUGCCGCGGCCACGAGAGCCAGCGGGAUCGAGAGCAGGGGUAUUGAGAGCAAGGGGGUUGAUUGCUUUUUAUUUUUGGAUCCAGGGGUGUGUAUGCCAUUUGUUUGCCAAGUCAGCUCUUGACAACCGGGCCCCACUUGUCAGAAAAUGAUUAAAUGGGUUAAAUCACCUGAUCAGUGCUUUUUGCAACAAGUUUAUUGCUAAUGAAGUGUUUUUUGCAGCGGAUUAGCGACUUGGUGGUUUUCUGCAAACCUAGCCGCAAAUGUGGUGGUUUUGUGCAAUUCACUCCCCUGACGAGCUGUAAAUCCCUCGCAAAUCCACCUCCAACUUCCUCUGAGGUCGGCUUUGGCCCCGUCUAGGGGGACUCCGUCGACGGCGGCCUUCGCCCCAGCCCCACUCCGCAGCAGGUCGCCGUCAAGUACCUCGGCCUCGACAACAACGGUGUCUAGCGGCACACGAGUUGCUGGUACGUCGCCCUUACUCGGUGCCAUAGAGAGUCCAGUCAUCAACCACAGAUCGUUGGUUGGUUCAUUGAUUCCAUGAUGACUAAUUAAUUUUUUGGUUAGUCAACAGGCGGAGGUGAUGUAUCUGCGGAUGGUGAGCCACCUGCACCUGACGUAAUAGUAGCCAUGCUCUUGGCAAGUUGAGCUACUGCAUAGUACUAGGAAGUUUUGCUCAUGCGUGUCCGCCAUGGGUUUGCGGCAAGGGUAGCAAACUUCGUGAGUACGUCGACAGGUUGUGUACUCUUCGGGAUUUUUUCUGUCUUCAGUAUUUUUGUUCUUAUAAAAAUGAUCGUAUUCUUUGCACACAACCGAUCGAAUUAGCCUCGCUUGCCUUCAGUUGCAGCCGUAACCCAUUGACUGAUCGAGCCAAAAUAAUCCCACUGCAGUGCGUCCUACAUCAGUUUUUCAUCUCCCCCACUUAACUUUUUAUUAUGGCUUUUAAUAAACACGAGUUCAUAUAGGAAUCCAAGUAAAUAGCAACGACAAUUAUUAACAGGUUACAAAUCUUUUCCUUUCGUCUUCCUUCUACCUUGAUCGGAAAUAAUUCUCCACCACUAUUAAAAUUCUCUGCUGAAACUGCUCUACAGGUCCAUCGUUUCAGCUUUAGGUUCAUUCAUCUCUUUCAAUUGAGCCAUGAGAAGGAGGAGCCACCAAGGCUGGGGAUGCGUCUACAUUGCCCCUAGCCAUGGGAAGAAGCGGUCCGAUUUCGCCCUACAAACCUAAUUGUCUACAGUUUUGAAUUGUUUUUAUAUUUUGUAAGAAUUAAAAACUGCAGGACGCACGGUGAAUGAUAAUAAUUUUUGUGAUGAUAUAUGAGCCAGUACCAUUGCUCAUCUUGAUCUGCUAUUUGGAUAACUGUACUUUCGUUGAAUUCUACUUCUCUUUAUGUUGUUUGCAGGCUUGCCAUUGUUACAGAUCCAUACAGGAUAACUACACUUUCAAGGACCUGUACUUCUCUACAUGUUAUUUCAGGCAAGACAUUGUUACAGAUCCAUCAAAAAUUAAAUUACCAUUUUUGUUCUAUGCAUGUACCCUAUGUAAUGGCUUUUGGUUGUGUGUGGCUUGGGCAAAAUCUUGAUUUCCUAUUUGUUCGAUCAUUUGAAUGUUUAUGGCACAUGUAGUUCUUUGUACACAAGUGUAAGCUGCAGAUAUGAUUUAUGGAAGAUGAGGUAUGUUCUCCGCAUUUUCGAAGAUAGAUAAGUCCUAUGGGUAUCGCUGGAGCGAUGUCUUUUUUAUUUACAAUAUGUACUGCCGUUGUAUCAUAACUUGUGGCUGUAUGCCCGUCGUAUAUUUGGUGCACUUACCUACGUUGAGUAAUAAUAUUAAGUAUUCCUAAAUUAAUCUCAGAUAUACCUUUGCAACUUAUGCUUGAUGAUGAAAAUAGGAGAUUCAACAAAACCUGAUAUUUUCCAAACAGAGUGGUUUCUUCAUCAAUUGUGAAAAGUACAAUAUUUAACACAUGUUUUAUUACUUGUGUUUUCAACCAACAAAUGUAUCAAGCAGUCUCUAUUCCGAAAACUACCGCAUUUCCCAUGAAAAAGGAACAAUUGUACUUGAUGGAGAACAAUGGAAGUAGGUUGGCGUCAAUAGGUUUGUUUUCAUGUUCAUUUUUGUCAAAUAUCUUCAGAAUUGUAAAAGUUACUCGCCUGAUUAAUCUUUUGAGCUCCAUAGAGGCUAUGUGAUGAUGUCUUAAUCAAUGGUAAUUGGAAAUCUACUCCAAUAGUUCAAAGGAAAAAUAAAAUAGAGUAAGUCUUUCUUAGUAUCAAGGCACUGUUCCACACUUUGAUACUUUGAUACACUAACUUGGCGCAAUUCAUAGAAAUGUUGUUGGCACUCAAGCAUUGGUCAUACAAAACGAUCGAAUAUUGAUAUCUAUACUUUGGCCAUACAUCCACAAGACCCAGUCUACUACCUGCGGGAAAACUGUUCUCUUUGUUGUGAUUCACCUUGGAAUGUAUAGUGCUGACUUUCGGUUCUAUUAGGUUUUUUAUGCCACUUUUAAUGCUAGCAAAGAGAUCCCGCAGCAAUGCGCGGGGUAUCAUCUAGUUGAUAAAAUUUCACACCUUCAAAGAGAGAAAUGGAGGCUCUAGUAGUAACUUUGGGCGACCAAGAUUUUAAAUGGCAAUUGGACAUUAACAACAGUGUUAUUAAGAGCAUCUGCAUCUGCAUCCACAUACUAUUGGGUUAAAUAUUCGUCAGAGCGUGAAUUUGGAAAUCAAGUUCAUACUAUUUUUCUAGUGGAAAUAUAUUAUUAAGGUACUUGUUCAAACAAAUGCAAACAUUGUUUUCAUGUGAUUCACAGGAUUGAAAAUAUAUUAGUUCCAUGAAAUUUUUACUUCACAGAUGUUAAUAAGGGCCACCCCAAAUAGGCGGCGUGUUUACAGUGAUUAUAUAGGCUGUGAUGCUAAUUACAAAAAGGAGAUAUAUGUUGUACAUAGAUGUAACCCACAGGCAGAACGUGAUAAGAAAACUCAGAUGCAGCAAACUAACAUUGCCGUCCAUCUUACGUUGCUUUUCCAGUCUCAUGUGUGCAAUACCUAAAAAGAAGAGCUUCAAUCCAGCGUGAACGUUGUUAGUCUGGACACACGACAUAUCAUGUGACAUCUCUUAUCAACUGUAUGGCUCCUCAAGACUUCAUAUAGCUUAUUGUCCGAUCAACCUACAAGGCCCCAAAUCAUGCACCAAGCUUCUCAUCCACUGUACAUGCUGCAGAUUUCAGAAAAAGGAAAAGUUUAAUCAUACAUGAAAAUCUAGAUAUACGUUGUUAUGUAGAAAAAUAGAUGACGCAGACACCCCUCCAUCCAGUGUGUUGUCCUACCAAACGGCCAGUCACAUGAUGCACGGGAACGUCUUCAUCCACCACAAAAAUAUAGAUAUUCCUAAGCACAAGGAUUAAUUAAAAGGCCUCCAUAUCUUGAUACAAUAUAGGAAAAUAGAUGAUGCAGUCAAAAGCAGAUAUGUGUUAGUUGUAAUAUGUAUGUAUGGAUGCUUAGGUCGAUCAGCUGGUUUGUAUGCUCAUACCUCGGCAUGUGGCAAGUUGUCUUGCCUGAUAUCGUGAUGGAUGUGCAUGGAAGAAUAACAGGCAUGAUGCGUACAUCUGUUUACCCCAUACCGAUCUGAAUCAGCCAAUCUGCACAUGUUUACUAAGUUAGUCUUCGUGAUGUAGCUAGUUGCAUCCAUGCUCUCAUUCAUCCAGCUGAGUAAAAGGAAGUUAAGGAUGCAUGUGUGGGUGGGUGGAAUCAUAGGAACCUUGCCCUGACGUCGGCAAACCAUACGUUUUGUAUAUAGUGAGUCUCAUGUAGUGUCAUGGGUCUUCACAUCCUCUGUGCCGCUACACGCAGAACAUCAUAUAACCUGUUAAUGCGGAGACAUAUGUCAGAGAAUUGCCAGUUAGCGGCUUGUACAUGUAGAAUCAGAGUUGAGGCCGGAGCCCCUGAUCCUCGCCUAGACAACGGCAACAUCAUGGAAUUUCCAGGGAAUUCAUCCAGCAAAGCACUUCUGAUCGAUCUUCCAUUGUAGGAUGGGAGUAAUAGAGGAGGCGAGAAGGGCAGACCUUUCCACCUAUUUUCUUUUCUGUACGCAUACCUUAGGUCUAGAUAGGUACUCCCUCCGUUCCAAAAUAGAUGACCCAACUUUGUACUAAUUAGUAUAAAGUUGGGUCAUCUAUUUUGGAACGGAGGGCUGCGUUAGGGGAAUUGCUUGGGAACUCAUCCAAGAGAGCACCUCAGAUCGAUCUUUCCUGCCAGGAUGGGAGGAAAAGAGGAGGCGAGAGGAGGAUAGCUUUCGAUCUAUUUUCUUCCCUGGUAGGUAUAGAUAUGUACCUACGUGAGGGGGAUGGCCUUUUUUUAUUUCCUAGAUGGAUACAUAAGAGUAGGUUUUCUUUUCUGUAUGGAUGCGUGUGUUUUUUUUACAUCUGGAUGUGUGAGGAGUUUUUUUUUUUUUUGCGUGAGUAGUUUCUUUCCUUUUUUUUGAGGGGAUAGUAGUUUCUUUCCUAGUAGAUGGAUCCUAAGGGGUAGAUUUUCUUUCCUGUAUGGAUGCGUGAGGAGGUCCACCAGGUUAUUAAUAUCCAACGACUAUGGUUUGUUAAGAAAAAGAAGGUCUAUUAAAUCAAUGGUUAGAUACUUCUAAUUACUCCCUCCGUUCCUUUUUAGUCUGCAUAUAAGAUUUGGUCAAAGUCAAACUUUGUAAAGUUUGAACAACUUUAUAAGAGAAAAUAUCAACAUCUACAAUAGUAAAGCUAUAUGGUAUGCAAAUUCAUUUCAUGAUGCAUCUAACAAUAUUGAUUUCAUAUUAUGAAUCUCGAUAUAUUUUUCUAUAAACUGAGUCAAAGUUAACAAAGUUUGACUUUGACCAAACCUUAUAUGCAGACUAAAAAGAAAUGGAGGGAGUAUUGUGGGAAUUUUUAGCCUAAUUAUCUUUUUUGUGGUUAGCCUGUCAAUCUCUUUUUUUAUAUAAAUAGAUUUCUGUGUGAUCAUGACAUGGAGCCAGCUGAUCACCAGUAAUUAUGUUACCAUCAUGUGUUUGGAGUACAUUAAGCUUGUGAACAUCUGGCGUCGUACUUGUCGGCUCUACCUCCAUGCGUAGCAUAAGACAACACAUCAUUAUCAUGAAAGAAUAUGACACGCCUUCAUAUAUACAUGCGUGCCCAAUUAAAGCGAUCACCAUCAUCAUGGAAGAAUAUGAGCACGUCUAGCUGUGAUAUGAAGGCAAUAACAAUUAAUGUCAUGAGUAUAUGACUGUAUGUGGUGGUAUACAUUUUGGCUUCAAGUCACCAACAUGCACCGCACAAAACGUUGUUAUCGGCAACAACGACAAAGAUCAUGCGUGCAUGUGUGGGAGGUUAUGAUUCAGCUGCCGGUGACACAAGCAUGUUACACCUACUAUACGGAAUAAUUUUAAGCAAGGCGCCUUUUAGUGACACCACAUCCACAUGGAUGCCGGAGACAGUCAUAUUUAAGCAGCAGGAGCCCUUGUGUCGGGUACCUAUCCAUCCAUCGACAUUACUUGCCACAGCAAGUACAUCCUGUCUCCUCUCAAGCAAAACAAGAUAUAGAAGCCAUGAAAGAUCCUAACACCAGCACCAUGUCCUUCAAGCAGGCCUUCCUCAAGAACCUCCUCCUCGGACUGCAGCUCCAGGCACACACGUGCACAUCCUUCGGUAACGGCGCCAUGAGCCUCCACGAGAGGAAGCGCGCCGUCAAGUCCUCCGUGGACGUCGCCAUGGCGGCUGCGCAUGGAGGCGGAGCGAGGUGGCCCAAGGCCAUCUUGGCACCGGCGUCCAGCGCGUGCAAGGUGCAGAGGUGUAGGAGGACCGUGAGGAGGUGCUGCCGCCAUAAGAGGUGCUCGGGGAGAUCAGGCCGCACCGGUGGUGGCGACACUCCGGGGAGGCUGGUGAGCAGCAGGACCAUGGCACUGAGGGAGGUGAUACCGGGAGGCCGGAACUCCACCGUCGACGAGGCCACUCUGUUACGCGAGGCCAUGGACUACGCCAUGCACCUGCGCGCUCAGGUCGACGUGCUCCGCUGGCUCUCGGAAACCGUGCAAACAUCUAGCUCCAGUGACUCUAACCGUGCACUGCCAAAGGAGGCAUGAUUAAGGUACCAGGUGGUGGCUUGUCAAUGCUUCUGCGAACAGAAGGACAAGCUACGCACAACAUAUUGCCCCUUGUGAAAAGCGGUGAAAAAUAUCAGGAUUUUAUCUUGCUCUUGCGGAAGUUCCUAUCAGUGUAGAGUGCUUGCGAGCAGCAGACUACACUCUUUGUUGAUCAGCAGAGAGAAAAAGCUGCCCGGAAUUAUGUAUUUACUGUAGCAAAACUUUGUGGUGUCCGUUGCAAAUGAAGAUAUUAGAGUGUGUGAAAAGUUACUUAUUUAGAUCAUGCGUGCAUGUGCAGUUUAAAUGCAAGGUCUGCUUUUGCAUUAGUCAGGAAAUCUGCAGAACCUGAAACAACUUGCAGUGCUCACUCAUUUAAAGGAGAAGGCCACAACUGCUCGUACAUAGGCUCCAAAUGAAGGUCACUGUCUUGUCACGACGGAAACAAAUGGUAAAAUUCUAAAAUCCAAAAUUAAUAAGUAUGUAAAUAACUGAGACCUGGCAUAUAUAUGCUGCGUAUUACUGCAGUACACCCGAAACAGCUAUAUGGAAAACACCUAGGAAAUUAAGUCUAAUAAAAUUCACGGGCAAGGAUGUAGCUAGUGACAGGAAAUUGUACCAAAGCCUACUAUAAAAAUAUUGCACACAUAUAAGGUCUUCUUUGUUUCAUAGGAUAGGAAUCAUAGUUUUAAACAGUGCGCUAAGCAUCUUAGAGGCGGACCUCUUCAAAUGCUAUAGCAUGCUAUAGCGUGCUAUUUAAAAUGUUUGUUUAUUUGUUUGGACAAAGUCUCUUAGCGCAAGACCUUUUGUAAACGCUAUAGCGGGCUAUUUAAAACAGUGAUAGAAAUAAAAAAAAACAAAGAAUAAUAGAUGUCAUGCAUCUGAAUUCUUAUAGAAAAAAUGUCAUUUGAUUCACCGCUUUUGGAGUAGUGUCUACAAGAUAAUCGUUUCCUAACGCCUCCCAAAUCUAAUUAACAUAUUUGUGGUAGUGUGCACAUAUGGCCCAAUAUAUAUUUCAUAUUUCCUAAAAACAUGACUUUAACAAAAUAAAAUGAGAGGAAUUGUCUUGAGUACUAUCUGCCAUGACUAGCAUACUCGGAGAUAAAUUAUGUGGGCACAACGGAUGAAUAUCCUAUCGUUAUCUGAUUCUGGCUAUAUGAUCACUAUGAACCACGGUUGAUGGAAACUAUAUAUAGGCACCAACACUUGACGGGGAGCUUGAAAAAGAAUAAAUGUCAUAACAGCUCAUCAACAAGGUGGAUGGCGACGAGUAAUUGGUUUUUUGUACCUUUUCUUUAGGUUUGCUUGGGUUUGUACCAAACUUUUAAAUCGCGGAUGAAAAUUGCGCGAUCGCUGGCUGGAAGCCUUCCCGCGACGCGAUGCCUUAAAAAACGCGAUCUGUAGCUAAUCACGCGAUCGCUGCGCGAAGCGGCGCAAAACUCAUUUGCGCUCGCUGCAAUUUCGCUGGGACGGGCUGAAACAGAGGCCCAACAAGAGCCAGGCCCACAUUUGCCCCGAUGGAGAGGACAGAGGAGCAGCUCAUCCAGAAAACCUAACUCAUCGCUAUCCCCAUUCCCUUCUCAGCUGUUGCGGCGGCUGCGCGGUUCUUCCCAGCUGCGCUCGGUGGGCCGGCGGCUGCUUCGCCGGAAGUCGGAUGCACUAAUGUGCGAGGCAGCAAAGCGGAGACCAGAGCACCUGGCAGGAGCCGCAACCUAUACUGCUGCGGUCACGCCAACGCUGCGACCGGCGAUGAAGGCCUCUGCAGGACGACGUCGAUGUGUCCACACUCCAUAAUGAUAGCUCAGUCUCACACGGUUCCAACUCGCAGUAUAUCUCCAGGAGGUACAGGAUUGCUCUGAUCCUCUUUAAUCUCUAUCGUUUGUUGAUUCAAUACAAGCAACAGAGCAUGUCAGCCUAUUGGUAUUGCACGACUUGUAGGUUGUAGCUUAGAUUUUCAACACUGCUUCCAAGAAAAUCCUCUGUUUUCUGCUGAAAUUCCUAAAUUUCUUCAGACAAACAUGCAUAUGUACUGUUCCCGCUAAAUGGCAUAGCGGCCGUAGCGUUUUGAAGAGCCAGCCGCUAAAUCAUUUUCGCCGUGAUCUUAAACUUUGGUUUGUACCAGCACUUUUUCGACAGUACUUGGUCAAUACUAGCACUACUACAGUUAAGGUAAUUACAUACACUUCAAAAAAAAACUAUCGCACACACAGAAGUGAAUCAUUGUCUUGCAUGGUUUGCUAGAGGUGUGUUACUGUCACACAUGCUACGGAUAAACAUGCGCGAUAGGGUGCUAAUUUUGUAAAAGCAAUCAUAUGCGAUGCACGGACUUCUUUUUAAACUCUUACCGUAGAAGAAUUGCUUUACGGUAUUUCAAUUAUAUUAAAAAAAGUAUAUACAAAGGAAGUCCAGAAUACAUCAUAAAUCACCCAAUACCAGCUCUAUCAAAAUUAAUCAUGGACUACAGAUUGUUACUAAUUCAGGACUGAAGCUUGUUGGCCUUGACUUGUUUAGCUCUCAGCAUUGAAUAAUAGAGUCCUUCUUUCAAGUAGGAAGUCCAGCUGAUAGGAUGAGCAGGCACUUGCUUAAAGAUCUUAUCAUUUCUGACCAUCCAUGUACUCCAGCAUCCCAUGACGAUGAUGUCUAAUGCCAAAUCUAUAGGAAGGACUAAGAGAAACUCCAAUGGAGCGAUCCAUUUCGUCCGCCCGUGUCCGUUUUGGUCGGCGCGGACAAAAGUGGCGGCCCAACGCGCCGACCCAAACGGACGCGCGUCCAUUUUUCGUCCGCGGGCGACCCAUUUCAGGCUCAAUUUUGAGCCGGAUUUGCGUCGGUGCGGACACGAGACGGACGCCGCGCGCCUACUCCUCUCCCCGGGCCCGCCUGUCGGUGGCAGCCACCAUCAUUUCCCCCCAUUUUCUCCAAAAACGCUCCCGCCCGCGUGCGCCCCCGCCCCCCGACCAGCCAUGGAGGACGCCAUCGACCUCGACCUCGACGCCGCCGCCGGCCCUCGCCUUCCUCGCCUCGUCCGGCGCCGUCGCCCCCUCUGGGAAAGGCAAGCCUCGUGCCCCGCGUAAGACCGCCGCGGCGACCAAGCCGAAGAAGGCGCUGACGCCCAAACAACGGGCAAGCGAGUCUGCCAAGAGGAAGGGCCGGAGGCACGCUGCGGACGCGAGGGAUGAGGCCGCUGCGCAGGCCGCCGCCGUCGCUGCCGCGCAGCAGGAGUUCACCAACGCCCGCGUCGCCGCAGCAACGAGGGAGGCGCUCUACAUGCUUGGGGUAAACCCUAGCCAGCAUAACCUCGUCCAAGCCGCCGUUGCCGCGGCCAGCCCCGGCUCGUCGGCGUUUCCUCGGAUGGUGAUGCCCGACUCACCCUACGCAUCGGCUUGCAACCCGGUCCCCGGCUUCCACGUCUACCCGCAGGCCUCCCGCCUCUCCGGGGAGUGCUCACCCGACGUGAGCGUGGUUGCGCCUUCCACGCCCGCGCCCGCGCCCAUCGACCUCAACGCCACCCCGGUGGUCGGUGGCUCGUCGUCCGGAGGCAUGAGGAAACGCGUGCGACAGACGCCGGCCGGCGGUCUCCCGGACGCCCGUAACCUAUUCGAGGAAAUGUCGUCCGCCGUCGACGAGGACUUCAUGCAACACCUCAUCUUCGAGGGUGGUGCGCCGGGCGCUGGCUACGAUCCAGAGGAGACGCAAUGCCAGGACGGCCGCGGGGCGUUCACGCCGGCCGCUGGCUAUGAUCCCGAUCAGGCGGCCUUCAUGCGUGAUCAGUGUGACGCCCGGAUAAUCAUGCUACAGUAAUCUCACGUUAAUGGUGACACGUCACCUCUGUCACUGUAGUUAAUCUCGGGUUAAUUCGAAACCGAUUCAAAUUUAAAUCCUAACUAAGUCAAACGACAAUAGCUUUCAAAAUAUUAAACAAAAAUGUUCGGACGGUGCCAUAUUUUUCUUAAGUAAAUAUGGUGUAAUAAACACAUUUUUAUAAAAUGCCUAGAUAAUUUAAAAUGAUUUAAAACAGAAAAGAAAACACAAAAACAGAAAAGAGAACUAACAAAAAAAAGGAAAAGAAAACCCCCCAGGCCAACUGGGCCUUGGCCCAACCAGCUGGCCACCAGGCCGACUAGGCCGGCCCGUCCCCACUCCCCCAUAACCCCCUCCACUCCUAACCCUAGGCACCGACACCCCCACUCCCCCCCACUCGCGCCCCCACUCUCCCUUUCCCCGAUCCAAUCGGGAUCGGGCUUGANNNNNNNNNNNNNNNNNNNNNNNNNNNNNNNNNNNNNNNNNNNNNNNNNNNNNNNNNNNNNNNNNNNNNNNNNNNNNNNNNNNNNNNNNNNNNNNNNNNNNNNNNNNNNNNNNNNNNNNNNNNNNNNNNNNNNNNNNNNNNNNNNNNNNNNNNNNNNNNNNNNNNNNNNNNNNNNNNNNNNNNNNNNNNNNNNNNNNNNNNNNNNNNNNNNNNNNNNNNNNNNNNNNNNNNNNNNNNNNNNNNNNNNNNNNNNNNNNNNNNNNNNNNNNNNNNNNNNNNNNNNNNNNNNNNNNNGCAGCUGACGCCCCCGUCGCCGCGUCGCAGCUCGCCGUCGUCCGUGCCCCGCUGACCGCCACCACCUCGACCCCGCGCCCCCUCUCCUUCCACGCGGCGCUGCCCGACCCGAAGCCGCUCGUCGUCCCGACCCCAUCGCUCGCGCUGUCGCCAUCGCCGGAUCGCCGGCGUCACCUCGCCCCGACGCCCGUCCGCGCGCCGCCUUGUCGCCCUCCACCCCGGAUCUGGAACUGGGGCUCGGCCUCGAUGCCGCCGCUGCUCGGGGCCCCCCCUCGUGGAACCACGACGCCGCCGGACUGCUUCCCCGUCCAUUCCCCGCCGGCUUCCUCGCGCCUCGUCGAUGAACCCCUGCACCGGGGGUAUGACCCCAUCUCCCCCUACCCCUUCCCCUACACCGUCUGCGCCGACGCCGCUUCGCCUGGCUGGCCGCGUCCGCCAGCGGCUCCACCCCGUUCCCUCCGCCCCGUCGCGCCUUCCCGGCCGGCCGUGGCCACCGACCGCACUGCUAGCCGCGNNNNNNNNNNNNNNNNNNNNNNNNNNNNNNNNNNNNNNNNNNNNNNNNNNNNNNNNNNNNNNNNNNNNNNNNNNNNNNNCGUGGCCACCGACCGCGCUGCUAGCCGCGCCAGGCGCCAGGGCCGCGCCCUCGCUCCCCGCACCCGCCUCACCUUCGCUCCGGCGCACCCACGCGCCCGUCCCGUCGCCUCGGGUCCGCUCCGAUGGGCACCCGCUGCCGAGCACCCGAUCGGGUGACAUCCGCACCCGAGCGCCCGAACCCGAUAGGCCCCUAUGGGCCUAUGACAGAUGGGCCCCAUGCCCAUAACGUUUAAAAAAAAGAAGGAAUUAAAAAUAAAAAUAAUAAAUAAAAAAUGAUUUAAUAAAAUUAAUUGUUAAUUAAUUAAUUAUCUAAUGAAUUAAUUAAGUUAAUUAAUCCGGUUUAAUUAAUUUAAUUAACUAGUUAGGUUAAUUAAAUAGUAAUUAAAUAAACUAAUCUGUAAUUAACCUAAACAGAGAAUGACAGGUGGGUCCCACCGGACCCACAUGUCAGGUUGACCAAGUCAACUCUGUUGACUGCUAACGUCAGCAUGACAUCAUGCUGACGUCAUAAAUCCAUUUUUCGAAUUAAUUAAAUAAUUAAUUAAAUUCCAGAAAUUAAUAAAAUCUUUAGAAAAUCAUAUCUUUUAAUCCGUAACUCGGAUUAAAUUAUUUUCAACAUGAAAGUUGCUCAGAACGACGAGACGAAUCCGGAUACGCAGCCCCUUCGUCCACCACACCCCCCUAUCAUAUCAAACUCGCAACUUUCCCCCUCCAGCUCCUUUGCCCGAAAACACGGAACACCGGGAAUACUUUCCCGGAUGUUUUCCCCCUUCGCCGACAUCACCUCAUACUGCGUUAGGACACACCUAGCACCGCUCUUUGUCAUGUCUUGCGUCGUCUUGCUUAUGUUUGCACUGUAUUUAUUGUUUCUUCCCCCUCUUCUCUUCGGUAGACUACGAGACCGACGCUGCUGCUGCCCAGUUCGACUACGGAGUUGACAACCCCUCUCUCUUGCCAGAGCAACCAGGCAAGCCCCCCCCUUGAUCACCAGAUAUCGCCUAUUCUACUCUAUACUGCUUGCAUUAGAGUAGUGUAGCAUGUUACUGCUUUCAGUUAAUCCUAUACUGCUGCAUAGCCUGUCCUUACUACUAUUGUUGUUACCUUUACCUGCUAUCCUACUGCUUAGUAUAGGAUGCUAGUGUUCCAUCAGUGGCCCUACACUCUUGUCCGUCUUCCAUGCUAUACUACUGGGCUGUGAUCACUUCGGGAGGUGAUCACGGGCAUAUACGAUAUAGUUUACACAGUUACAUUACCUGUGAUACUGUUCGGAGAUGGGGGCUGAAGGGGCAGGUGGCUCCAUCCCGGUAGAGGUGGGCCUGGGUUCCCGACGGCCCCCGACUGUUACUUUGUGACGGAGCGACAGGGCAGGUUGAGACCACCUAGGAGACAGGUGGGCCUAGCCCUGUUCGGCGUUCGCGGAUAUUUAACACGCUUAACGAGAUCUUGGUAUUUGAUCUGAGUUGGCUACGAGCCUAUACGCACUAACCAUCUACGUGGGAGUAGUUAUGGGUAUCCCGACGUCGUGGUAUCAGCCGAAGCACUUCAGACGUCAGCGACGGAGCGGCGCGCGCCGAAUUGGACUGGAACGCCACUAGGCUAGGUCUGCUUUCGGCCGCCCACGCAACGUGCAGGUGUGCUCAGGGCGAUGGGCCCAGACCCCUGCGCGCUUAGGUUUAGACCGGCGUGCUGGCCUCUCUGUUGUGCCUAGGUGGGGCUGCGACGUGUUGAUCUUCCACGGCCGGGCAUGACCCAGGAAAGUGUGUCCGGCCAAAUGGGAUCAAACGUGUUGGGUAAGGUGGUGCACCCCUGUAGGGAAGUUAAUCUAUUCGAAUAGCCGUGAUCUUCAGUAACAGGACGACUUGGAGUUGUACCUUGAACUUAUGACAACUAGAACCGGAUACUUAAUAAAACACACCCUUCCAAGUUCCACAGACAACCCGGUGAUCGCUUUUCCACAGGGCGACGAGGAGAGGAUCGCCGGGUAGGAUUAUGCUAUGCGAUGCUACUUGGAGAUGCUACUUGGAGAUGCUACUUGGAGGACUUCAAUCUACUCCCUUCUACAUGCUGCAAGAUGGAGGCUGCCAGAAGCGUAGUCUUCGACAGGAUUAGCUAUCCCCCUCGUAUUCUGGCAUUCUGCAGUUCAGUCCACUGAUAUGGCCCUUUACACAUAUACCCAUGCAUAUGUAGUGUAGCUCCUUGCUUGCGAGUACUUUGGAUGAGUACUCACGGUUGCUUUUCUCCCUCUUUUCCCACUUUCCCUUCUACCUGGUUGUUGCAACCAGAUGCUGGAGCUCUGGAGCCAGACGCCACCGUCGACGACGACUACUACCCCGGAGGUGCCUACUACUACGUGCAGCCCGCUGACGACGACCAGGAGUAGUUUAGGAGGAUCCCAGGCAGGAGGCUUGCGCCUCUUUCGAUCUGUAUCCCAGUUUGUGCUAGCCUUCUUAAGGCAAACUUGUUUAACUUAUGUCUGUACUCAGAUAUUGUUGCUUCCGCUGACUCGUCUAUGAUCGAGCACUUGUAUUCGAGCCCUCGAGGCCCCUGGCUUGUAUUAUGAUGCUUGUAUGACUUAUUUAUGUUGUAGAGUUGUGUUGUGAUAUCUUCCCGUGAGUCCCUGAUCUUGAUCGUACACAUUUGCGUGCAUGAUUAGUGUACGAUUGAAUCGGGGGCGUCACAAGUUGGUAUCAGAGCCAACUGCCUGUAGGAAUCCCCCUUCCACACUCCUUGGCCGAAGUCGAGUCUAGACUUUACAAAACUUUUACUAACUUGGCUGUGUGGCCCAUGGGCCCACGUCGCCAUUGGGUGGUAUUAGGAUCUUUUAUUCCUCGUCUAUACUCUGGGACUCUGAUCUCUCUACUAUUCGGGUUAAAUGAAUUUGCUAACUCUAAGAUGAGGAUCUCGUGAUCGCAUCCACCCGAAGAGUCCCUUAUUGCAGAGGAUCGCCUGCUACAUCAGAAGAUUCCGAAGAUACUCUCUAAUGUUCUCUCGAGACUUUGUGCCCAUCACUUUUGCUAUUCCUGACCACCGAUAAAUCCGUAUGGAUAACUACUUACACUUGCCAUUCAUAUGAUCAUCCCCCAUUGAUCUUGUUAUUACAAGAUACCCCCGAAGUUUUCUCUAUUGUUCCGAGAAUACUUUGUGCCUACUGCCUAGCAGUUCUUUGCCACAUGAAUACCCCGUUCAAAAAAAUUCUCGCACUUAUCGAGUAUCCGCUCAUCCCCUAGUUGUUCACGUGUUUCACAAAAGUCUUCAAAAUACUAUUUGAUCUUCCGAAAAUCCUCUGGAGCCUUUUGCUCUUGAAAUUCUUGCUUGCUUGCAAUAUGAUUAAUCACAUAAGUCUCGUAAUCUUAAUGGCAUACCUUGUCAUUAUCAUUUUGAGUCUGUUGAUUCAAUAUGUUGCGGAUUCUCGCAAUCCUCAAAUAGAUCCUAGAAUUCAUCCUUCCGGCUCAGACGUCAUUUUGAACAUGAGUUGGUUCUCGACCAAACUAUCUGUCAUCGAUUGUGCCUCUGGUAUAUUCAAUUGAUCCAUCCUUGAUCAGAACGUCUGCUUCUGAUCCUUUGUUUUGGAAAUCAUAAUUCCUUUGCAUUUAAGCUGUGAAUUAUUCAGAUGCUUCCAUAACAGUUGCAUUUGCAUUCCUUCCUCUUCUGGUUGAGUAUCGAUACUCAUAUCGGAUCCUUUGUGGACCAUCAAGUCCUUUGUUGGAUUGUUAUCCGACAGUGUCCUUCACAUUUGAUCACCUUGUGAGUUCUUCCCCUGAUACAUAAUGCCUUUGUUAAGUUGUAUCCUCUGCUUGGCCAACCAUGCUCUGCUUUCGGGCUUGUGUUAUUUACUCUUGAAACUUGUGGUAUAUGUCUCUAAGAAGCCCCUAUGGGUUGAACAUAUGCCUUCUCUAAACCGUGUGAACCCGAAAGUUUUCACGAGUCAUACUUAUCUGGUAUUGCACCAGGUAAAACUUUCAACAACUAAUGUCAUCUUCGAAAUACGAGAGGUGAAUGGAAGAUUAUGCAUUGGAGAAGUGGGAGUCGACCUUGAACUUUGUGUUCAUGCCCAUGGACACGAUGUAUAUCCUAUCAUGGAAGCUUCUUGUAACAAUAACUAUUUCCUUGAUAACUAACAUAUGGUAUCUGUGAAUUGAUCCCUUGCAACCGUGGUUCCGACCAUGAUUGUUCUUCUUUGAUCUCAUUUAUCGGACAAGUUAAAACAAUUGUCUCCUAUGGAUCAAUACCCCAGUCCAACCUCUAUUUUGAUCUGUCGUCGGGUAUUACCCCCUGGUAUCUCGAGAUUAUCAUGGAACUGCAUAACUUCUUAUGAGUUCUUCAUCAAGUGCUAUGUUCCCACUGAUUCCAAUUUUUCACGGGCUCUGAGUUAUUAUACACUCAAAGACACCGAUAACUGAACCGAGUCCGCACUACGGUUCAACAACUCUUCAGUAAGCUUCUAUAAAUACGAGUUUGUACCCGAUCACGCCAUUCCUAGCCUGUUUGGCUAUAUCAUUGUCGUGAUGAUUUUAACUGUGCUACCUGGUCCUUAUUCUCGGAGCACUAAUUUGCGACGAUAGCUAAGCUUACGUCGAUUUUCCUCGUCAUACCCUUUCACCUUAAACAACAAGCUUGAGUUCGAGUUUGUGUCGUAACUGUGGUUCCAAUAACCUCUUGCUUCAUCAUUUCCCUUGACUUGAUGUCGUCGCUGAGUGAUUACUUCUUCAUGAAAUCUCUCAACACUUGUGUCGUGAUCAUCAUCAACCUUACGAACUCUUCCAGAAUAUCAAUUGAAUUUAUGUUGAGAAACACCAUCCUUGCCCUCGAUGAUUAGUGAUAUCAUCGACCACUCUACUACCUUUCCUCCAACACAAACUUGUUCUUGUUUUGUGUUAUACCUUGAGUUCCUUGCUAUCCAGCAAUUGCUCUUCUUUACCUUGGAGUAUUACCAUCCUUUAUGUCAAGAAUGUCGUGAGAAUUUCACCACCUCUGGAGAAUUCUUGAUACAAGUGAUACUUAUCACCAUCACCAUUCUUUUCCUGGUCACCGUGUUAUUUCUAACCACCGACAAAUGGACUGUGAUGUGUAAUUCCAAAACUUCUAGCAACCCUAUUGCUUUGAAGUUAAUGGUCGGCCGUUCAUUCUUAGACUAUCGAUUAUUGAAUCACCAUUCCGAUGUUGGUUGUGCAACCCAGCCCAUAUUUCGGGUGCACCUUUCAACCAAUGUUUAAUUGUGUAUGUUUCCCUCGAGCAUACAUCAUUAUACCAUUUGAUCUGACUAAUGUUAUCUCCUUGUUCACUUAAUUGUGGAAACCAUCUUUUGGAAGUCUCGAUGAAUUGUCGCUGAGUUCAUCAGCUACCUCCUUAUCCCUUCAUUGGUUUAAUGAUGAGCUUUUGUUUCGGAACUCGCUUCCGUAGUAAAUUUCCCGAGAAUCUUACAAUGUCAUCUCGUCAUUUGUGUUGCACCUUUUCUUCUCUGGCCUCCUAAGUCGGAGGUAUCCUGACACCAAUCGGAUCUGAACCUCGGUCAGAUAUGAUGGCUGGGACAUUUCCAAGAGUUAUAACAUUGGUCUUUUAUGACCCGGUAAGGUGAUGGCAUGUCCGGCACACCUGGCCGGAGGACCUACUGCUAUAAUUUCUUUUUAGCAAGGUUAACCAUUCUUUCAUGAGGAAAUCAUAGGACUUAUUCUAUGAGUUGUUCAUGAUGGAUGCCUUGUGUGUCCAAAGUCCGAACUUUGCUUAAAGACCAUGGCAAUGCUAUUACGAAGCAUGUAUGUGGUACUCCUAUCAUCAAUAAGAACACUUGAAGCACAAUGCUAAAUUUUCUUACUCAAAUUAUCCAAACAUCAUUGUAUGGGUAAUGUCAUGAAAUUUCUCUCCCCUUCCCUAACGGGUUUUCUACUUAUUAUCCUGUCAUGGUUAUCAUGCUCUGCUUGUCCUUGGGAAGGAUAUACCCCUGAAAUAUGUGUUUAAACACAUUUUCCUUUCCAUUGUUUUGUUUAACCUUUCUUGUAAUCUGACUUAACUGAGCAGUGAUACCCCCCUGCUUAGGUAAGCAUCUCAUUGUACAACCGUGUCAGUAAGACCCUGUUUCUUUUGUUGAUAGCAUUUCGGUAACCACGGAUGGACGAGAACUUUGCCUAUUGGUCCGCCUCGUUCAACGAGCAGGAAAAUGGUUCUCUUCGUCCCUCGCCCUUGGUACCGACAUUGUUGCUGACAUAACCGACAGGCUAUCCUCUGACAUGCCUUUCUUGCAUGAUCAUGCAAGACGUCUCCGUCCUUCCUACUUUUGAACCACAUGGUGGGCCCAUAACCCACAGGUCCACUGGAUCGAAACCUGACUCUCCCGUACAACCCUGUUUCUAGUGGUUAUUCCCCACGCUUGGCUUCGUAUUUAAUUCAUGGGCCACCUUCCUAGUGCUCUAUUAUGGUAUCAGACGCAAUGCUUAUUGUCGCUACUUUGAACCCCUUUCUCACUCUGGUUCGGACUUCGAGCAACCACCUAUCCGCUUGGAACCUCUUAUUGUACCUUCGUACCUUACUCUCGAUGUAUUUUAUAUGUUCAACUCGAGAGAUAAUCUUAUGCUCAUUCAUGGGUUAACCCCAGAUUGUUUCCCUCAUAAGCAUUAUGUCGUAGCCGAGCUGCCCCUUACCUAUUCGUAAGUACGUUGGAGUUCCCGAAGAAAAGGACGACUUCACCAUGAUGACCUGGAGUAGAGAAAUGAAGACAUCACCAAAGGGGAUCAACUACUUCGGGAAGUGCAACCAAGACCGAGAAGACUCGUUAGAAUAUCGUAACCAGACCUCUCCCCCUUGCUCUACCUCUUAAAUCUCGGGACGAGAUUUCUUGUAGUGGAGGAGAAUUGUGACGCCCGGAUAAUCAUGCUACAGUAAUCUCACGUUAAUGGUGACACAUCACCUCUGUCACUGUAGUUAUUUUCGGGUUAAUUCGAAACCGAUUCAAAUUUAAAUCCUAACUAAGUCAAACGACAAUAGCUUUCAAAAUAUUAAACAAAAAUGUUCGGACGGUGCCAUAUUUUGCUUAAGUAAAUAUGGUGUAAAAAACACAUUUUUAUAAAAUGCCUAGAUAAUUUAAAAUGAUUUAAAACAGAAAAGAAAACACAAAAACAGAAAAGAGAACUAACAAAAAAAAGGAAAAGAAAACCCCCCAGGCCAACUGGGCCUUGGCCCAACCAGCUGGCCACCAGGCCGACUAGGCCGGCCCGUCCCCACUCCCCCAUAACCCCCUCCACUCCUAACCCUAGGCACCGACACCCCCACUCCCCCCCACUCGCGCCCCCACUCUCCCUUUCCCCGAUCCAAUCGGGAUCGGGCUUGANNNNNNNNNNNNNNNNNNNNNNNNNNNNNNNNNNNNNNNNNNNNNNNNNNNNNNNNNNNNNNNNNNNNNNNNNNNNNNNNNNNNNNNNNNNNNNNNNNNNNNNNNNNNNNNNNNNNNNNNNNNNNNNNNNNNNNNNNNNNNNNNNNNNNNNNNNNNNNNNNNNNNNNNNNNNNNNNNNNNNNNNNNNNNNNNNNNNNNNNNNNNNNNNNNNNNNNNNNNNNNNNNNNNNNNNNNNNNNNNNNNNNNNNNNNNNNNNNNNNNNNNNNNNNNNNNNNNNNNNNNNNNNNNNNNNNNNNNNNNNNNNNNNNNNNNNNNNNNNNNNNNNNNNNNNNNNNNNNNNNNNNNNNNNNNNNNNNNNNNNNNNNNNNNNNNNNNNNNNNNNNNNNNNNNNNNNNNNNNNNNNNNNNNNNNNNNNNNNNNNNNNNNNNNNNNNNNNNNNNNNNNNNNNNNNNNNNNNNNNNNNNNNNNNNNNNNNNNNNNNNNNNNNNNNNNNNNNNNNNNNNNNNNNNNNNNNNNNNNNNNNNNNNNNNNNNNNNNNNNNNNNNNNNNNNNNNNNNNNNNNNNNNNNNNNNNNNNNNNNNNNNNNNNNNNNNNNNNNNNNNNNNNNNNNNNNNNNNNNNNNNNNNNNNNNNNNNNNNNNNNNNNNNNNNNNNNNNNNNNNNNNNNNNNNNNNNNNNNNNNNNNNNNNNNNNNNNNNNNNNNNNNNNNNNNNNNNNNNNNNNNNNNNNNNGACCGCGCUGCUAGCCGCGCCAGGCGCCAGGGCCGCGCCCUCGCUCCCCGCACCCGCCUCACCUUCGCUCCGGCGCACCCACGCGCCCGUCCCGUCGCCUCGGGUCCGCUCCGAUGGGCACCCGCUACCCAGCACCCGCUCGGGUGACAUCCGCACCCGAGCGCCCGAACCCGAUAGGCCCCUAUGGGCCUAUGACAGAUGGGCCCCAUGCCCAUAACGUUUUAAAAAAGAAGGAAUUAAAAAUAAAAAUAAAAAAUAAAAAAUGAUUUAAUAAAAUUAAUUAUUAAUUAAUUAAUUAUCUAAUGAAUUAAUUAAGUUAAUUAAUCCGGUUUAAUUAAUUUAAUUAACUGGUUAGGUUAAUUAAAUAAUAAUUAAAUAAACUAAUCUGUAAUUAACCUAAACAGAGAAUGACAGGUGGGUCCCACCGGACCCACAUGUCAGGUUGACCAAGUCAACUCUGUUGACUGCUGACGUUAGCAUGACAUCAUGCUGACGUCAUAAAUCCAUUUUUCGAAUUAAUUAAAUAAUUAAUUAAAUUCCAGAAAUUAAUAAAAUCUUUAGAAAAUCAUAUCUUUUAAUCCGUAACUCGGAUUAAAUUAUUUUCAACAUGAAAGUUGCUCAGAACGACGAGACGAAUCCGGAUACGCAGCCCGUUCGUCCACCACACCCCCCUAUCAUAUCAAACUCGCAACUUUCCCCCUCCAGCUCCUUUGCCCAAAAACACGGAACACCGGGAAUACUUUCCCGGAUGUUUUCCCCCUUCGCCGACAUCACCUCAUACUGCGUUAGGACACACCUAGCACCGCUCUUUGUCAUGUCUUGCGUCGUCUUGCUUAUGUUUGCAUUGUAUUUAUUGUUUCUUCCCCCUCUUCUCUUCGGUAGACUACGAGACCGACGCUACUGCUGCCCAGUUCGACUACGGAGUUGACGACCCCUCUCUCUUGCCAGAGCAACCAGGCAAGCCCCCCCCCCUUGAUCACCAGAUAUCGCCUAUUCUACUCUAUACUGCUUGCAUUAGAGUAGUGUAGCAUGUUACUGCUUUCAGUUAAUCCUAUACUGCUGCAUAGCCUGUCCUUGCUACUAUUGUUGUUACCUUUACCUGUUAUCCUACUGCUUAGUAUAGGAUGCUAGUGUUCCAUCAGUGGCCCUACACUCUUGUCCGUCUGCCAUGCUAUACUACUGGGCUGUGAUCACUUCGGGAGGUGAUCACGGGCAUAUACGAUAUACUUUACGCAGUUACAUUACCUGUGAUACUGUUCGGAGAUGGGGGCUGAAGGGGCAGGUGGCUCCAUCCCGGUAGAGGUGGGCCUGGGUUCCCGACGGCCCCCGACUGUUACUUUGUGGAGGAGCGACAGGGAAGGUUGAGACCACCUAGGAGACAGGUGGGCCUGGCCCUGUUCAGCGUUCGCGGAUAUUUAACACGCUUAACGAGAUCUUGGUAUUUGAUCUGAGUUGGCUACGAGCCUAUACGCACUAACCAUCUACGUGGGAGUAGUUAUGGGUAUCCCGACGUCGUGGUAUCAGCCGAAGCACUUCAGACGUCAGCGACGGAGCGACGCGCGCCGAAUUGGACUGGAACGCCACUAGGCUAGGUCUGCUUUCGGCCGCCCACGCAACGUGCAAGUGUGCUCAGGGCGAUGGGCCCAGACCCCUGCACGCUUAGGUUUAGACCGGCGUGCUGGCCUCUCUGUUGUGCCUAGGUGGGGCUGCGAUGUGUUGAUCUUCCACGGCCGGGCAUGACCCAGGAAAGUGUGUCCGGCCAAAUGGGAUCAAACGUGUUGGGUAAGUUGGUGCACCCCUGCAGGGAAGUUAAUCUAUUCGAAUAGCCGUGAUCUUCGGUAACAGGACGACUUGGAGUUGUACCUUGACCUUAUGACAACUAGAACCGGAUACUUAAUAAAACACACCCUUCCAAGUUCCACAGACAACCCGGUGAUCGCUUUUCCACAGGGCGACGAGGAGAGGAUCGCCGGGUAGGAUUAUGCUAUGCGAUGCUACUUGGAGAUGCUACUUGGAGAUGCUACUUGGAGGACUUCAAUCUACUCCCUUCUACAUGCUGCAAGACGGAGGCUGCCAGAAGCGUAGUCUUCGACAGGAUUAGCUAUCCCCCUCAUAUUCUGGCAUUCUGCAGUUCAGUCCACUGAUAUGGCCCUUUACACAUAUACCCAUGCAUAUGUAGUGUAGCUCCUUGCUUGCGAGUACUUUGGAUGAGUACUCACGGUUGCUUUUCUCCCUCUUUUCCCACUUUCCCUUCUACCUGGUUGUCGCAACCAGAUGCUGGAGCCCUGGAGCCAGACGCCACCAUCGACGACGACUACUACCCCGGAGGUGCCUACUACUACGUGCAGCCCGCUGACGACGACCAGGAGUAGUUUAGGAGGAUCCCAGGCAGGAGGCCUGCGCCUCUUUCGAUCUGUAUCCCAGUUUGUGCUAGUCUUCUUAAGGCAAACUUGUUUAACUUAUGUCUGUACUCAGAUAUUGUUGCUUCCGCUGACUCGUCUAUGAUCGAGCACUUGUAUUCGAGCCCUCGAGGCCCCUGGCUUGUGUUAUGAUACUUGUGUGACUUAUUUAUGUUUUAGAGUUGUGUUGUGAUAUCUUCCCGCGAGUCCCUGAUCUUGAUCGUACACAUUUGCGUGCAUGAUUAGUGUACGAUUGAAUCGGGGGCGUCACAAUCAGGUCGGCAUCGACCUGGACGGCUUCCCCCUCGACCACGAGUUCCCGAAGGACUAUGGGCUAGAGGAAGAUGACGAGUGCGACAUUGAAGUGGAGCCUUUGUUCGAGGACGAGUUCGCCAACCAAACCGCCGGUCCUAAGCCGAAGCGCAAGAGCAAGCGCACGAAGGCGUACACAGCUGUCGAGGACAAACUUCUUUGUGAGUGUUCGCGAGACAUUGGACAAGACCCAAAGACGGCGCCGAGCAAAAGCAUUCGACCUUUUGGACUCGUGCGCACCGCGAGUUUCAUGAGUGCAAGAAGUUUCCACCUUACCAAUUUGUGAGCACGCGCGGGUGGGUCUCCAUUUCCAAGCGGUGGAGGGUGAUCCAACAAGAGUGCAACAAGUUUUGCGCCACCCUUAAGAGCGUCAAGGUCCGCCCCAUGAGCGGCAUCGGCAUGCAAGACAUGGUAUGCUAGCAAGCCGCCCUCUUUUGUGCCAUCAAGAUCACUUGCUCAUAUGCUUGCAUGAAAACAUUUUGUAGGCAUUUCAAGCUUUGGAGGCAUUCAAGGUUCAACACAAUGGCAAGUGCUUCAACCUCUCCCAUUGCUAUCGGGUCAUCAAGGACGAAGAGAAGUUCAAGGCACAAUAUGCCGCGCUCAAGGCACGUGGGGGGAAGGGCGCCGUGGAGGAUGUUGCGGAGGGCGAGCCGGCACGGCCGCGGGGGAAGACCAACUCCAAGGAGGACAAGCGAUAUGCGGCCACCAACGCCUUGAUCGCGAGCGUGGACGGCAUGAUGAAUAAGAAGGACUCAAGAGAGGAGGAGCGCCGGCGUUUCAAGGCGGAGCAAAUGGAUGCUUUCAUGGAGAUCCAAAGGAGGAGGCUUGAUCUUGACGCCGAGAAGCAAGCCAAGAUGUUCGAGCUCGAGGCGGAGAAGCAAGCCAAGAUGCUAGAGAUCGAGGCCGCCAUCGCCAAGACAAAGGCGAAAGAAGUGGCUCUUGCAAGCAUGAUGACCGGAGUGGAGAUCAUGAAGGUGGAUCUCAACGCCUUAUCGCCAAGGAAGAGGCCGUGGUUCGAGAAGAUGCAGGCCGACAUGCUCAAGUUCGACGACGAGUGAUCUAUGGCGUUGAGGGGCCAUCUUUUUGUAUGCCGGCAGGUGUGCCGGCAUGACUACGGGAGCCGCGAUGGCGUGGUCGAACUCAAGUCCCACCAUUUUUUGUGUGCUGACAUGUGUGCCAGCAUGAACUGUGGUGUUUUCUGAAGCCGGCAUUGUAUGCCGGCGCUGGCAUGAGACAUGGCCGCUGGCAUGAUCGGCCGCGGGCCUUUUUUAUUUAAAAGUUGAAUGCGGACAUGAAAUGGGUCGGCGCGUUGGACGCAUUGCCGAUUCUAAUGCAAAACUGGGAGGACGCAGGCGGGCGGCCGACCCAAACAGACAAAAAACGGAUAAAUGCGCCGUCCGUUUAGGUCGCCCCAUUGGAGUUGCUCUAAGCUGGCCAGGCAAAUUUCAUCAUAACUUGAGAGUCCUCUUUUCUUAUUGGGGGCGAUGGUAUUCCAACAGUGCAUGGCAAAACUGCAGUCCCAGAAUAAAUGCAUGGAUAUCUCUUCCGUGUGCUCAUUGCACAACACGGACCUAUCACAAACAGGAAGCAAGAAACAAAAUAAUUUACGCAGCGGCCAAUGUCCCACACGUAGCAUAUGACAAAACAUCAUCAUCAACAUCAUUAUCAUGGAAGAAUAUGAGCAUGUCUAGCUGCGACAUCAGGGCGAUCGUAAUUAAAUGUAAUGAGCAUGUUAAAAUUUGCCAUACUUUUAAGCUUCAAGUCGCCGACAUGCGGAUCUUUUUUUUUUUGNNNNNNNNNNNNNNNNNNNNNNNNNNNNNNNNNNNNNNNNNNNNNNNNNNNNNNNNNNNNNNNNNNNNNNNNNNNNNNNNNNNNNNNNNNNNNNNNNNNNNNNNNNNNNNNNNNNNNNNNNNNNNNNNNNNNNNNNNNNNNNNNNNNNNNNNNNNNNNNNNNNNNNNNNNNNNNNNNNNNNNNNNNNNNNNNNNNNNNNNNNNNNNNNNNNNNNNNNNNNNNNNNNNNNNNNNNNNNNNNNNNNNNNNNNNNNNNNNNNNNNNNNNNNNNNNNNNNNNNNNNNNNNNNNNNNNNNNNNNNNNNNNNNNNNNNNNNNNNNNNNNNNNUGUAGGAUGAUAAUAUUAUGUUGUUGUAUUGCUCUCACCCGUGUAUGGGGGUAUAUAUAGAAUACAUGAGGGGUAGAGGCUUGGAGUACAAGACAAGUCAUAGAUAGUUUAAACCUAUUUAAUCUCUACUCCUUAUCUCUAUCUUUAAACCCAUAUCAUAUUCUAACAUUCCCCCUCAGUCGUAGCGGGAGUGAAGCAGACGAUGACGACUGAAUUUGAACUCUUGUGCUUUCGUCGUCUUCUCCGCCGCGCCAUCAUCAACUGCGUCUCUGAUGGGUCGGCACCUAGGGUGGUGACUGCAUCCCCUUCUGGUGCCUUCCUGCCUUCUCCUCUAUUCCCUCCCGCAGUUACAGCGGGAGUGGCGUGGACGCUAGUGACGACGCGGACGCUGUUGACUGGAGUUGUUGCCGAUGAGUUGCUGUAGACGUAGCCAUUAAUGUCAAUGUCGAGGUAGCCGAUCAUGGUGAUGUAGCCGUGGUCGAUGUAGUCGUGGUCGAUGGUGUAGUCGUCGUGGAUGAUGAAGCCAUACAAAGCCGGAGGCGCAAAAACAAUGUGCUAUGACGAAGCUGCAGACGUGGACGAUGCACCUUGCGGAUGUCAGAGGGUGCCGUCGGCGACGAGUCCGCCGGUUUUGCCAAGACCGGAGGAAGCCCAUCGAGCACACAUCGGUUUUGCCAGAACCGUGUGGCCGUGUAGGGUCGUCACUAUAGUGACGCCGUGUCGAUGCAGUCGUGCCGUCGUGGAUGACGAGGUCAAUGCCGGUGUCGUGACGCGGUCAAUACCGUCGUCGAGGUCGCGUCUUGCAGAAAGGUCUGUCAGAGGACGCUAGGUGUCCAUCUUGUGGACGAUGUGGCGGCGGUGUGUUGACGAUGAUAGUGAUGAAGACCACGUUGAUGAAGACCUUGGAGAUGAAGUGUCGGCGAUAGCGUCGUAGCAGCGUGUCGACGAUGAUGCGUCGCUUGAAGGCGUCCCUCCGUGGCGACGAAGUGUCGAUGCCGUGCCGAAGAAGUAUGUUGGCUCGUGCCUGGCGUAGUCGGACAGCUUGAUGUCGUUCGGGUCGAUGCAGAGGCGUCGGUGUGGCUGUGCAGUACAGAUCGGCGGCGAUUGUCGACGCAGCCAUGCAGAAGAUGAUGUAGCUCAGCUCGGGAUGUAGCGAUCGGUGUAGACGAUGGUGUCGCGGGCGUCGUUGCAGAUUGCUUGGUGCUGGAGGUGGUGCGCUGUCGUCUGUAGCAUGCGCGUUGACGAAGCCAUGAUGCGGUACGGGAUGUCGAUGACGAACUGGUGCGGGGCCGCAGAAUAGCUGAACUGCCGUGGAGAUCCCAUCGUAGCUUUGCAAGGCAUGAGCGUGUAUGCCUGAUUUCUGGACACCACGUACUCGGGUCCUGGACUCGUGCAUGGGAGCACCUCAGAUCGGAGUAGCCCCCAGUUCCGAUUGGAUCGGGACGAUGCUCAAAUCGGUGUGCUUGCCUGAGGACGCCGCGUACGCGUUCUGGCGCGUGCAGUUUGCCAGCAGCGAUGAUAACCUUGGUCGCGUGCGUGUCACGACCACAUCACCGUGCGGACGGCGGCCCGUUGUGGAUGCAGGCGUAGAUCAUGUGGAGCUGCAUCCGAUGCAUGCGGGUUGACGAAGUAGAAGCUGGCAUCCGGGGUGGCUGUUUGUCGAUGCAGAUCGGAUCGAGUCCAUGUGACUCGCCGGGUGUCAAACUGUCGAUGCGCUCGUAUGCCCGUGGCGUUGAUGUAGAUCGCGUCGGGGAGGUGUCGGGCUGAUGCGCUCGUUCGACGAAGUUGUGCGUCGCUCGGAGACAAGCGGGCCGUCACUGGUCGCGAACCCUCCUGCCCUGCGCGUAGCUUGUCGAGCUUGAUGUCGAGCCGGCUGUUGAGGGAGUACUGCCCGCCGCAUGCACGCGCGCCUGCGCGUGGAUUCGGGUCAGCUCUCCUAUUUGCCGGCUUGUUCGGCCGGCCGACGCUGCCCCUCCUGAUUGCACCUGAUUUUCACCAAGAUUCGAGGAUGGUCGGGAUUUAUUUGUAGCUAAAAAUAAAUUGACCUAAGGGAUCUGAUUUGGAAAUCGAUCUAAUCUAAAGAAUCGACCUAACCAUGAUGAACUCGAAAAAUUGAUCUAAAACUACAAAACCGAUCAAAUCUUUGGCUGAUCGGGUGCCGCGCCCCCGAGGAGAGAAGAUUAAUCUCCCCGGGGGCGGCGUGCUGCGGAAGUGGUAGAGGAACCUAGGAUCGGCGUCGUGAGACUAACCGCUCUGAUACCAUGUAGAAAAUAUAGAACCUACAAUAUUCGUUGUUGUAUUGAUCUGACCCUUGUGGGGUAUAUAUAGAGUACAUGUGAGGGAGAGAGACUUGGAGUAGAGGACAAGUCAUACAUGAUUCAAACCUCCCUUCUGGUGCCUUCCUGNNNNNNNNNNNNNNNNNNNNNNNNNNNNNNNNNNNNNNNNNNNNNNNNNNNNNNNNNNNNNNNNNNNNNNNNNNNNNNNNNNNNNNNNNNNNNNNNNNNNNNNNNNNNNNNNNNNNNNNNNNNNNNNNNNNNNNNNNNNNNNNNNNNNNNNNNNNNNNNNNNNNNNNNNNNNNNNNNNNNNNNNNNNNNNNNNNNNNNNNNNNNNNNNNNNNNNNNNNNNNNNNNNNNNNNNNNNNNNNNNNNNNNNNNNNNNNNNNNNNNNNNNNNNNNNNNNNNNNNNNNNNNNNNNNNNNNNNNNNNNNNAUCACCAGGGCAAGGAGUCAACCCUUACAACCAUCGCCAAAACCUAACCGAGCUAUUAAACCGACCAGUUUGAAAAACACAAUUCGACACAAAGAAGAAGGAAGCCGGAUCUAGCAUUGCAGAAAAUGUUAUUAUCGACAACAACGGCAAAAAUCGUUCAUGCAUGUGUGAGAAAUUAUGAAUCAGCUACCGGUGAUAGACUAGUCCUAUUUAAGCAGGAGGAGCGCCCCUGUUUCUGGUACUAAUUACUACAGCAAAUACAUCUUGUGUCUGCCCAAGCAAAGAGAAGACAUCUUACAAAAAGUCAAAAGAGAAGAGAAGCCAUGCAAGGCCCUAGCACCAGCAUCAAGUCCUUCAAGCAGGAGUUCCUCAAGAACCUCCUCCCAAGCCUCCAGCUCCAAGCACGCACGAGCACAACCUUCCGCGGCGCCACGAGCCUCCAUGAGAGGAAGCGCGCCAUCAAGUCCUCUGCGGACGUUGCCAUGUCGGCUGCGCAUGCCGGCGGAGCGAGGUGGCCCAAGGCCAUCUUGGCUCCGGCGUCCAGUGCGUGCAAGGUGCAGAGGUGCAGGAGGAUCGUGAGGAGGUGCUACCUCCGGAAGAGGUGCUCGGGGAGAUCAGGCCGCGCCGGUGGGUGGUGGCGACGUUGCGGGGAUGCUGGUGAAGAGCAGGACCAUGGCGCUGAGGGAGGUGAUACCGGGAGGCUGGAACUCCACCAUCGACGAGGCCACUCUGUUACGCGAGGCCAUGGACUACGCCGUGCACCUGCGCUCUCAGGUCGAUGUGCUCCGACGGCUCUCGGAAGCCGUGCAAACAUCUAGCUCCAGUGAUUCUGACCGUGCACUUAGAAUGCAGCCAUGAUUAAGUACCAGGUGGUGGCUUUGCCAGUGCUUUUGCGUACAGAAACACUCGGUCUCCAUGAUGAUCACGGAGACAGGGAUAUAGCUAGGCACUAUAUAUUGCCAGGAUUUUAUCUUGUUCUUGCGGGAGGUCCAAUCAGCGUAUAGUGCUGCAGUAAAACUUUGUGGUGUCCAAUAAGUAGUAUUUGAGUUUGUGAAAAGUUGCUUAUUUGGAUCAUGCGUGCAUGUGUAGUUCGAACUGAAGAUCUGUUGCUGCAUUAGUCAGACAAUCUACAAAACCUGAAACUACUUGCGGUGCUCACUUAUUCAAAGGAAAAGUUGACAAGUGUUCGUAAAUAAGCUGCCAAAUGAAAAUGUAAGACAACAGGGUCACUGUCUUUUCACAAUGGAAACGAAUGGUGAAAUUUCUGAAAUCGAAAAGUACAUAAACAACUGGGAAAUUAAGUCUAAUAAAAUUCACAGGGAAGGAUGUAGCUAUUGACAGCCUACGUAAGAAUAUUAUACGCAUAUAUCCUAUUCACAUGCAUCCAGUUGCAGUUCAAAAUUUGAACCGCCAAAACGUCAUACAUAGUGUAUAUAGAGGCAGUACAUUUUUUCAUCAACAUCCGCACCAGGUAACUUACUACUAAUACUACGUACUCUAACACAAUACAUCAAAACUAAGAAAAGCUACAUUUCGUCUUUGGACCAACAAAAAAAAUACAUUUUCUUCAACUGGUAGUGGUACAGAAUAUGUUCAGUUGUUCAUGCAUAAGUUCUAUCAUCAACAUGGCAAUGCAAUGUAUAACUAGUUUUAGUACCUGAAAAAAGAUCAUUGGAAGAAAUGGCAACGUGCUUGAAUCCAAAUUUAAUUUAUUCAGUAAUCAUCAACAGCUGUGAGCCAGAAUCCUUCAGGAAAUUAGUUUUUCAGCCAUAAACAUGCAAAAUUCUAACAGCCUAUAAUAAGGGCCACAUGUUCCAUGUACAAAAAUAUUGGGCAGAGAGCUCCCCUUGGGUUGACUAGCAUUCUAGUAGACCAAGACGUACUAGAAACUUGAGCCAUUAAAAAUUUGGAGGCACAUACACAUGGGUGAUAGGUGAAAAGAGGAGCAAAAGAUUUAAAAAUCUCAUCAUGUGCCUUCCUAUGUAGGCCAAUGGCCCAAGGCACACAUUCAUAAGCCACCUUUGAUGCAGUGAGACAAAAUUACCAGAGAUGCAGAUCAAACAGAGCACCUAUGGCCGGUAAAAUGAAUGCAGCUUCUGUGUGUGUAGUUUGUACAUUCUGGAGGAUCCACUAACAUUGACUAUGGUCUCUGGGGUUCCUAGUUGCAAAAAUCCAUGGAUGUUCAACAAUGCUUUUUCAGACAGAAGGAAUAGAGUACAAGAAUAUGUAUUUACUAAGCAAAGGACAAAAAAGAACACAGGCAACUUCUGAACAUAUCAUGAUAACAGGAGCCUCCAUAUGUGAUAUAUCUGAGGUCAACAUAGAAGCAUGUACUGUGCCAACUAUCAACGGUUCAAACAUCAUUGGAGCUAUAGGACGGGCGAUAGUGUUGCUUGACACAGGACAAUGAGCCAACCAUUAACAUUGAACACCAGCCUAAUUACCAAAGCCUCGCCAGGCACCUCACUUCCAGGCUGGGUACAAGUUGUUCGGCCUGUUAUUACUUGUUCCUGAAAGUGCAGCACCCAACAGAGUAGAUGACGGCGAGGAAUAUGAUGUUGACGUUGGCGAUCUUCUUCCGGUCAUUCUUCAGGUUUGCGAGCACGCCAGCCUUCCAUGACCGGCAGUCAUAGCACAGGGCCCUCUGAUCAUUCGACCACGUGUUACAGUCAUGGUCAUUGGUAGAGUUGAGGCCAGGAGGUUUGAUCCAGACGGUCUGACUCCGGUAAGUUUAGUUGCACCCAGUUGGGGGCUUGUAGCAUUCAGACAGAACAUAAGAUAGGUGUGUGUUAGUUGCAGAGAAGGAAACUUACUUAGUAGUUCAGCAUAGCAUCGACUAAAACACAAAUCAAAGCAAAAUGUCAAAAAGUCGCACUGACGAUGUAGGCAAGGUCGGGGGACCAAAUGCUAUAGACUAACCUCAACAGCUAGAAUGACCGGUAGGAAAUUCGCCAUCGACGCCGGCACAGAUAAUACCCUCUUGAUGGGGGGGCUAGAUGGGACCUUAUUCGCCGGGUUUGCGUCACUACCACCACCAACAACGUGUGGCCGAAGAAGACUAUUGAGCGCUUCCACCAUCGCCACCGGAAAGGCCAAAGCGUCCGACAUAAAAAACCUGCCUAAAAACUAAAAUCAAAAAGGUUUGGAGAGUGACAGUUGGGGAAGAGAAGCAAUUUGCUCCAUUAUUGAUUUUUAAAUAUUUAUUUUUGAUAGUGAUGCAAAUUUAUUUUGAAAUAUAUGGUUUCUUUAAUAGAUAUUAUAACUAAUAAUAAUUUUAUGAUUAAGAAGUUUUGUAACAUAAGGAACAAAUUUCAAGGAUAGCCUGAACAUUUCAGUUAGUCAAUGAAUGUGGACUCUCUUUUAGUCAUGGUAGCUACAACAUAUACAAUUGAUUCUCUGUGGACUCUCUUUUAGUAAAUGGAGCACGUCUAUUAUAUCAUCAUCAUGGUACUAAACAUCUUUAGACAAUCAGUACGGCGGACUUCUAUUAUAACACAUGAUACUCUUUAGAUGUUGAUAUUGUUUCACAACAUCAUUCAACCAUUGAUCUUCUCAAUGAUAUGUAUUCUGUAGAGAACAAGAGAUGAUAUAUUGUCUUUGAAAGAUCUUGACAGAACCUAAUGUAGCUAAAUGAAAUUAAUUUCCUUUAUGCUCUACCUUCAAUCUAAAAAUCUAGCCGAGUACAACAAUCUCACCUUGUUGGAGGAGUGGAUGUGCAAUCUCAACAAGAUUCCUAUAGUUCAUGUUAAAUAAGUGUAUGGCAACUUAAGUCAAUAACUCAUCUCUAGUUCUACACUUACACUCCAUCUACCAUGUCGCUGAGUUGUUAUCGCAUUUACUUCGUCCUACCUCCCGUCUAGUGUGUGUGCAUAUAUNNNNNNNNNNNNNNNNNNNNNNNNNNNNNNNNNNNNNNNNNNNNNNNNNNNNNNNNNNNNNNNNNNNNNNNNNNNNNNNNNNNNNNNNNNNNNNNNNNNNNNNNNNNNNNNNNNNNNNNNNNNNNNNNNNNNNNNNNNNNNNNNNNNNNNNNNNNNNNNNNNNNNNNNNNNNNNNNNNNNNNNNNNNNNNNNNNNNNNNNNNNNNNNNNNNNNNNNNNNNNNNNNNNNNNNNNNNNNNNNNNNNNNNNNNNNNNNNNNNNNNNNNNNNNNNNNNNNNNNNNNNNNNNNNNNNNNNNNNNNNNNNNNNNNNNNNNNNNNNNNNNNNNNNNNNNNNNNNNNNNNNNNNNNNNNNNNNNNNNNNNNNNNNNNNNNNNNNNNNNNNNNNNNNNNNNNNNNNNNNNNACACAUUGUACCACGUGUACAUUAGAUUUGGAAGGCAUUAGGAAAAGAACAACUUGCAAAUAUUUGACCCAUGGUGAUGCACCUAGUCUGCCACAUUGAUCUUCCAUGGGUUGUUGAUCCUAAAUACGAUAGGACAAAUAAUCCUGGGCGGACAGAGUAAUUCACUCGCUCGAUUGGCUUGCAAUGAUUUUUGGUCUGGCCGACUCACCGUGCACUUGAAAAAAGAGGCAUGGUUACCAGGUGGAUGUUUCUCUGAGAAAAGUAAGACAUGGUCUCCCUGAUGAUCAAGAAAAUAGUGAGAUUCAACCUUGCCAUGUGCAAAGCGGUGAAGAAUAUAUAUCAGGAUUCUCUCUUGUUCUUCAUGGAGGUCCGAUCAAUGUACAGCGCUAGCGAGGUGGCUACAGGCUUACUAGAGCAGCUGAGAGUGAAGUACUACAAUGUUGAUUUGUUCUCCCAAAAACAUGCAAUUUUUAACAGUCUAUAAUAAGGGCCACAUGCAGUAUGUAAAGAAAUCCUGGGCGGAGAGCUCACCUUGGGUUGACUGGCAUUUUAGUAGACCAAGACGUACUAAGAAACUUGAGCCAUUGAAACCUUUGAGGUGCAUGUCAAAGCAAGCACCUACGGCCAGUAAAAUAAGUCCAGCUUCUCUGUUUGUACAUUCUGGAGGAUCCUGUAAAGUUUACUAUGGUCUCUGGGGCUCCUAGUUGCAAGAAUCCAUGGAGCAACAAUGCAUUUGCAGACAGAAGCAAUAGACUGACCUGACGCUAAACACAGGUGUUUGUUGUGCAAAGGACAGAAAAGAUCAGACACCUUCUAAACAUAUCUCAUAUCAUGAUAAUAGGAACCUCCAUAUACGAUAUGUUUGAGGUCGGCAUAGCAAAUAUAGCAAGCAUGCACCAUUACCAACUAUCGACGGUUCAAACAUCAUCGGCGCUAUAGCAUAGACGAUAGUGUUGCUUGACACACGGCCAUGAGCCAACCAACCAUUAACACUGAACAUCAUCCUAAUUACUUAAGCCUCUGCCAGGCAUCUCACUCACUUCCAGGCUGGGUACGAGUUGUCCUGCCUGUUGUUCCUGAAAGCGCAGCAGAGUAGACGAUGAUGAGGAAGAUGAGGAAUACUAUGUUGACGGUGGCGAUCUUCUUCCAGUCGUUCUUCAGGUUAGAGAGCACGCCGGCCUUGUAUGACUGGCAGUCGUAGCAGAGGGCAUCAAGUAGGGGGUUGUAGCAUCCAGACUGGACAGAAGAUAGGUGUGUGUUAGUUGCAGAAAACGCAACCAACUUAGUAAUUCAGCAACAGUUUUAGCAUUGACGAAAACACAAGUCAAAGCCAAAUGUCAAGAAUUCGCAAUUGCGAUGUAGGCGAGGCCGGGCGACCAAACUGCGAAGGAAAGUAGCCACCACCAACGAUGUGGUGUCGAAGAAGACUUUAUUAAGCACUGCCACCAUCGCCGCCGGAAAUGCCAAAGCGGCCGACAAAAUUCUGCCUAAAAUCUCAAAAUAGAAAAAACUACAACUCCAUCCAGUAGAUCGGAGCCUCCCGACACUCCCACACUAACACAUCCAGUGGGGGAAGAGGGAGAGGCGACCUACCGGCAGAUGAGAGGUGGCAGCAUGGUGCCCCCAGGGAUCGGCCCUCUCCUAGGGUUUGGAGAGUGACGGUUGGGGAAGAGAAGCAAUUUGCUCCAUGAUUGAUUUGUAAAUAUUUCUUCCUGGUAUUUGGUAUUGAUGAAAGUCUAUUUUGAAGUAUAUGGUAUUUUAAUAGAUAUUAUAAUUAAUAAUUAUUUUAUGACAAAGAAGUUUUGCUACACAAGGAAAAAAUUCAGGGCUAGGCUGAACAUUUCAGUUAGUCAAUGAAUGUGGACUCUCUUUCAGUCAAGGUAGCUAAGAAAAUACAACUAAUUCAGUGGAGACUCUUUUAGUCAAUGGAGCACGUCUCUUAUAUCAUCAUCAUUGUACUAAACAUCUUCAGACAAUCAGUACGCUGGACUCUUAUUAUAACACAUGAUACUCUUUAGAUGUUGAUAUUGUUUCACAACAUUAUUCAACCAUUGAUCUUCUAAAUGAAACGUAUUCUGUAGAGAACAAGAGAUGAUAUAUUGGCUUCGAAAGAUCUUGACAGAACCUAAUGUAGCUAAAUGAAAUUAAUUUCUUGUAUGCUGUACCUUCAAUCUAAAAAUCUAGCCGACUACAACAAUCUCACCUUGUUGGAGGAGUGGAUGUACAAUCUCAACAAGACUCCUAUAGUUCAUUUAGAAAAAGAUUAUAGCAAGUUAAGUCAAUAACUCAUCUUUAGUUCUACACUUACACUCCAUCUACCAUGUCGCUGAGUUGUUAUCGCAUUUACUUCGUCCUACCUCCCGCCUGUGUGUGACUGUGUGUACAUAUAUAUAUUGCUCCCAUCCGAUGUGGUGUACACAAGAAGCGAACCACCACGAAAAUUNNNNNNNNNNNNNNNNNNNNNNNNNNNNNNNNNNNNNNNNNNNNNNNNNNNNNNNNNNNNNNNNNNNNNNNNNNNNNNNNNNNNNNNNNNNNNNNNNNNNNNNNNNNNNNNNNNNNNNNNNNNNNNNNNNNNNNNNNNNNNNNNNNNNNNNNNNNNNNNNNNNNNNNNNNNNNNNNNNNNNNNNNNNNNNNNNNNNNNNNNNNNNNNNNNNNNNNNNNNNNNNNNNNNNNNNNNNNNNNNNNNNNNNNNNNNNNNNNNNNNNNNNNNNNNNNNNNNNNNNNNNNNNNNNNNNNNNNNNNNNNNNNNNNNNNNNNNNNNNNNNNNNNNNNNNNNNNNNNNNNNNNNNNNNNNNNNNNNNNNNNNNNNNNNNNNNNNNNNNNNNNNUCAUUUCUAUCUUGUUGAUGUCGUGUUCCAAGGAAAUACGGAACACACGUUGUACCACGUGCACAUUAGAUUUGGAAGGCAUUAGGAAAAGAACAACUUGUAGAUACUUCAUUCAUGGUGAUUUACCUACUCUGCAACAUUCGUCCUCGAGGAAAGCUUGAUCCUAAAUAUGAUCGGGCUAAUAGUCCCAGACAAAGGGAGUAAUUCACUUGCUCCAUUGGCAUGCAGUAAAUCUGGGUCUAACUGACCCACCGUGUACUUGAGAAAAGGAGAGAAAGUUACAUGGUGGAGGUUCCUCUGAGGAAACUAAGACAUGGUCUCCAUGAUGAUCAGGGAAACAGCCAGAUUCAACUUGCCAUGUGCAAAGCGGUGAAGAAUAUGCAUCAGGAUUCUCUCUUGUUCUUCAUGAAGGUCCGAUCAUUGUACAGUGCUAGCGAGAUAGCUACACGCUUCCUAAAGCAGUUGAGAGUGGAGUACAAUGUUAAUUUGUUCUCCCAAAAAACAUGCAAUUUUUAACAGUCUAUAAUAAGGGCCACAUGUAGGGGCAACCUGGUGCAUGUAGCUCCCGCUUGCGCAGGGUCCAGGGAAGGGUCCGACCACUUUGGGUCUAUAGUACGCAGCCUUUCCCUACAUUUCUGUAAGAGGCUGUUUCCAGGACUUGAACCCAUGACCUCAUGGUCACAAGGCAGCAGCUUUACCACUGCGCCAAGGCUCCCCUUCAAUAAGGGCCACAUGUAGCAUGUAAAGAAAUCCUGGGCAGAGAGCUCACCUUGGGUUGACUGGCAUUUUAGUAAACCAAGACGCACUAAGAAACUUGAGCUAUUGAAAACUUUGAGGUGCAUGUGAGACAUGGUUGAUAGGUGAAAAAAGGAGCAAGAUAAAAACUGAGGUAGCGACACAAAGUUACCAUGGAUGCAGAUCAAAGCAAGCACCUAUGGCCAGUAGAAUGAGUGCAGCUUCUCAGUUUGUACAUUCUGGAGGAUCCUGUAAAGUUGACCAUGGUCUCUGGGGUUCCCAGUUGCAAGAAUCCAUGGAGCAACAAUGCAUUUGCAGACAGAAGCAAUAGACUGACUCUAAGCACAGGUAUUGGCCAUGCAAAGGGCAGAAAAGAUCACAGACAACUUAUGAACAUAUCUCAUAUCAUGAUAAUAGGAACCUCCAUAUAUGAUAUGUUUGAGGUCGGCAUAGCAAAUAUAGCAAGCAUGCGCCAUUACCAACUAUCGACGGUUCAAACAUCAUCGGAGCUACGGGAUAGACGAUAGUGUUGCUUGACACAGGACAACGAGCCAACUGCUAACGCUGAACAUCAGCCUAAUUACCUAAGCCUCGCCAGGCAUCUCACUCACUUCCAGGCUGGGUACGAGUUGUCCCGCCUGUUGUUCCUGAAAGCGCAGCACCCAACAGAGUAGACGAUGAUGAGGAAGAUGAGGAAUAUGAUGUUGACGGUGGCGAUCUUCUUCCAGUCGUUCUUCAG
RNAcentral lists this long non-coding RNA (91893 nucleotides) under Triticum aestivum (bread wheat). RNAcentral's name for it is "long non-coding RNA (TAES_LNC015387)". The stretch from base 50705 to 50819 matches the Rfam family "MIR1120/MIR1122 microRNA precursor family". Lineage: Eukaryota; Viridiplantae; Streptophyta; Magnoliopsida; Poales; Poaceae. The record is from RNAcentral.